UCACAUCUUCUUCAAUAUUUGUAUGGUUGUCCAACUUCAGUACUAGCCUUGUUCAACUUGGCCUCUCUCGCAAUAACUUCACGGGUUCACUUCCUGAUGUUUGGAAACAUGAGCUCUCUUGCCUAUCUUGAUCUCUCUUAUAACCAAAUUGAAGGAGGGAUUCCACAAUCUUUUUCAGAGUUAUGUAGUUUGCAAGCAUUGCUCUUUCGCAACAACAUUUUGAGUAUACAACUUUCCAAGCUGGUUCAAACAUUAAUGUCUACAUGCCCUGAUAAGAACUCAUUAGAGACUCUAAGCCUCUCAAACAAUUCUCUUUCUGAAUCAAUUCCUAAUCUCAAAAACUUUUCGUCAUUGAAAAAAUUAGACCUCUAUGACAAUCAAUUGAGUGGAACAAUACCUGAAAACAUUGGCCAUAUGUCUUCGCUCGAGACUAUCCGCCUUGGCAUGAAUGCUUUGGAAGGUGUGGUUUCAGAAAGCCACUUCUCCAAUCUCUCCAGAUUAAUAAUUUUGGAUUUGUCCUCUACCCCACUAGCUUUAGACUUCAAUUCUAAUUGGGUUCCUCCUUUCCAAUUGGUUUCCAUAUAUUUGGGGUUUUGCAAGAUGGGUCCACAUUUUCCAAAAUGGCUUAAGACUCAGAAAAAUUAUUUGGACCUUGAUAUUUCUAAUGCAGGCAUUUCUGAUAUCCUUCCCAGUUGGUUUUGGGGCAUACUGUCUCAUGAUCAUGAAAUUGAUUAUAUAGAUCUCUCCAACAACCGAAUUAGAGGAAUAAUUCCAAAUUCAAGAUUUGAGUUUACAUCAUCUUCCCCUCCUGAUGUGAAUUUGAGUUGGAACCAAUUGGAAGGUUCAAUACCUUCAUUCCUUUCCAAAGCAUCAUCUCUUGACCUCUCCAACAAUAAGCUUUCAGGGCCAAUUUCUUUCUUGUGUCCAAAGACUCCAAACGAGGUUAGUUCAUUAUACUUUCUUGAUCUCUCAAGCAACAAUUUAUAUGAAAAACUUCCUAAUUGUUGGACACAUUUUGAAAAUCUAGCCAUUCUAGAUUUGAGUGACAAUUCCAUUUUAGGGAAAAUUCCUACCACAAUGGGCUCUUUAUCUUCUAUUCAAACACUGAAACUAAAUAACAAUAGGUUUGUUGGGGGAUUGCCUUCAUCCUUGAACAACUGUACAAGUCUCAUAGUUUUUGAAGUUGGGGAAAAUAAAUUAUCAGGUUUGAUACCUGAAUGGUUAGGGGUUGGACUUCCAAAUCUGGCUAUCCUUAUCCUCCGUUCUAAUCACUUCUAUGGAAGCAUUCCAUCACAAUUGUGUAAUAUGAGAGGCAUUCAAAUUCUAGAUUUCUCAAUGAAUAACAUCUCGGGAAGUUUACCCAAAUGCCUCAACAAUUUGACUAAUUUGGCUCAAAAAGGAAGUUCAAGUCUAACUCUCACUCAUACCUAUAAUGUAACCUUGAUUGGCAAGUGGGAGUAUUAUGAAGACGAAUCAUCCUUGAUAUGGAAAGGCAUAAUGUCCAAAUACAAAAGUACUUUGGGGCUUGUAAAGAGUAUUCAUCUGUCGAGCAACCGAUUAACAGGGGAGAUUCCUAGUGAAAUCACUGAUCUUGUGGGGUUGGUUUCCUUAAACCUAUCAAGAAACAACUUAACAGGUCAAAUAACUCCAAAGAUCGGGAAGUUGCAGUCUUUAGAUUUGCUUGAUUUGUCAAACAACCAAAUACAUGGUACAAUUCCAACAAGUCUCUUUGGAAUAUCUGGCCUUGGUAAGUUGGACUUGUCCAACAACAACCUGUCUGGAAAAAUUCCCAUGGGGUCUCAGCUUCAAACCUAUGAGCCUUCUGUUUUUUCCGGAAAUCCUCUCCUUUGUGGAAUUCCACUUGAACAAAUGUGCUCUCCUGAGGAAACAACUCCAGUGGAGCAACCGGUGGUUGAGAAUCAAGAUGAAGAUAAUGAUGAAUUUAUAACACUGGGAUUUUACGUGAGUUUGGGGCUUGGAUUUGUCGUUGGAUUUUGGGGAUUUUGUGGGAGUUUGAUAUUCAUCAGGUCAUGGAGAUACACAUACUACAAGUUCUUGAACUGUGUAUACGAUUGGCUUUAUGUAAGAGUGGCUUUGAUCGGGCGACGAAGAAUGAUUGAUGUGUAAAUUGUAAGUACUCUUCCACACAACAAAUAAUAUUACUGCAGUUUUUAGUCAUUUAAUUCGGGAUGCUAAGUGCAAUUUUAUACAUAUAACUAUAGUGUAAUGAUAUGGCAUUAUUGCCAUCAUGAUUAAUAUCAUUUUGGUCACUCUAAUUGUCUUUAAAUUUAUGACUAAUAUAUGCUGUGGUUUCUGAAUCUCUUUAGCUCGUGCAUCUACCGUUCGUAACCAUGAUCCCUUUCAGCUGGAGAAGAAGGAGAUUGAAGAGUGCAAUUUGAAGUUAUUGUUUAGUGGAAGUGUUUAGAUAAUCUUUGAGGGGUUAGGUGUUUUUAAUCCCUUUUACUAAGUUAGAUAAUCUUUGAGGGGUUAGCUGUUUUUAAUCCCUUUUACUAAGUGUACCAUUAUAUCCUUUUCAAUAAAUUUCCUUAAGAAACUUGCAAGAACUUAUUAAUCAAGUUACAGAGAGAAAAGCAAACAGAUAAUUCAAUCAAUAUAUCUAACAUCAUCAAUUGCUGGUUCUUUAGGGUUGAGAUCAGAUCAGACUGCAUUAUCUUGACAACGGACAAAAGAAUUCGAAUCAUUAUAUAAUCUGAUUUGAGUAAGAGCUCACUGUUGGUUGAAUCGACUAUAUUACCAUCACUCACCAACCGAGUGUACCAACAGGGCAAUUCAGCAUGACAGAUGAACCAUUGGACUGGCCGAGCAGGCAGACCAUGUUUGAUAGCAUUGAUGCAUGCAGCAUAUCAUUAACGCGAACACAAAGGAAACUGGUUCUUCACACACAGCGCCCCCAAUAAUGCAUUGGUCCAGCUACGCAAUGUUAGAAAUAUUCGGACCAUAUUUUGUAAAGAUUCAACAUAUUUUAGCAAAUUGACUGGUAGCAAGCAGUGAUAAUGCAGAGCAUCAAACUGCUACUCAUAUAUUAAGUAUCAUACACACCUCUUUCGUGAGAACAGCCUCUUCAUUUGCUACAGUGAAUGCAACUUGAGUAUCUGUUACACAUGCGGGAACUGGGAUGACACAGAAAAGUCAAGUGAGUAUAACAUAUUCAAGAUGUUCCAUAUGAACAUUUAACUAUGAAAGGCAGAAAUUCAGCGAGAAAACAUCAUUGCAGUUUAGCACUGAAAUUAGAAGUUCUAGGAAUUAUGAGAACAAAAAUGGGGCAAAUUCUGAAUUUGUGUGCGGAAAUCAUUCUCAGUUUUUAUUUUGUUACUCUUCCAUAUACAUUUUUUUAAAAGUCCUCCCCACCACCCUUCCUACACCUCUGUCAUUUCUCCUUCCUCCCCGAUAUUUCCCCUCUAUAUCUUACCCAAAGAAAAAAAAAUUGAAACUAAAAAAUAAAAACGAUCGAAUUGGUUAAAAACGGAAUAUCCUUCAACUGUUUUAUCCCUUCUUUUGUGUGUAUAACUUGAUCAAUAACUUGUUCAGUACUAGAAGAGAAGUCUGUUGGUAGUUAAGGGCCACUACCAAAGGGUUUUGGUCCAUUAAUUUCCCCAUUACAAUGACACUUCCUAUUCGUCCACAGAAAAAAGAAGAAAAAUUCGAUUUUACUCUGUUGUUACCACUAUCUUUAUGAAAUAUUCAAUUAGUAAGUCAAAUCAAUACCUAGUUAUUCGAGUUGUCUUUGUCUAAUCUAUGAAGUGAGAUUUCCGCACUCCCAUUAUUCAAUUGUUAUUGAAUGAUAUUGACAGAAUUUGCAGUGUUUUGUAUGUCAAUCCAGUCAUGUAUGAACAAGUGACUCAGCUUUGACCUUUAACUACUACAACUGUAAGGCAUACUUUUCUUCUGUAAAAGCUUUUUUAUAUUUGUCAAGAUAUCAGAAACUGGGCAGAAUUCCAGCAAGCCUUGCUCGGAUAGAUCCUUUUCGUUUCUUGGGCUUGUCAUACAACAACUUUUAUGAAAAAAUUCCAAUAGGCACUCAGCUCCAAAAUUUUGAUCCCUCUGUUCUGGCUGGAAAUCCACAACACUGUGGACCUCCACUUCAAAAAUGUGUGCUGAUCAACAGGAAACUGUGCUCUCUAGUGAUGACGAAGAAAAUAAUGAGCUUAUAACACGGGGAUUUUAGUCAGCAUAGGGCUUGGGUUUAUUGUUAGAUUUUGGGGACUUUGUGGUGGUCUGAUUUUUGUCAGGCCAUGGAGAUACUCGUACUUUAGGUUCUUGAAUGUUUUGAGUGGUUGGUUUUAUGUGAGGAUGAUUUUGAUCAAGCGACACUAAGCAAAGGUAUGUAAAUAUGAUUUUAUAUUUCUUCUUAAAUUAAGCGAUAUGCAUCUCUUCUUAAAAUCUUCCUGAUUAAUUUGGCUGUCUUCUCUCUCUCUCUCUCACCCACCCUCCCUCUUCGGAUCUGAUCUUCCUUUGUCUGCGAGAGAUGCGACGGUGACGGAAGACAAGAUAGUUAGUAUGGCAAAAAAAAAAAAAAAAAAAGGCCUAGACCACCUAGAGAGCACCUAACUACUACCUGAUAAGAAAUUAUUUCAAUAUAGACAUAUGAUAAGAACUUAUUUCAAUAUAUGACAAUCCCCCCUCAAAAGAAGUGUGUGGCAACUGCCAAUGGUUACUCCUAUUGUUGGAGCAGGAAUAGUGUGUCUUGCACCCUCUCUCCCUUUACAUCAUUGUUUAUUGGUUCCGUCAUUGUCUUAUCAUCUAUUUACUGUACCACAAGUUAUGAAAGAAUUGAAUUGUGUUGUAUUAAUGUAUCUACUAUUCUAUGUACUUCAGGAUAUUCAGACCAAAGAGAUCAUUGAGCAUGGCACUAAGAGAGAUGUGAUAUACUAUGCGGAUGAUGUCAUUUAUGGAAGGGCUAAUUUGGUUCAUACGUCUCAUGACAGUAAUCUACAGAAGAUAGGGUUGUUGCAUCACCGAUUGGAACAUGCAACUUUUGGGUAUUUGAAGCAUAUGGUACCCAGUUAAUUUUAGUGACUCAGAUUUACAGUGUGAAGUUUGUAUUCUUGCUAAAAGUUAUCAUGUUUCAUUUUCUCCAAGUAUGAAUAAAAGUGUUUUCCCAUUUCGUCCAGUCCAUUCAGAUGUUUGGGUAUUUGUUACAUUUGUUGAUGAUUGUACUCGUAUAAUAUGGUUAUAUGUGUGUUAAAAAAAUAAGAGUGAUGUUGGUUUGGUAUUUCAGAACCUUUAUCAGAUGAUUAAGGCUUAGUAUUCUUAUGUCAUUAAAGUUCUCCGUUCUUACAAUGAAGGUGAACAUAUUGAUUUGAGUUGUCCCAGUUGCUCCACAAUCAUGGCGUUUUACAUGAAACUAUUUGUCCUUGCACUCCACAACAAAAUGGGAUAGCGGACAAGAAUAAUCGCCAUAUCCUGGAGACAGCCCGUGCAUUGCUUUUUGGCAAAUCUGUUCCUAAACUUUUUUAGCCUGAAGCAGUUGUACAUGCAGUGUAUGUUAUGAAUCGUAUGCCAUCACGUGUGUUGGGGUUUCAAACACCACUUCAGGCACUUACACAGCAUGCACAUGUUGUGUCUACAAACACCCUGACCCCCUGUGUCUUUGGUUGUGUGGCAUAUGUUCAUAUUCAACAAAUUCAUCGUAGCAAGCUUGAUUCAUGUGCACUUCGUUGUGUCUUCGUUUGUUUUUCAACUCAGCAAAAAGGGUACAAGUGCUAUCAUCUAGAAACCCGACAUAUGUAUACUACCAUGAACGUAACUUUCUCUGAGUAUGAAUUGUUGGAAAAUUUAAUAAUAAUAUUAUUAUAUUAAAUUUAUUAAUUGAAUGGAAAUUAGAAGUGGAGCCUUUUGGUAAAAAGAUGUGUCUAAUCAAAUGAAGAGUUGCAACUUUUGAUUCUUCAUGAAUAGUCACAUGCUUUUCAAAGAGGUAUCUCGCAUUCUAUAAAUAGGGAAUCCCCCUAUAAUCACAAAGAACUUUUCAUCAUACAUACAUGUAGUGCAUUAAAUAUUAGAGAGUCUCAUUGAGUUCAUAUGAGAGAGUUUUCAACACAAUCGUGGUUCAUGGAGCCUUGUGAUUUGGAGUGCUACUAUUACAGGGACGUGGUCGUUGUAUCUUGGGAGACAUGCGCCGAUCAACCAUGAGCAUCGUAGUGGGACGUAAACUUGUCUUAAGGACAAAGUGUCCAACAUUUGCCUCGACCGUAUUUUCUAGGUUUUUCUAAUCCAUUCUAUUAUGUUCAUUUAACAUUGGUUACUCAUGUGCAUGUAUUAUUGUGAUAUAUAAUUGCAUGAAUUAUUUCUUGAUUUUUUAUGUGAUUUAAUAUAGCAAUUAGACCCAAUUUUUCCAACAAUCUUAAGACAAGUUUAGGUUUGGUUGCUAUAAUUUUGUCAUCAAUUCCGAAUUGGCAUUACAUACGUGUUAAUUCAUAGUUGCUGCUUGUUUUGCAUGAUUGCAUGCUUGGGUUUUUCAUGUUCGUUUUGACCGUUAAUUUAAUAAGUGCAUGAUCAGUUUGUAGACAACGUAUUUUGUAUUCAUACAUGUAUUGUUUCGAAGAACAUGCCAACUAUAUAUGUGUUAUUUUUGUGUUUUUACAUAUGCUUAAUGUCGUAUACGCGAAGUGAUUCAUAAAUUCAUAGUACAGGUAAAGCAGUGAAAAAAAAAAAUUCUUGGAAACAGAAUUCCAAGCCAAACGGUUAAUUUGCACAUAGUUUCUUAUGCAUGUUGUCCUCUCUCUCUGAAACAAUGAUAUAUUUGAAUAAUCGAUUGCAAUCUUUCCAUGUUAAUAUAUGAAAAGGUGGGACACCUGUUAUGAAAGUCUUUAUUUGGGAAGUUGCGUUCCUUGGAAGGCAUGCAAACACGGCUUGUGAAAUCAGCUGCGUAAGUGCGGUUGGGAAACCUGCAUCGAUUUCUGGAAGUUUUUGGUUUUCCAGAAAAGUUUGUUCGUUGUAAUUGCAAACCAAAAGAUAUUUCUAAGAAAAAUGAAGGACAUACGUGGAAAUGUCAAAGUCUGAGUAACUCUUUACGAAGGGUUGUCGCCGUUGGCCGGCUAAUUGUGUUUCUUGGAUAAUAACUUUUCAGAUCAAAGUUAUGACAUAAAUUUGAUGCGCGAGUGCCUGGGAACGAUCUCUAAAUUUCGGAAUGGUACAUUACCAAUAUGUAUGUUUGCUAAAACCAGACAUGGCUACCGUCUGAAUGGACUUCUCCAUUUGCGGUGGCAGCAUAUCGAAAUUUUGGCCAAAGGAAAAACUUGGAUUGAUCAUUGGCCAUAUGUGAAAUCAAAGGCCAAAGAUAUGAUUGGAAGGCCAAACCAUGUCUGUAAAGCAGAUUGAUCUAUACCUUGUUUACGAACCACAUGUACAUGGUUUUUAUUACAUUUGGGCAAAAGAUUUGGUGAAAGAAAUUAACCAACCAAGUCACUUGGGAUAAUUAGAUUUCAAGAGGAUGAUGGAGGAGAGUUUAGUCUCCUGAAUGUGACUUGUUCAACUAUUAAUAGUUAAAUGUGACAACAAAAAUGAGUUUUGCUCAUGGAUAUAACCAAAGGGAAUUCCUUUGAGAGGAAUUAGUGAAAGUGUGGGGGUGUUGGGUAUACUAAUCAAGAUGUGGCUUCACUAUAUUAUUGUUAUAUAUAUUUUCCUGAAAUUAAUCUGAGGACAUGAGUUUUGUGCGUUAUAUAUUAGAAUAUAUAUCUUUGUAUAUAUUUGGGAUGAGAAUGGUGUGAAAUUAGUAUGACAGUUAGAUGCAUACCUUGAUUUGUUGCAUUCAAAUGUGUGGAGUCCUGAAAUGAAUCAUUGGGUGUUCUGUAAAAUAUAUAUGGUAUAUGUAGAACUCUAUCACAAUUGACCAGUUGGAGAUUCUAGAUAAAAGAGAAAUCGAUGAGACCACGGCUUGACGGUUCUAUAUUCAUUUGAGUCAAGAAUUUUGGGACAUUUAGAACCAUGUGGCGGUUAAGAUGCAAAAAGAUGCAACUAAUUGACAAAUGAAUAGUUUCUGUAAGGUGGUGGAACCAAAAGGUGGAAUCUGCCAUAUCAGAUUCCAAGAAGAAAGAAAAUGCCAUUUGAAGUGCUGCUUUUGACAGUGAAAGGGUACGACCUUUCCAACUAGUCAUUACCAUUCUUAAAUUUGAAUAUGUGUUCGUGGGCUGGUAUGUAAACUUCUACAUACCGACUGGAUGUAUUAUCAUAUAGUGAUAAUAAUGUUGCAAAAUCAUUUAUCUGAUUUCUUCGAAGAGAUUAAUUCAUCAAUUUCAAGAGGCCUAGAAUGAUAUCAUCAUAUUAUUACGAACAAUUAUAUGACUGUAGUCAUAUAUGAUGCAACACUUAACUUUCUGGAAGAUUUCUUGAGAAGCAUUUAGUUUAUGUGUUUUGCUUCUUUACCGAGGAGAGUGAUGCAUUUGCCAUGUCAGUCAUGGAGAAAAUGAAUAUUAUUGAGUGUUAUUCAAAAUGUUAUCAAUAUAGAGAAAUAAUCUUGAAAUUGUGGGGGUAUUUCACAAAGGAAAAGACGACACUAAAAAUGUGAGGGACCUUUCGCAUAAUUGUAUUAGACAUGUCUGAUGAUACUUAUUAAGUAAGCAUAUUAAUGGACAUGGCCAUUGGGUCAUGUAUGUUAGUCAUAGUGCGGAGGGACGAAAGCCAAGAAAUGAUUUUUCCAUAAUGGCUAGUGAGGCAUGAAGGCCUAGAAGAUAGAUAUAUAAGGUCUAUCUUAGUUGUUUCCUACUUUAUAAAAUAAAAAACGUGAUCGAUUUAACAAUGAUGUUAAAUUAACCACAAUUAAUUGUGGGGGAAUCUUAUCUAAUUUUGAGAUAUGAGAUUUAUUUAAGAAGAAUGGAAAUAUAAUUUGCUAAUUGAAUGAGACAAUCAAAAUGUCAUUUCUUAUAAUGGUAACUUUAAGGUAUUGAAAGGUUGGAGAUCUUCUAGCAAAUACCUUAAAUGUGGGGGAAUGUACCCGAGUGUUAGCAAAUUACUUUUUAAGUCCUAACAUAUGUUUUGAAGGACUUAGCGUUGGAAAACAACUACUCUCGAAUGAAAUAUAAUUUCAUAAAUGGAAGUGCACACCAUAAGUGAUAGUCAUCAACCUAGUGGAUCCAAUUUUUAAAGGUUUGAUUAGAGAGUAAGUUGUAUCAUCGAGGGGAAUGGAUUAAAAGCCUACGUCUUAAGAAUCACCAUAAUGGCAACCCAACCUAGUUGAUUGGAGAUCCCAAGAUCUAGAUUCAAAAGGACAACCGAAUUGUGGAUGAUUCAAUGGGAGCAUUGCGGAGAUAAUCUCCUACCUAUGUCCUAUGAUGAAACAAUGCUAUCUGCAACGUAUGUAGGAUAAGCUUUGCUUUUAAUGAUUCCUAUAUUUGGAAAUAACAAGUGGGGUAUUGCAGGAUACUCUUAAUGGGAAGUCACCUAUCUUGAGUGAGGAAUGGGGCCAUUCCUGUGAGAAUUUUUUGAAGGGCUUAGUUCUCUAAAAGCACUCAUGAGAAACCAAGAAUUGUUCAGGGCCAAAAUGAACACAACCGAGCAACCACGGGGUGUCUGGAAAGGUAUUGUGUGAUUACUAUUAUCUUGGUUUACACAAACGGCUGAGCAGUUCAAGACAUCGCGUUCACUGAUUAGCCAAGUAAAUCCGAUAGUAAUUCACUACGGAAGGUUCAAAGCCAAAAGCCACCUAUCCCGAUGCGGUACUUUUCCUAUUGAAUUCUCUCUCUAGUGUCUGCAUUGUCAUUUGCAUGGUAUUGAGUCAAUUUCCAUUCAUGUGGGGGAUUGUUGGAAAAUUUAAUAAUAAUAUUAUUAUAUUAAAUUUAUUAAUAGAAUGGAAAUUAGAAGUGGAGCCUUUUGGAAGAAAGAUGUGUCUAAUCAAAUGAAGAGUUGCAACUUUUGACUCUUCAUGAAUAGUCAUAUGCUUUCCAAAGAGGUAUCUCACGUUCUAUAAAUAGGGAAGCUCCCUAUAAUCACAAAGAACUUUUCAUCAUACAUACAUAUAGUGCAUUAAAUAUUAGAGAGUCUCAUUGAGUUCAUAUGAGAGUUUUCAACACAAUCGUGGUUCAUGGAGCCUUGUGAUUUGGAGUGCUACUAUUACAGGGACGUGGUCGUUGUAUCUUGGGAGACAUGCGCCGAUCAACCAUGAGCACCGUAGUGGGGCGUAAACUUGUCUUAAGGACAAAGUGUCCAACACUUGUCUCGACCGUAUUUUCUAGGUUUUUCUAAUCCAUUUUAUUAUGUUCAUAUAACAUUGGUUACUCAUGUGUAUGUAUUAUUGUGAUAUAUAAUUGCAUGAAUUAUUUCUUGAUUUUCUAUGUGAUUUAAUAUAGCAAUUAGACCCAAUUUUUCCAACAUGAAUAUUUUUAGGCCCCUUCCUUAUCCAACUCAGAUCACUAGGGGGAGAGUGCCAGUUUUGGUGAUCUCUGUUGGUUGAAUUAUGGUUCAUGGGGAGAAAAGUAGGUUGUCGAGAUGUUUGUACAGCAACAACAGGUUGUUGCCGAGCCCUCUGUCCAACAGCAACUGGUCACUACUGACCCAACAAAAGAGCCUCAACAACAACAUUCCGAACACAAGACAACUAAUCCAAAUACUAUUGUGAGUAUAUAUAAGUUGCCACUAAGACAAAAUCAAGGUGUACCUCCUAAUAGGUUUUCCCCAUAAGGAAAUGUGAAGAGAUGUUUGCUCUGCUGAAAAAUAAAAUUUGGGAGAUAGUGUAGUUACCUAAGGGAAAGAAACCUGUUUGUUGGUUGUUUACAAUCAAAUACAAGGUUGACUAGUCUAUAGACAAGUAUAAAGCAAGGCUGGUGGCUAAGAGGUAUACUCAAACAUAUGGUGUCGAUUACCAGGAAACAUUUUUCCUAGUGGCAAAUAUGAAUACGGUACGUGUUUUGAUUUCUUUAGCUACACAUAUUGGCUGGCCACAAUGAAGGACUCGUUCUUACAUGCGAACUUGGAAUAAGAGGUAUUUAUUGUUUUCCUCCAAGAUAUAAUGUGAAUGGGAAUACUAAGAGUGUUGGUUACACAAGUCUCUAAAUGGAUUCAAGCAAUCACUCCGUGCAUAGUUUGACAGGCUAACUCAAACAAUGAAAAAAUGGGUAUCUCCAGAGUCAUUCAGAUCGCACAUUGUUUCUGAAUUGUAGACUAGGCAAAGUAACUGCUUUUAUUAUUUAUGUAGUUGACAUAAUUAUUACAGAAGACAAUUCAGAUGAAAUACAGAGAUUGUAAAAAAAAUCUUGCAUCAAAGUUUAAGAUGAAAAAUUUGGGAGAUUUGAAGUACUUUCUUGGAUUAGAAGUUGCCCGCUCAUCCAAAAGGUAUUAUCUUUUCCUAGCGAAAAUAUCUUUUAGAUUUGUUAAAAGAGACUAGCAUGUUAGGGUGUAAGCAUGUGGACACUCCUAUUUGUACCAUAUUGCACCAAUCUCGAAAUUACCGAGCACUAGUCAACCUCAAGCCUUCAGGGGACCCACUGAAGGAUUAGUGUUGAGGCACCCCUACUGAAGCACAAGAGUUUCUCUUUAACCAGGAGGCAAAUCACAAUGCAAUACGUGUCAAUAAUAAAGCUCCUAGAGUCCCACAUCGACCGCAGAUGGAAGCCAGAGACUCUCCUCAACUAUAAAAAGCGACCAUUAUCUUACAGUUAAUCUCUAAUGCCAUUAUUGUACUUAAAUCAUUAUUAGAACCCAGUAAUGAUGAUUAUACUUAAACCAUUGUAUUAUGUCAACUCUACAAUAUUAAUGAUCCUCUACCUUCGUGGACGUAACCCAACUUAGGGUGAAUCACGUACAUCUUGUGUUUAUUUCCAUAUAUCUCUCUACAUAUUUACUUACACUUCCAGAGCAACCAUGCGACUAUCAUAAACUUGACACUUUACAUUGUUCCAAAGUCGCACCGCUUUUGUGCAUCAACAUUUGGCAUCGUCUAUGGGAACGACAAUGUUCCUACUCCCACCUGUAUUGUCAGGCUGGUUUCCAUGUGUCAUAUGCUCUUAUUCAAUUUGGCAUUCCUCACCAAUAUGGGGAGUGAGAGAAAGCCAUAACACACAGAACGACAACCCUCUUUAUGGCUAGUGUGAGGCAACGAAUGAGCAAAAGAAAGAACGUUCCUACCCUCACCUGUAUUGUCAGGCUGGUUUCCAUGUGUUGUAUGCUCUCAUUCGAUUUGGCAUUCCUCACCAACAUGGGGAGUGAAAGAAAGCCAUAACACACAUAACGACACCUCUCUUUAUGGCUAGUGUGAGGAAACGAAUGAGCGAAAGAAAGAACAUUGCUAUUCAAGCCAAAGUUGAAGAGCUUUAAGAUUAGAACAACAAAUAGCAAUCACGAAUGAGAUUCUCCAAUAACAGUAUAAUAAGCUCUUCAGGAUGCUCCAUGAGGCUAGAUAGACUUAGUCUUAUGGGCCCAUCACCCCAAUAACUAUCGAUCAUCAUGUGGGUACCCCCAACACGAAGGGUCACCAGUUUUCAACAUGGCUGUUCCCAAUGAGAAACAACAUUCUUAUCAGAAUGUUGAUCAACAUGAGACUUUUCUCAAUCUAGCUGCUUCGACCCAAAGCAGGAGAAGUGGAGAGAGAUAUCUUCUUGCAGAAGGAUUAGAAGGAUUAAGAGUCAUUUACCGUGAUUGUCACGUCGAGAAAACAUGUGAGAAAAUGAAUUUUCAGGGCCGGAGUAAGUUUUGUCUGAAUGCUGCUACAUCAAAAGUUUGGUCAUAGACUCACCAGCUUUAGGCGAAGUUGUAUUAGAUAAAGCAGGGUGCCACCAUCACUCUACUUUAAGGCAUUAGGUGGAGUUUUAGCAACUCCACUGGAUGACCAUGCUUGUUUCGCAAGACAUGCUAUCUGAUCUAGAUAUGGACACAAUCAGAUCCUAUAAGUCUUGGAAUCCCUACUUACUAGAUAUCAUCUAGGAUUCUCCCAGCUUAGAAUAAGGAUUCUAUCAUAAAAAUGUCUCUUUUCCCACGGUAUAAAUACACCCACCUAGGGUUCCUCUAUAGUAACACAAAAUAUAUACUUCAAUUAUCUUGCCCACUGCUAAGUCUAAAAUCAUUCACUAACUUGAUCGCCUGAGAGUCUUUUGCUAGCACACCCCUCGGGCCCUAGGCUUGAUUACUGUUUUUUUUUCUGUUUUGCAAGUUGCUCGAGUUUGUGCUCUACCACCUUUAAGGAGGUGCACGAAUUUGGUUCCAACAAAACUUAUUCACAUAGACUCAAACAUCAGUGACACAAAGGUUGUCAAUGGACUUGGUCCCCUACCACGACUUAUACCAACUACUAAUCUAGGGAAUAAGCGACAAGCCUUGGAGAGAGAAGAAAGUGUAGGAGACUCAUGGGGCUUCCAACAGGCACUUCCCGGUAGCCAGUACUAUGAAUCCAAGGAAAUGCCACAUGUCUUUUACCAAACUUAAUUUUCUACUUCUAAAAGAUGGAAGCUUGCAAAAAAAGGUUCCAAUAGUGCCUGAUUCCAAUAAGGACCCCCUUAUUUUGCAAGUCCUCGAAGAAGUGAACAAGUUGAAGGCCGAGCGUUAAGUCGCGAUACCUGACUGGAAUUAGCCAAGGCCCAACCCUCUAACAAAGAGGAUUCUUGGCACCCCUCUACAAGGAGAAAUAAAACAGAAGUUGGGCUUACAAUCGUAUAAUGGGAGGGAAGCCAAUUUUUUUUUAAAUAAUAGAAAAAAGAAAAGAGGCUCUGGGUUUCUAAUUUGGACAUAUUUUUUUCUCUUCUCAACAAGAAAAAGAAGGAAUUGGUUUUAUAACACACACACACACACACAUAUACAUAAACAUAUAUAUAUUCAGCUAUCCUCCUUGAUUGGAGAUUAGGAAGAACUCCCACUAUAUGCUACUAUACUUCAGUACUCAGAAGUUUUGUGAUUACUUAGUGACUUGAAUUUUGCAAGCCCCAACCUAGAAGCUUUCCUCACCCGGAAACUUGAGAGAGCAUUGUUUGUACCAUAUUGCACCAAUCCAGAAAUAUCGAGUACCAGUCAACUUCAUACAUUCAAGGGACCCAUUGAAGGAAUCGUGUUGAGGCACCCUUGCCGAAGUAUAAGAGUUUCUCUCCAACCAGGAUGCCAAUCACAACGCAACACAUGUCAACAUCAGAAUAAAGCUCCUAGAGUCCCACAUCAACAACAGACAGAAGCUAGAGACUUUCCUAAACUAUAAAAUGAGACAAUUCUCCUAUAAUUAAUCCCUAAUGCCAUUAUUAUACUUUAAAUUAUUAUUAGAACCCAGUAAUGAUGAUUAUGCUUAAACCAUUGUAUUAUGUAAACUCUACAAUAUUAAUGAGAACUCAUUUACCUUCGUGGACGCGCGUAACCCAACUUAAGGUGAGCCACAUACAUCUUGUGCUUUCUUCCAUAUCUUUCUCUACAUAUUUACCUAUACUUAGUGACCAGAGAAACUGUGCAAAGGUCACCAACUUGACAUUUUACGUUGUUCCAAAGUCUCAUCGAUUUUGUGCAUCAACAACUCCUAUUGUGGAAAAACAUCGCUUGGGUAUUUAUCCUGAUUAGGUGUCUGUUGCUAAAGAUGGUUAUCAAAGAUUGGUAUGGAGAGUAAUUUAUUCAGCUCAUACUCGUCAUGAUAUUUUCUAUGUUGUUAGUGUUGUGAGUCAAUUCAUGCACUCAUCGAGUCAAGAUCAUGUGUCUGUUGUCUCGUGCAUUUUAGUAUACUUGAAAUCUGUACCUGGUAAAGGGAUAUUCUAUAGGGGACAUGGGCACCUGAAAACUAAGGGGUUUACAGAUGUAUUGGACAAGUGACGUCAUUGACAUGAGUUAUACAUCUAGGUAUUUACAUUUGUUGGAGGAAAUUUGGUUACAUUUGUGUAGUAAGAAACAGAAAGUGGUGUCACGAUCUUCAGCAGAGGCGGAAUAUAGUGGUAUGGUACAAGAUGUAUGUUUUCUUUGGUUACGCAAACUUCUGGGUUGUCUGGGUUUCAAACCAACGGAUGCUGUGCAAUUUUAUUGUGAUAAUAAGUCUGCAAGAGACAUUGCAGAUAAUUAAGUUCAACAUGAUAGAACAAAGCAUGUGGAGGUUGAUAGAAAUUUUUCAAGGAGAAUCGUGAAAGGAAAAUUGUGUCUAUACCAUUUGUGAACUCAGGAGAGCAACUUAUUGAUCUUACUCAUGUAGUGUGUAGUAGAGUGUUUAAUGACUCACUUGUCACGUUGGCGUGUGAUAUCUAUGCGCCAACUUGAGGAAGAAUGUUGGCGUGCGUUAUAAACUAUAAAUAUUCUAGGAGUCCUUUAUUUAGUAGGAAUAUGAUUUUGUAUUUAUGUCUCCUUGUGAGAUAGCACAUGUACAUUUAUAUGUAUAUAUUGUAAUCAAAUGCUGAAUAAAAAGUAAGAAAGUGUUUUGGGUAUCCUGUUCUACCUAUUUCAACUGAGAGACAUAAUAUCAAGGCAGAUAGGCCAUCAUUUCCCAAAAUGACUUCAAACCCUCAAUGAAUUGGAAAAUUACAGUCAUUGGAUCCCUUUGUUUAUGUCGGAAACCCUCAAUUGUGUGGACCUUCACUUCAAGGAGUGUGACUCGGAGGAAACAGGUCGUCCAAAACACUGUGGUGAGUAAUGAAGAAGAAAAGAUGAACUUAUAUAAGUUUUUGGGUUAAUGUUUAAAUAUUGGGCUUGAAUGAAGACAAACCCAAGGAUGUAAAAAUUAAAUGAAGACUUGCCUGAGGCCCAACAUUGAGCCCAGAAGCAAACUGAAGCCUUCUCAGCCAAGACAAAAGCCAUGUGUCCACAAUGGAAGUGACAAGUGAUGGAGACUAACCUACUAUCAGCAAAAAAACACUUUCUAAUGGCAUUACAAGUAAAAAGCUGAUAACUCACUACCAUCCCAGUACUUUCGGGCAAGAGCAAAAGCUACAGCAGCCAGGCCAAACUGCUUAUAAAAGGGAAGACAGGCCCCAAAGACAAGGAUACUUAACCAAUCAAACAAACAAGCAAACAAACUCUGCUCUCAAGCCAGUUUGUGCUCUUUAAGCCUAAAAUCAACUCAGAUUCAGUCUUUUUAAGCAAUGGUUUCCUUACAAAAGCUAUCUUUUGUCUAGUAUAAAAGCUCCGCUACCUCCCUUAGUGUUGUAGUAUUGAUUCCCACAUGUAAACUUGUUUACCAUCCAUCCCUUUUAAGCAUACAACCCCUGUAAACUCAAAGAGAAGUGGAUGCAAGAAGUUCAACCUUGCCAGACAAGGUGAAAUCUUGCUCGAGUCUUUUUGUUUGUUCUCUAAAUUAGUAGAUCUAUUGAUUAAUGCACUAUUCAACUUGUAUUCAAGUCAUUUCCACCUUGUUGAUGCACAAAAUCAGCGAAGACUUUGGUACAACAGAAAGUGUCAGGUUUUGUGACCUUCGCUUGGUUGCUUCGGUCACUAGUGAGGAUAAGUACGUAAAUGAAUAGAGACAGAGAAGCAAACACAGGAUGUACGUGGUUCACCCAUAUUGGCUACGUCCACGGAGUAGAGGAGUUCUUAUUAGUAGUGAAGGGCUUACACAAGUACAAAGGAUCAAGCUCUCAAUUUAGUGAGUUCUUGUGAAUGAUUUAACACAAAAUGGCAUUACGCAAUAUUGUGGGGGGAUGACCCCUAUUUAUAGAAAAACUUGUAGCUUUGUCACAUUGACAUGUGUCAUGUUAUGAUUGGUUCUUGAUGUUGACACGUGCUGCGCUCUGAUUGGCUUCUAAUCUUGACACGUGUCGAGUAGUGAUUGGCCUCCUGGUCGGAGGGGAACUAUUCUGGGUCCUUGACAGUAUAGCGUUGGCCGGUGCUCGGUAGUUUCGGGAUUGGUCAAGUAUGGUACAAACACACCUGUUUUUCUAUUUUAAGAGUCUUAUUUGCAUUUGGAUCUGUUUAACUUAAUGGGUAUGUUUUCAUUAAGAGCAAUUUGGAACCAAACAAAUGACUUAAGGGGCUCUGGACUCCUUUCAUUCGAACAUACAAGAUUAUGAACUAAAAGUCCUUGUUCGCAAGGCAAGAAAAAGAACUUAAUACAAACUUAACCUAUUUGUGACAAUCCUUUGAUAACAAGAAGUUUGAGUAACUUGGGGCGCAAAUAAUCGACUUAAAACACAUUUGUUCUACAUCUGCUAUAUUGAGAUAGCAGUGGCAUGCCUAAGCAUUUAGUUAGUUUUGAUUGCAAGCCUCAAGGCUUACACCUAAGGCCCUAUAAAAGCACCUUUUAGAACUAACUUCAAGCUCUUAUUGCAGCACACAAGGCAAGCAAGAGCCUGACUACCAAACAUACACAUCCAAAGUGCCAAUCCUUUGGGGAGCUGUGCUGAGGUCUAUAUACCUUCUCCAGAGAAAUCUUUGCCCGAACAUAGUUUUGGCAUGCCCGGAUGGACAUCAUUUAGUCUUGUAUGCCAAGAAGGAAAAGGGAGGAACGAACCUUCAUAGUUUUGGCAUGCCCGGAUGGACAUCAUUUAGUCUUGUAUGCCAAGAAGGAAUAUGGAGGAACGAACCUUCAGGUGGAAUGAUAGACCAUCUUGAAGAUUUCCCCUCCCUACGAGGACCAGCUGUUCUGCAAAGCCCGACUUCAUCUGAGAAGUCGGGAGGAAAUGUGACCAAUAAAGACUUUCAAGCCACCAUGGUGCAAAUGUUGAAAAGUAUGGAAAAGAUCUAUCUGGAGACCAGAUGAGAAGUGAGCAGACUCUGUUCCUUAAUAGGAAACUUGGAGAGAAGACUAAAUAUAUAGUACUCUACCGCUAGAUAAAUAAUGAGAGAGGCAAGCCCUGAGAAGGAACCAUCUAUUCCUUUAUUUCCCUUGCUUGAGGAGGAGAAUGAAAGAGGAAAGGAUAAAGUAGGGCCUGCGGCCAGCCAGUCAAUCUUAGAAGAGAUCCUGGAAGCAAAUUUGCUCGACCCUGUCACUAUUCUCACUAGAUAGUAGGGGCAGGCCGGGCAAGACAAGAAGAAGUACGGAAUGAACCAACAAGUUAGAGAAUCCAGUGGAAAUGUUGUGUCCACAACUGCGGGUAAGCCUCCCCCUUAUAGGCCGUCACCAUUGGCUAAUAAGGGAGGAGGGGCCAAGUGGAGACAGUCUGAACCAAAGAAUGAGACUUUCUCAGGCAAUGAUCGUAGCCCGAAGUGGGAACCUCCUUACACCCCACAUAGUAAUAUAGCCAACCAGCAACUUAGAGAUGAGUUGGCUGAGUUAAGAAGAAUGGUGGUCCAUAAUGCUCAACCCUAAGCUCGCCCGUUGUCAGGAUCACCUACCAGAAGCCCUACCCUGAGCACAUUGAUGAGCAAAAUCCUUUCCCUCUUAACUUCAAGAUGUCCGCGUUCCCAACUUUCAGUGGAGAUGACUGUAAUGUAUCAUCUAGGGAUCACAUCUUCAAGUUCUCCAACCAUUGUGUGGCAUUUGAAGACAAUCCUAACUAUAUGUUAAGAUUGUUUGGGAACUCGCUGGAUGGCCUAGCAUCUUAAUGGUAUUCCCUUUUGCCCCCUAAUUCCAUUGCUAACUGGGGGCAAAUGAAGAUGGCUUUCCAUGAGCAGUUAAAUAGAGUGGAGCCCGAGAUGACUAUCAACGAUUUAGUUGAGGUGAAGCAAUAUGAGCAUGAGUCCACAGAUGACUUCAUGAUGAGAUUUAAGAGGACAAGGAUGAGGUGCCAAUUUCCUAUCAACCAUGCCUAACUUAUAUCUAUCACUCAGAAGGCAUUAAGGUUGCCUUUGAGAAAGAAGUUUUAUGAUGUAUAGUUCAAUGAGUUGCAAGAGCUCAUAAUUGUUGCCAUAAAGUAUGAGAAACUAUUGAUUGAAGAACAACAAGUGAAGCACUCAUCCAAGGUGCAUUCUUUCUACAAGAAUACUGCAAUUCACCAGGUGGAGUUUAAAUGAGUAGAGCCAGAAGAAAGUGAGGGUCAUGGAGGAGAAGGAAUUGAAAUAUGUGCAGUAGAGAUGACUACCCCCUUCAAACCUUUAAUGGUGAAGGGGUUAGUCCAGCCAGUCAAAGAUCAAAAAGUAGUGAUGAAUGAUGGUGGAUUUGUCCCUAUGAAACCCCCUAAAUACUAGAGUUAUUCUUUUGAUUUAACCAAAGUCUCGGAGAUUUAUGAAGAGUUGGUGCGGGUAAGAGUCAUUGUGCCCGACAGUACCAAAAAGAUGCCUAAGCCCAAAGAAUUAAAAGGAACGAGGUAUUGCAAGCUGCACUAUACCUUCAACCAUUCCAUAACUAAUUGUGUCCAGUUCAGGGACUGGAUAUAAGACCUCAUAGUCAAGGGAAAGUUUCUCUUGGAUAAACCUCAAGCUAAUAUGAUAAUUGACACAGAUCCUUUCCUAGAGGCCCCAAUAAACAUGAUCAACCUGACUUGGGUGAGAAAGGAAAGGGAAAAGCCACUUGGGAAGUGAAAGCAGAAAGGAGGCAAGUUGACAGACCUACAAAAUGAGCAAUUAAGUUGCCCAAGAGACCUAAAGUAGUUAUAAGUAAAUGGCUGGUUUUGUGUAGCAAGUGCCUGAAGAAAUUUUUUUGUCCUAGCUAAGAACAUGUGAGAAUAUUUGAACACAUAGGCAAACUAUUAACACAUUAAAGUAGGCAUGCAUUAAAAAACAAUUCUAAAACCCAUGACUUUCAAAGCCUAGUGAAUAAUGAACCACAAGACUCUUUAACAACAUUAAAGAGAAGGAAGGAUUUAGAGAUUCAUUACCCUUGAAGCUCAUCCUUGUUUACACAAGGGAUUCACCCAAGUGGAGGGCCUUCAAGUCACCUCCUAGCUCCUUGGAUCUUCCUUGUGAUUUUCUCCCUUUUGAUGCUCCUUUGCUCCUUGAGGAUGUGAGGAAAGAAUCUCCAAGAACACCAAAGAUUUGGUGUCUCUAAGUCUCCACACCAAGGAUGAGGUGUGAAGAUGAAAUGGAUGACUUAGAGAAGAAAAGAUUGCUAGCUAUAUCUUCUCUAAGUGGCCGGCAUCCUUUAGAGAAAAAGAGAGAAAAUGUUUCACCUCUUUGCCUCAAGAAAACCCUAAUGAGAAAUAGCUAUAAAGUUGACUUUAUACUACAUCACAUUUGAGUGGCAAACUUGUAAUUAAUUGAGGUUUGCAUCCACUCACCCUUAUGGCCAGCCUUGUCUUUGUUAUUGGGCUAAUUGCCCAUUUUGUUUUAAUUGUCAUACAACUUAAACAUAAUGGGCCUUGUGGACCAAAACACUUUUGGGCCCCGAAACCCAAAACCAACUUAAAAGCCCAAUACGAACCUUUCGUAAAAUUAAUUAACUAAUUAAUUAAUCUUGACCAUUCUUAAUUAAACCAUUUAAUCGCUUAUCCAUCUCAUUUAUAUUUCUUCACUUUCACCCUUACUCGGUGUACAAUCCAUUAGGUUCCAAUUAGCGAGGCAGUGGGCGAUUGUUACUCUUAACGAUCGAUUAUGAAUUGAAACAACAUUUCAAUUCUCCCUUUGUUGAAGAUUAGUGUUUGCUAAUCUUCAGGGCUUCCACAAACCAUGAGUGACACCUAGCAGUAUGUCAUGGCUACCCAAGCUAAGUAGAAGUGGUUGGAGAACCAAUCCAGUUACAAUUACAAUGCAAUACGGUCAUUCUCUAAUACAAUACUCUUAAUCACAUUGUUUGAGUGAUAGUUUGUAUCAUGUCUACUAUCCAAUGUGAUACUUCUCUAUAUGAUUCAAUUGAAUAUGAUUUGGAACAUACUUCCUAAGUCAUAUUCGUAUGCUUUCGCCAAAGACUCCCGAAUCAUAUCUUAGAGUAUUCUCCUUCCACCAUGGAAGGUUAGAGAUUCCUUGUUGUGCAUUCAUAAGCCUACAUGACUAGAUAGCUUGACUCCAACAAUGCCAUGGACACUCUCGAUGGAAUGCCUUUGACAUGAUCAAAGAUCAAAGACCUAACCAUUAGACAUCUAUGAUGCCUCAGGUCAAAUGACUACUUUGCAUAUUGCAACUAAUGAGUUCUUACAUGACAUGUAUGUUUGAACUCUCUUUUGAUCGUUGUUCAGUGUACUCGAUUACUCUUUCAAGCACCUACGUGUUUGUCUUAAUGUCCAACACUAAAUGACUUGAAACUAGUCAUACUCACGCUUGAGUUGACAUAACACAUACUAACCUUAGCGGAUUGUCAAUGCCCAAUUGGCAAUCCUAUGGCUAGGAACGUUUUAGGAAUGAACAUAAGAGAAAGGUCUCGUUAAUCUAACUUACUUAAAUCACUUCUCUCUUAGAUCAAAUACAUUCCUUGGAUUCCCUUAUUGCUUAAACACAUGAUACAAUAAAUAGUGAUUAACAAUAAGCUUUGCCCUUCAUUAAACAUAUAAUAGUUUAAUACAAUAAGUAUUCCAAAAGCUAUUACAUCAAAUGAGUGACUUUGUGGGCAUACUUCCAACAGUGCCAAUGUGAAUAUGAGUUAGAAAUGCCAGCAUAAGGAGCUAUUAUUGAUCAAAAGUUUAUUAGAAUAAGAGAGAAAGAAGAGCAAGAAGCCCGCAGGAGCAUCAUGUGGGCAGCUGAGAAAGAGACAUCCAAAAAUGUUUUACAAAGGUUAGGAGGAGAUUCUGAACCAAAAGGGUUGUUUGAUGUGUUCAGAAACUAUGAAGCCUAAAAAGAAGUGGAGGAUAGAGAGGCCAAAAUGCCAAAAUGGAUAAAUGUAAGGCCUCCCUAACCAAGUUAUGAUGGUGGUGAUGUUAGAAUAAAGAGAAGAACAAAAAACCCAGUAUCCCCAGUCACUAAGAAAAAUUAUGCCCGACUCGGGUGGAAAUGGUAUGUAGUGGGGAAUGAUGGAAAACCAGUAAAACAAAUGGGAGCUUCUAUGAUCAUGAAAGUCCAAAGGCAACACAAAGCCCAUAUGAAAUCAUUAAAAGUCCCUACUACAUCAGAAACCUCUGAAAAUGUGAAGUGUGAAAAAGUCCCUUAUGGGGGAAGGAAUCAACUUCACUAGAGAAGCAAAAAAGCGGUAGAAAGAGACAAUAACAAGACUGAGGGAGAAGAAAAUCAUGUGCCACAAAACCCUCAUCCUGGAAAGUACAUAAUCUUGAGGAGAGUUCGAGAAGAUAUGAUGAUGAUGCCAACCCUAUGAUGGAGUCUAGAACCAAUAUGUUUUGGGACUAUUUCACCUGAGAGAGGAAUACCCUCACCUUUGUUGUUUGAGACCCUUUGUAAGAUGCCAGGGCAAGUGCCAAACUUUGGUAUAACUAGGGAAGAAGAAUUGCCCGAACUAAUGUUGCCAAAAGAAGCACAUGCCUGGUUAAAUGAGUUUACAGUCUAUAUUAGAGGAAAGAAUGAGGAUUUACCUGGACCUAGUAGCUUCCACGUAAGCAUGACAUAUGUACUAUCUUCCAUAUUUUGCACCGAACCUGAUCAGCCUACCACAAUAGAGGGUGAUUACUUAGCAAAAGAACCUAUGAUGGCACAUGUUAGUGUUGAAGAAGCAGGAAAAGAAGAAUACAGCCAAACAGGUUUGCCCGAACUCUCAAGGAGGGAGCCCAAGAGAGUAUAUUCUGACAUAAUGGUCUUUAACCGCCCGAGUAUGUCCCUAGCUAACCAUCUCAAGCCCAUAUACGUAACUGCUCAUCUGGAAUGAGUACCCUUUAAAAGGAUUUUGAUUGAUUGAGGAGCUGCGGUGAACGUGAUGCCAUUGAAACAGAUGAAGAAGUUGGGAAGAUGUGAGGACAAUCUUAUUCCUAUUGACUUAACAGUCUCUAGCUUUUAUAGAACCAUUACUAGAACGCAUGGGAUAUUGCCCUUGGAAGUUGACUUGGCAUCCAAGCAAAUCAUGCUAGCCUUCUUCGUGGUGGACAAUAGUUCCAUUUAUGGAGCCUUGCUUGGUAGAGAUUGGAUUCAUCAAAGUCUCUCAGUGCCCUUCAUCCUGCAUCAACAAGUAGUGGUUUACCACGAGGCAGGGACCAUAGGACCAGGACUUUGGGAGAUGGUAGAGGCCGAAUCACGGCCAUUUCUCCCUACAACCAAUGUUGUAGAAGCCAGCUUUUAUAAUCCCAGUGUUGGGAUUCUACAGUGCCUAGGAGUUGAUGAGAACGGUCGCUCGACUAAGGUGACGGUUCAAAAGCUUUUGGAACAAGGCUUGUUUCUCUCUAGGGAAGAAUGAGAUAGACCCCAUAUCAUCCCAGCUCUUCAACACUAGUAUGCGAGAGAGAGAAAACAUGAAAGGGAGAGCUCAACCAAGGAAGAAGCUUCAAGUAGCCACAAUACAGGAGAAGAAGAGUUUUUUAAGAAGGAGAUAGAGGCAGCCAUACACAUGGCUGAGUUUAUAUAUGACUUGGAUUGGCCUGAUGACAUGCUCGAGGGUCCAAAGUCAGUUGAAUUUUUGUGUAUAGAACCUGACAAGCCAGAACCAGAGGUACAAGACUCCUUAGAAACCAUUGAUUUGGGAACUAAGGCCAUCUCCAACCGAAGGGUCCAAAGGGCCAGAGGGCCGAAAAUAGCCCGAAAACCAUCUCCAAUCGAGGGCUAGGCCAGAGGGCUCUGGAAUCUGGGAGGGCCCCACGGAAUCGGAGAGGCCUGGAAGGCUGGCUACAUGCAGCCAACCAGCUAGCCCGGGGUUGGCCAAUUUUUUUUUAAUGUUUUGUUAUUUCUAUCGGUUAUAACCGACAGGAAUACAUGCUAUUAUUUAAUAUAAAUGUAUUACUGUCAGUUAGGAUUUCUUAAGAAAAAAUUCAAAUGAAACGGCUAGUAGCCAUUGCAUUUGAUUUUUUUUUUUACAGUUUUAUUAUUAUUUUUUAUUUACAAAAUUUUUCAUAUAACUUCUAUUUUUUUCCUAUAACUUCUAUUUCACAAAAUUUGUUUCAUAUUUUUUUUAAAUUCCAUUUUUUUCCUAUAACUUCCUAAGUCAUUAUACAACAUUAAAUUAAAUUAAGUAACAUGAAACAACAUUAAACAAUAUGAAACAACAUUAAAUAACAUUAACCAACAUAAAAAUUAUACAACAUUUUUAAAAACAUUUAAAAACAUAAAACGUAAAUGCCUACUCAUACUUCUUUGGGCCCAAAGAUGCGCAACAAGAUCUUGUUGUAGGUACUUGUUUGUGGCAAGAACGUAUCAUUCUAUAGCGCCUCAUGUACUCAUCUAUAGAGAUACUACCAGUUCUUGGAUUGAAAGCCAAAUUAGGCUCAUCAUAUAUUUUUGCACGAGUCCUUCUUGACCUAUUUGGAUCUUCUUGGUCGUCAUCGGACUCUCCAUCGAUAUACCCAUCUUGCUCAUCAUCCACUAUCAUAUUGUGUAAUAUGAUGCAAGACAUCAUGAUGGAGUCCAAAUUUUCUCGACUCCACCCUCUUGCCGGUUCGCUGAUGAUCUUCCACCGUGCUUGUAGAAUGCCAAAAGCUCUCUCAACAUUUUUCCGAUAUGCCUCUUGGUGUAAGGUAAACAACUUUUCCGCGUCAUUCCUAGGGUUUGGAAUUGCUUGGACAAGUGUCGCCCACUUUGGGUAGAUGCCAUCUGCCAAGUAAUACCCCAUAUUGUAUUGACGGCCGUUGAUGUAGUAGUCAAGUUGAGGUGUUUUACCUUCCGUCAAGUUAUUGAAGAGGGGUGAACGCCCAAGAACUGUAAUGUCAUUUUAGGAACCAGGGACUCCAAAGAAAGCAUGCCAGAUCUAUGUGUCAUAUGAGGCAACCGCCUCUAACACAACAGUUGGCUUUCUCGACCUUCCGCUAAAGCCUCAUUGCCAUCCGGUAGGACAGUUCUUCCAAUCCCAAUGCAUGCAGUCUAAUGACCCUAUCAUGCCCGGAAACCCACGGUCUUCAGCUUUGUGAAAGAGCCGAUUUAGAUCUUUUUUAUUUGGCUCGCGGAAGUACUCGUCUUUGUAAAGCUGAACAAUUGUGUCACAAAAUUCUUGAAGAGUAUCAAGGCAUAUAGACUCAGACAUACCAUGGGUUUCAUCCAUCGAAUCAGCUGAGGAGCCAUAGGUCAUCAUUCGGAGUGCAACAAUAACCUUCUGAUGAGGUGAGAAAUUAGGGCGGCCUGCUCUGUCCCGCUUCUGUCGAAAGUACGGAUUGACCUGCUGGACAUCACAAAGUAUACGCUCGAAGACAUGACGCCUCAUCCUGAAGCGACGCCUGAAAUCCUCUUAUGUGUACAUUGAGUUGGGGUCGAAGUAGUUGUUCAUCAGAUUGACAUGCGUCAUCGCUCUGUUUCGUGGUUUGUAAGAGUGACUAGCAAUAGAGCCACCCCAUUGAGGUUGUUCCUCAGUUGGCUGACACACCAUGGCCGCAGCCAUGACUACUGCUAUGUUUUUUUUAUUGCGCCUUACUUGAACUUCUUCAUCAGACUCCUCAUCUUCUCGUCUCAUUUGCACCCAUUUUACUUAUCUUUUGGAAUUGGAUGAUGACCCCCAGUUGGAAUCUGAAGAGGAUCCAAAGUUGGAAUUCAUUGCAAACUUGAAUUGAAAGAGAUUGAAUUUAAAUAGAUUGAAUUCAAAGUUGUGUGAAUUAUAUCCCAAUAUCCACCUUAUUUAUAGCAAAAAAAAUUCAAAUCCAACGGCUAGCUGACAUAAGCAUGAUGUCAGUUACCAACGGCUAGCUGACGUCACCUAGCCGUUGGAUUUGAAUUUAAGUUAUAGUUUUUAAAUAAUAAAUUAUGUUUGGCCCUAUGGCCCUUUGGCCCUCGGUGGGAGACGGUUUUUUGUGAAAUGGCUAAAACGAGCCCUCUGGCUCUCUGGCCCUCGGUUGGAAACGGAGGCAAAUAUGACCCUGUACUGUUCAUUAAAAUAUUAAUAUCUUGGAGAAUCUUGGAGGGCCAGAGGGUUAAAACGAGCCCUCUUGCCAGCCAUCGGUUGGAGAUGGCCUAAGGAGGAUCCAAGGCCUAUACAUAUCAGUGGCCUGUUGGAAGCAGAAGAUCGUUCAAAGAUAGUUAGCCUUUUACACGAGUUUAAAGAUUGUUUUGCUUGGCAUUACACUGAAAUGCCAGGUUUAUAUUCAACCUUAGUAGAACACAGAAUGCCUAUUAAAGAGGGAUAUAAACUAGUAAAGCAAGCACCACGAAGAAUGUCAAAAGAGAUAGAAGAAAAGGUCAAAGAAAAGAUUGAAAGGCUGGUAAAGGCUGGAUUUAUUAGGCCUGCCAAGUAUGUCGAGUGGUUGGCCAACAUUGUACAUGUAUUAAAAGCUAUAACUAAUGCAGUUCGGUGUUGUGUUGACUAUAGAAACAUUAAUGGAGCCAGGCUUAAAGACGAAUACCCCAUGCCCAUGGCUGACUUAUCCAUAGAUGCAAUUGCAAAACACAAAGUUUUAUCUUUCAUGGAUGGAAAUGCUGGUUAUAAUCAAAUAAAAAUGGCUAAAGAAGAUAUACAUAAAACAACUUUUAGAUGCCCGGGGACAUGUUGGAGCAUAUGAAUACUUGGUAAUGCCAUUCGGGCUCAAAAAUGCUGGUGCAACUUAUUAAAGAGCAAUGAAUGCCAUUUUUCAUGACUUGAUUGGCCAUAGCAUGGAAGUAUACAUUAAUGACAUCAUGGUGAAGUCUAAAACUAAAGAACAACACCUAGUAGGUCUCAGACAAGCCUUAACAAGAAUGAGGACCCACCCUAAGAAAUGUGCUUUUGGGGUAAGAUGGGGGCAACUUUUUGGGGUUCCUUGUUCAUCAAAGAGGGGUGGAGGCCGACAAAAACAAAGCUCGGGCAAUAAUGGAAUCACCUUCUCCCACCAAUAAAGUACAACUGCAAAGGCUGGUGGGAAAAAUCAAUUUCCUAAGGAGAUUUAUUGCUAACUUGGCGGGCAAAAUUCAGACGUUGACUUCUCUGUUAAGAUUGAAAGAUAAAGAAGAAUUUCAGUGGGGCCCACUACACCAAGAGGCCUUUGACAAAAUAAAGACUUACUUAGCCUCUCCAUCAGUGCUCAUGUCACCUCAGAAGCCUUUAAAGCUUUAUAUUUCUGUCUCUGAAAAGUCAAUAGAAAGCUUGUUGGCCCAAAACAAUGAAGGUGGGAAAGAGCAAGCAAUAUAUUACCUCAGUAGAAUCCUUAUUGAGGUAAAAACGAGAUAUACCCUAGUGGAGAAGUUGUGUUUAACCUUGUACUUCACUGCCGAUAAGCUAAGGCAUUAUAUGUUGCCUUGCCACAUCCACAUAAUUGCAAAGACCGAUGUAAUCAAAUAUAUGCUAUCAAAACCAAUGCUAACUAGAAAGGUUGGGAAGUGGAUUCUAGCAUUAUCAGAAUUCAGUUUUCAAUAUGUACCUCAGAAAGCAAUAAAGGGGCAAGCGAUUGCAAACUUCUUGGCCGAGCACCAAGAAUCACAUGAUGAACUUAUCAAUAUCGUAGAGACUCUAGAGGUGGCCAGUCUUUGGAUCCCACCAAGCAGAGUUCUCUCAGGCAAAGAUGAAUGGAUUCAACAAGAGAUAAAGAGGAUAACCAGCCUCUGGAUCACUCAUUUGAGGAUGUAUUUUGAUAGAUCUUGCACUCAACAUGCUGCUAGGGCUGGGAUUGUCAUCAUUGAUCCCCAGAAUGUUCACCACUGUUAUUAAUUUCUCUUAGAUUAUCAAGAUACUACCAAUAAUCGGGCGGAGUAUGAAACACUAAUAAUUGGCUAGGAAAUCCUGAUAGAGUUGGGGGCAACUGAAGUUGAGGUUUUUGGUGACUCAGAAUUAGUGAUCAAUCAAUUGAAUAGAGAAGACAAGUGUAAGCAUAUCACCAUGGCUGGUUAUUAUUUGGCAGCUACAUAACUAUUGAGCUAUUGGGGCACUGAAAUAUCAGUCAACCACAUCCCCAAAGAAUCAAAUGCAAUUGCCAAUUAGAUGGCGCAGUUGGCUUAUGGAGCACAAAUCCAAGAGAGAAGAGUCAAGGUAGAUGUGGAAGUACAAAUGAGAAAUCUACCUUCUAUCUUUAAAAGAGGAUUCAACUAGAUAUGAUGACUAAAGAACCAAAGAUAGAAGACUGAAGAACACCUUGUUGAUGCACAAAAUCAGUGAAGACUUUGGAACAACGUAAAGUGUCAAGUUUGUGACCUUCGCUCCGUUGCUUCGGUCACCUUGUGAUGAUGAUGUGUAACGAGGUAGAGAUAAGGAAGCAAACACAAGAUGUACAUGGUUCGCCCUAAGUCUGGCUACGUCCAUGUCGCAGAGGAGUUCUCAUUAAUAUUGAAGGGUUUACACAAAUACAUAGGUUUAAGCAUAAUUAUCAUUAGUGGGUUCUAAUAACUAGUUUAAGCACAAUAAUGACAUGAGGGAUUAAUUGUAGGAGAAUGGUCUCCUUUUAUAGUUGAGGAGAGUUUUUAGCUUUUGUCUGCGGUCGAUGUGGGACUCGAUGAGCUUUAUUCUGAUGUUGACAUGUGUUGCGUUGUGAUUGGCCUCCUGGUUGGAGGAAAAAUUUUAUGUUGUGGCAAGGGUGCCUUAGCAUGAACCCCUCAGUGAGUCCUUGAAGGUAUGACGUUGAUUGGUGCUCGAUAGUUUUGAGAUUGGUCAAGUAUGGUACAAAUAGUGCUCCCCUAAGUUCCCGAGUGAGGAAAGCUUCUUGGUUGGGGACUUGACAAAUCCAAGUCACUGAGUAAUCAUGAACUUCUGAGUACCAAGGUGUGGUAGCAUAUAUAGGAGUCCCCCAAGUCUCUGGACGAGAAGAAUUGCCGAAGAGGUGCCUUACUUAUUGCCAAUUUAUCAAAAUAGGGAAGCCUUGCUUUUAUAUCACACACUUUCAUUUAUGCCUUAUCGCAAAAAUAUUUCAAACUAGUUUGAGCUUCAUAAAGGCCUAGAAAUUUCUUUUAUGCUAGAAGCCCAACAUUUUUCUCUUUAUGUUAGAAGCCCAAAAUUCUUGUGCAGCCUGAAGCUACUCCUUUGUUUUGCAAGCCCAAGAAAAGGGGAGGCCCAGUGUCUUUUUUUUUUCUUUUUUUUUUUUUGUUGUUUCUGGUUUUUUUAUUUUUUGUUGUUUCUAUUUUUGUUUAGUUGCCAAGCCUAAGGAAAAAGAAAGCCCAGCUGUAGUUAGAAUCAGCCCUAGCCUUUGUUUGAAACUGGCCCGAGGCCCAGCUUAAGGCCAACCCAACACUAUGCACAACAACCUGUCCCGUGCCCAGCUUAAGACCUUUUUUUUUCUUUUUCUUUUUUCUGUUUUUUUUAAUCCGAACCCUAAUUACAUAGCCACCUAUCCCGUACUCUCUUCCUCGGCCUUCCCAUUUUGGCUGCGUAGCAUUCCACUCUGGUCUGUUUUUUUUUUUUAUUCAGCAGCCCAAUGCAUCAAGGUGGACAGUGGCACCUCUCUUUAUCCUUCUGUCUAUGAUUGUGCAGUCUGUAUCAACAUAACAUUUCCUUGUUCCCUCCCUUUUCAGCGUUCCUUAUGGAGACCCACCAAAAUCCAAAAGGAAAUUGCUCUCUGAUUUCUCCGUUAUGUCAUAUUUUCAGAACACAAACCGUUGGCAGCUGUUGCUUCGAAGGAAACUAGCUUCUACAUCUCCCCACGCGAUUGGGGCCGUGACACAGAAGAGCUCGAGUAAGUUGAGGAUGCAGGUAUGCAGCCUUUUCGAAUAGAGUGCAAAUUUUUCUCUAAGACCAGCUUAGAGGGGGUUGCAGAAGCUGGGGAGUUGUGCAGGUUGUCGAUGAGUGGCUGUAGCUGGGUUGUAGAGACGGGUUUGUGCAAGGGUGGCUGCAGGUAGGAACUUUGGUGGUGGAGGGAGCGGGACCGUUGCCGAUAUGCAGGCAUUUGGGUGUUGGGAAUGCGUCGAAGGAAUUUGGAGUUUUGGGUUUUGAUGGAGAGGUUGAGAGUUCAAGGUUGAAGGGAAUGACCGCUUUGAUUUCCAUAACGCAGCAAGUUCAAAGCUUGCUGUGAUUUUGGGUUGAAGGUUGCAGGUGGAGUGGCGUCGAAAGCUUGCUCUGAUGCGGGUUGCAACUUCAAAGGUCUAACAUUUUUCCUCGGACCCAUGUGACUCCAAGGCUCUUGAUUGGUAGCUAAAUGAGUGAAAGGUUAAGACUAUGUUCUUCGAAUUUUUGCUUAAUUUGAUGCCCUUGUCUAAUGUUGUACCCUGUGUUUGUAUUUUGUUUUUUUGCUAUAUGGUUUGUAUUCUGUUGAAUAUUUGUGUAUUCAAGUUGAUAUUGUCUUAGGAUAGCUUGUUUGGUUUCAGGAGUUGGGAGAGUUUAAAAAAUGAUUUCUUAUGUAAAAGUUUAUGUUUUACAAUGUAAUGGGUGAAGGUUAACGGUUGUAGCUUUUUGCUUCUUCGUGUGUAUAGCUUGUAGCUUGAGUGAUUUAAUGUGGGAGAGACUACACAAAUAGGUUUUGCUUCCACACUCUUGAGGAAAAGUGUGGAAGGCUUUGUUGAAGCUUUUGGUCAAAGCCCUUUUUUCAAGAGUGUGGAAGGCUUUUUGAAUUUUUUUGUUGAAGCUUUCGGUUGAAGCUUUUUUGAAAAGUACAUAAAUAGAUUUUGCUUCCACACAUUUGAAGAAGAGUGUGGAAGGCUUUUUGAAUAUUUUGUUGAAGCUUUUGGUUGAAGCUUUUUUGAAGAGUACAUAAAUAGAUUUUGUUUCCACACUCUUGAAGAAGAGUGUGGAAGGCUUUUUGAAUUUUUUGUUGAAGCUUUCGGUUGAAGUUUUUUUUUUAAGAGUACAUAAAUAAAUUUUGCUUCCACACUCUUGAAGAAGAGUGUGGAAAGCUUUUUGAAUUUUUUGUUGAAGUUUUCGGUUGAAGCUUUUUUUUUUUUUUUUUGAAGAGUACAUAAAUAAAUUUUGCUUUCACACUCUUGAAGAAGAGUGUGGAAGGCUUUUUGAAUUUUUUGUUGAAGCUUUCGGUUGAAGCUUUUUUUUUGUUUGAAGAGUACAUAAAUAAAUUUUGCUUCCACACUCUUGAAGAAGAGUGUGGAAGGCUUUUUGAAUUUUUUGUUGAAGCUUUCGGUUGAAGCUUUUUUUUUGUUGAAGAGUACAUAAAUAAAUUUUGCUUCCACAGUCUUGAAGAAUAGUGUGAAAGGCGUUUUGAAUUUGGGUGUGGGAAGCUCAUACCCUUGGGUGUGGGAAGCUCAUACCCUUGGGUAUGAGAAGCUCUCUUCCUUAGGUGUGGAAAGCUCUCUCCCUUCGGUGUGGGAAUCUUUCUUCCUUAGAUGUGGGAAGUUCAUGCCCUUAGGUGUGGGAAGUUCAUGCCCUUAGGUGUGGGAAGCUCUCUCCCUUGGGUGUGGGAGGCUCUCUUCCUUAGGUGUGGGAAACUCUCUUUCUUAGGUGUGGGAAACUCUCUUUCUUGAGUGUGGGAAGCUUUCUUCCUUAGGUGUGGGAAGCUCAUGCCCUUAAGUGAUGACACCUAUUACUCAGUACUUGAAAGAUCAUUCUUUCCCCACAAGUAAGAAGACCAGACAACAAGCAACUAAGUAUGUCAUGUGGGAUGAAUUUAUGCUAAGGAAGACCCUAGAUGGAUUGUUGUUGAAAUGUUGAGGCCAAGAAGAAUCAAUGAGAGUAAUGGGUGAAGUACAUGAGGGAAUUUGUGAGGCACAUCAAGUUGGAACUAAGAUGAGAUGUUGCUUAAAAGAUAUGGCUAUUUCUGGCCCGAGAUGGAAAAGGAUUGCAAGGCUUAUGUCCGAGGGUGUGAAGCAUGUCAAAAGCACAGACCUCUCCAACAUGUACCAUCAGUACCCUUGAAUCCUAUGAUAAAGCUUUGGCCCUUCAGAGGAUGGGCUAUGGACUUAAUCGGGCAAAUUUACCCUGCUUCUAGCAAGGGACAUACAUUCAUAAUUAUGGCAACAUAUUAUUUUACCAAGUGGGUAGAAGCUUCAUAUGUGAAGACUAUCACUUCAAAUGCUGUAAAAAAGUUCAUUAAGACCAAGAUUUUACAUAGAUAUGGGGUGUUCGAGACAAUUGUGACAGAUCGCGGGCAAUUUUUUAUUUCAAAAGAAGUAGAGGAAUUUGCAACUUAGUUCAAGAUAAAGAUGAUCCAGUCCAGUCCUUACUACCCCAAAUCAAAUGGUCAAGCAGAGACUAGCAAUAAGAUCUUGGUGAACAUUAUUAAGAGAAUGAUAACAGAAAGUCCAGCGAAAUGGCAUGAGAAGUUGGGAGAAACUUUGUGGGCUUACAGAACCUCUAAGAGGGCAGGAACUGGAACUACUCCUUAUACCUUAACCUUCGGGCAAGAUGUUGUACUCCCCAUGGAGAUUAAUGUGAGUUAUGUUAUGAUUCAAAAUCAGUUUGGGCUACACAGUGAAGAAUGCAUUCAGGCUAUGUGUCAAGGAAUUGAAGAUCUAGAUGUAGUCUGAAUUGAAGCUUUAAACAAGAUUCAAGAAAGGAAGAAAGUUGUUGCCUGAGCUUAUAACAAGAAGGUGAAAUUGAAAACCUUCAAGGAAUGAAAGUUAGUAUGGAAGGCAAUUUUGCCCUUAGGAGCUUAAGUCAGAGGCUUUGGAAAGUGGAGUCCUACUUGGGAAGGUCCUUUCAUUGUUAAACAAGUAUUAAAUAAUGGAGGUUAUUACGUGGUAGAUUUGGAAGGAAACUUGCAAAGGCAUCCAGUUAAUGCUAAGUUUUUGAAGAAAUAUCACCCAAUCUUAUGGGAUGUUAGGGAUUGUUAUAUUGAAGAAGUUUAAGCAUUGGGAAGAAACCUAAAGUUAGUUUGUGCAUUCACCAUAGUUAAGUUUUAAGAAGGAAUACAGGCUGAAGUGAAGGAAGAAGUCAUUUUUAUUUCAUCAAAUAUUGAAGUUACAUAAGGUUUAACUUAACAGUUUUACAUCCUUGGCUAGGGCAGCUAUCCUAGAGUGGUAUGUUUGCAUGAUAGUGAAGAUUUUGCCAGGCUCCUCCAAAGCAAUAUUAUUGUUGGUUAAUUAUGCUUCAGCAUCCUCAACUUCAACAUUUACUUUCUUGACUUCUUCAAUCUUUUGGUAAAGUCAUUUGUUCAGCCUUGAGUGUAGACAGUUGCUCCUCCAACUUUUGAAUUUCAGAAGUCACCUCUAUAAUCCUUGCCUCCAUGGCUGAGCCUUCUUCUACUAGCUUCUGCAAAGAAGAUGAGGUUCUUGAGUGCUUCUCCUUGUAGCAUUUUACUUUGUUGCCCUGCUUCUCUGCCCUCAGAUGCUGGUCCCUUAAUGCCCUCAAGUUCUAAAAAAAGUUAAGGAAUGACUCAAACUAAACCUUUGUCAUGUGUUGGGCUUUGUAGAGUUCAAUCAGAGCCUUCUCAGCAUCUUGAAGUCCCUUAAGGCUAAAAGAAGCAUUGAAGUCCAUCUGCAUCCAUUCUUGGAAGAUAUUGCGCCGAUCUUGAAGUUGUUGAGGCUCAAAAGGGCGCCUUUGAGACCUCAACUUUGUUCUGAUUUGCCCGACCUCUUUGACAAGCUCGGGCAACGAAGUUGUAGCUGGGAUAGGUGCGAGAGGUGGAGGCAUUGCUUCCGUACUCCCAAAAGUUAAGGAAGUAGCAGUAGUCCUUAUCUUCUUCGGUCUAUGGAUAGGAAUUCUCGUAACCCCAGAGGCCAAGGGAGACCUUGGGAAAGCUGCUUUAUGCACCAAAGGUAGAAGAGAUUGGUCCAAGCCUUCUCUAAGACCCUGUUGCAAACCAAGAAAAACAAGUUAAGAAUAAGGUCUACAAUUCAGAUUAAAGGAAGGCAAGAUAAGAGGAGUUAAUAUACCUGGGUUGAGAUCGGAGCCUUAGAAGAAGGUGGAUGAGUUGUUUUCUGCGAAGGCGGAGGAGGCUCAACCCUACUCACUGGAAAAGAAGUAGACGGACUGGCCUGAGCAGCCUAGGAAGCCCGAGGACUAGUUACCUCUGAGACCAUUGGGAUCUCAGAGACUAUUAGCUCCCUAAAUGAAGUGGUUGGUGGCUAAUUAGUCUCAUGUGUUGAGGAUGACUAAAAAUAACAAAGUAUAAGUACAAAUAGAAAGAACUUCAAGCAUAAAAGGCUCAAGCUAAAGGGCUUACCAAGUUACUAUUGUCAUCCACAAAGUGUAACAUCUCCUAAGUUGAAGGAUUUGAGAAGAACUUUGCCCAAUUAAAGGCGCAAGAUCCCCAACCUUGGCCUAGAGAAGAAUGAAGGUCUAUCAAUAAUUUCAAAAGUGAUAAAGUUGCAGGCUUAAAGCCAAGAGGAAGAAAAGUAUACCUUUGAAGAUUUAGCCCGAGAAGGAGAAUCAUGUAUUGUUCGGGCUAGAGGAGAAAAAUCAUCGGGCUGAGAGAUCCCUUUUUCCCUUAUGUCCUGUUUUAGGCAAUCGGGCAAAGAAUUAAUGCAAAGGGAAAUAAGGGGUAAAACUUUGAAGGGGUGACUUGAGAUGCAGGUUAUACAUUCAAUUCUUCAAGAAUGGUAUCAAGAAGAUCCUUGUCCUUGUGGUACAUCUUCAUGCCUAACGGUUCAUCCCUUGAAACAAAAGUAGGCUUCUUGGUUGCUUGAGAUCCUAGUAGCAAGGAAGAAGAAGUUAUUAGUUCAUAGAGUGAAGAUUGCAAUUAAGAAAAAAGUGAAAUGAAGUUAACUUACUGGAUGACUUCUGCUUCUUUCUUCCCACUUCAAUUGGAGAAGCAAUGGAAGACUUAGAACAUUUGGAGGUUUUAGAAGUUUGGGCCCUGGAUCUCUUUUUCGUAAGGGUUGCCCGCAGACCAGGUAUAAAUAGUGGAGGCUGAGGCUGCUCCUCAAGCUCAAAUUCUGAAGAUUCCACCAUUGUUGCCAUUAUCCGAAGCGUUGCUUGAGUUUCUACAAUGGGCUCAGCCUCACCCUCAGAGUCUCCAAAUAACUAAGAGAUGUCCCUAACCUCUCAAGCUGCUUGACUGAAACCAACACUUUGUCCCUAACCCCUCAAGAAAAGAAAAAUACUUAUUAAAAGAAGUUAGUUCUUCUAAUAGAUCAUCUCCUUUCAACUUUCAAACUCGCUUGGCUUGGGAUAAGACUUGAUUGUGAGUUGCCCGAAUAGGUAGGCAUGAGACUCCCUGAGAUCCCCUCCAUACUUCUUAGCCCACUUGGCUUCCCACCUGGAUGAGAAGAAAUCAGUACACACAAAAUUUAAUAUCAUGGGCUUUCGGGCAACCUUGCUCAUCACUUCUAGGCUACGCCGAGCUGCCCGAAAAGUAACUUCUUGAUAAGAAUGAAAACGAAAAGAAGUACUACAUUGUACUGAAUCAAAGAAUGGAACAAAAAUGUCUUGUCUGAACCUCAACUGCCUAGCACAGAAGUUGGGGUGGUAUACUUCCAGUCCACGAUUGUAGCCUCAAUCGAUGUGGACUCCCUACGCCAAAUCCCUUGGUUGAAUGCAGCUGAUGAAUUUAUCCUUGCAAAAUUGGUUGGUGUCAUCCCCAAAGGCAUCUUGGAACGCUUGGUCAGAGAACUAGGGAUACCUCUUGAGUACUGAAGCUCCCCACUCCAAGUCUGCCCAAGUGCGGCAAACUCUGAAGAAGUAAAGGCAGGAGAAUGUUGAAUGGUUGGUGGGAGAGGCCUUGGCCAGGAUUCGAGCAAGGGAUACUCAUUCGGGGAAUUUUAGAUUAGGUGCCUGAAGCUCAGGAAAAUACCAUUGUAACCAUAACUAGACCAUCCAGGUUGGCCCGUUGAGGUUAGUUUCGAAUGGUUCACUCCUGGUCAUCUCAAAAAGAAGAUGAUAAAGAUGAGCAAGAAGAAAAGACCCUGUGGCCACAUCAUCAAACAAGUGCAAGGCCUCCACCCAAGGACUCCACUAUAAAUUCACUUCUUUGGAUUUGUUGGGGAAGAUAUGCUUAUUGAGCCAAUACAAGAGGAAGUGCAUGUGCUCUUGAUCCCUAUUUGCAGUAGCAGAAGAGGGGCUGAAGGCAUUCUUGGCAGAUGGGAUGAAACCUUUGAAUAAGGUCUCAUAGCUUUUGAAGGUUAAAGAAUCAUACUCCAAUCGGAUGAUAGAGUCAGAAUCGCCCGAGCCUUCAGCUGUCGGGCUAAAGGGGGAGGACCAACCAUGGGUGACUUCCACGACUCUGCCCGAGGGCCAUAGCCCGAAGGCUUGAGCCAUGUCAAGGAUGGUUGGGGACGUGGGACCCAUCCUAAAAUCAAAAGCGUUGGUCCCCUAAUUCCAGAAAAGAAGAGCUGUGGUCAGCAGUUUUGGAUUGGUGAUCACGGUGGCCUUGGAAAGCAUUAUUGGCUCGUAUAUGCCGUUGUUCAUCCAUUUCUUCUUGAAGAUGGGCUCAAGCUCAUUCACUCAUUGUGCCCACGCCUCAUCCUUCAUCAAAGGGAAGCCGUGGCGGUGGUUCGACCACUUGGAGGCCGAAAUGCUAGCCUCGGCCAAAAAAGGGUUGUGGGUGAACCAAUUUGCCUUGUACAUGAUGUUCUCCAUGGAAAUGGGGACCCUGGAGGUCCAGGCAAGUCCCAAAGAAUGUACUCCCUCUUCCUCGAAGAAAAGAGAAGUAUUGAGGCCAGCCCAAGGGCGAUGAAAGUUGUUGAGCAAGGGAUGCAUAGUAACGAUCCCUUCAUUAGACUCGUAAGAAGAUUGAGCUUGAGCAGCUUUGGGUGCCAUUGAGCUUUGAAAGAAAUGAGAGGAAAAUUGGGAAUAGGGGGCAAGAACUAUGAGAGCAAGAAAAUUCUAGAAAUUAUGAGGGUUCUGAGAAAUCUAGGAUUUUGGAAGCUCGGAGGAUUAAAAUUGCUAAGGUAUUUGGCCAAAGGAUUUAAGUGAAGAUUAUAUAGUAAAGCAGUUAGUUAAUGUUGGAAAUCGUGGGUUAAUGCAAAGGUUUAGUUAACAACGAUUGUUUUAAAUAGUGCAAGUCCCGAGUAAAAGCAUGCGGUUCGUUUUAAUCAUCAUUGACGCCUCGGAUUGCAGACUCAACAAUGAUUAAAGGGGGCACUGUUUGGGUUAAUAUUUAAAAAUUGGGCUUGAAAGAAGACAAGCCCAAGGAUGUCAAAAUUAAAUGAAGACUUGCCCGAGGCCCAACAUUAAGCAGCCAAGAAAAAAGCCAUAUGCCCAUAAUUGAAGUGACAAGUGAUGGAGACCAACCUACUAUCAGCCAAAAAACACUUUCUAGUGGCAUUACAAGUAAAAAACUGAUAACUCACUACCCUCUCAGUACUUUUGGGUAAGAGCAAAAGCUACAGCAGCUAGGCCAAACUGUAUAUAAAAGGGAAGACAAGCCCCAGAGACAAGGACACUCAACCAAUCAAACAAACAAGCAAACAAACUCUGCUCUUAAGCCAGUUUGUGCUCUUCAAGCCUGAAAUCAACCCAGAUUCAGUCUUUUCAAGCAAUAGUUUCCUUACAAAAGCUAUAUUUUGUCUAGUAUAAAAGCUUUGCUACCUCCCUUAUUGUUGUAGUAUCGAUUUCAUCGUGUAAACCUGUUUACCAUCCAUCCCUUUUAAGCAUACAACCCUUGUAAACUCAAAGAGAAGUGGAUGCAAGAAGUUCGACCUUGCCAAACAAGGUGAAAUCUUGCCCGAUUCUCUUUGUUUGUUCUCUAAAUUAGUAGAUCUAUUGAUUAAUGCACUCUUCAACAUGUUUUCAAGUUAUUUCCACCUGCUUUUCUAUUUUAGGAGUCUCAUUUGCAUCUGGUUAACUUAAUGGGUAUGUUUUCAUUAAGAGCAAUUUGGAACCAAACAAAUGACUUAAGGGGCUCUGGACUCCCUUCAUUCGAACAUACAAGAUUAUGAACUAAAAGUCCUUGUUUACAAGGCUAGAAAAAAAACUUAAUACAGAUUUAACCCAUAUGUGACAAUCAUUUGAUAACAAGUUCGAUUAACUUGGGGCGCAAGUAAUCGACUUAAAACACACUUGUUCUACAUCUGCUAUACUGAGAUAGCAGUGGCGCGCCUAAGCAUUUAGUUAGUUUUGAUUGCGAGCCUCAAGGCCUACACCUAAGGCCCCACAAAGGCACAUUUCAGAACUAACUUCAAGCUCUUAUUGCAGCACACAAGGCAAGCAAUAGCUCGACUACCAAACAUACACAUCCAAAGUGUCAAACCCUUGGGGAACUGUGCUGAGGUCCAGAGAAAUCUUUGCCCGAACAAAAAGCAAGAGAUUUUACAUCUGGAUGGGGAGUUUGCACCAGUUUGAUAUACGUCAGGCCAUGGAGAUACUCAUAUAGUACAACUUCUUAAAUAUUUUUUAGGGAGCUUUAAUGAAAAGGGCUUGGAUAAAGUUUAAUUUAACCAAAAACCACCCUAUACUAUUAUUUAAUCAAAAGGGCUUCAUAUUUAAUCAUAAGGACAAAACUAUUCUAUUUCAGGCCCACAUCCAUUAAACCCACAUGGGAUGAAUUAAAAGCCCAAAACGAAAUAAAUUUUUUUUCCAGCCCCUGCCCCUAACAAAAAUCCCAUUCUGUUAGCCAAUCUGUUAGAAUUAAACUUCUUUUUAUUUACAAGUAUGCCACUACCUCAUUAAUCCACCAAACAGAGAUUAAUAGGUUUGUUAUUCAAAAGGUGCCUACCUCCUCCAACAAACGAGCUUCCUCUCACCUUGCGAUUUCUUCCGACUUUAGUCGGUUGAAAUGAGAUAGCUAACAAGCCGUCGAGAAGGAGCUUCUGGUCCUUAGCCUCAAGCUCGCCGACGUCGAUCUCCAUAGUGUCUCCGACGACGUUUCUGAAAAUGCCGCGUCAUACUCGGGCGUAGGUCGGGAGCUGUUCUAGCGCGGUCCACCGCAGCGCCUCCUCAUCGUCCCCUCCCUCCCGAAACGACCCCGAUCUCGCGAACACGUUCUCCGCCGAGUUCCACAUCGGAAAUCCCCAAAAGCUCUCCCUAGCCACAGAAAAUGCAGAGGCUUAAGCUGAAGAGGGAGAUAAGAGAGAGAGAGAGAGAGAGAGAGAGAGAGAGAGAGAGGCUAAUACAAAGUGGAGUGUGAAUGUGAGAAUGACAUGUUUGAUUGCUAAAAGUGGUAGUUAGAGCUCUGCAUUUAAUUUAUCUAUCUAAAUAAGUCUUGCUGUUUGUUGGCACGGAUGAGAGAGAGAGAGCUUCUACUCUUUCUCUAAAAUAUUUCAUCUUUCUCUCUCUAAAAUGCCCCAUUAAAGUUUUUCACAGUUUGUGCAGGACGACAGAGAGAGAGGUUCAUUUAAUGGCCGCGGGAAAGACAGAACACAGGAGGCCUCUUUCAAAUCACAACUCGCUCGGAUAUUUAAAUCAACUAUAUCUGCUCCACAUAUGAAGCUUCUAUUUCAUCCAACGGCUGGAAUUAAUCGUGAAAUGGGGAAGUUUGAAAGAAUAUAAUUUUUGGAGGCUCAAAAUAAUUGAUGCCCUUGUUUCUUUUUUACCUACGAAAAAAUGAAAACUCUUUGUUUCUUGGUACUAUUGCUAUAUUUCUAUAAAUAGUAUUUAUUUUGUUCAAUUCCAGAAAUACUGUGAGUUAUUUUGCUAUCUUUCUAUAAAUAGUGUUUAUUUUGUGUGGAGGAAAGUGGCAUUUGGUUGGUGGAAGGUUAAUUAUGUUGGUGCAUGGAGAGAAGAGACGACGAUUGGUGGUACGUGUUGGGUGAUUAGAAACAGCAGUGGUUAGUUCCAAUUGGGAGGAGGUCCUGGUGGAGUGAGGGCAACCUCCAGUUUAAUAAAUAGUGUAGUACCCGUGUCAGUUUCAUAAAUAGUAAGUUUAAUAAAUAGUGUAGUACAUGUAUCAGUUCAUAAAUAGUCAGCCAGUUUAAUAAAUAGUGUAGUACUUGUGUCAGUUUAAUAAAUAGUGUAGUACAUGUGUCAGUUUCAUAAAUAGUCAGUCAGUUUAAUAAAUAGUGUAGUACCUGUGUCAGUUUCAUAAAUAGUGAGUUUAAUAAAUAGUGUAGUACAUGUGUUAGUUGCAUAAAUAGUUAGUCAGUUUAAUAAAUAGUGUAAUACCUGUAUCAGUUUCAUAAAAUAGUCAGUGAGUUUAAUAAAUAGUGCAGUACGCGUGUCAGUUUCAUAAAUAGUGAGUUUAAUAAAUAAUGUAGUACAUGUGUCAGUUUCAUAAAUAGUCAGUCAGUUUAAUAAAUAGUGUAGUACCUGUGUCAGUUUAAUAAAUAAUGUAGUACAUGUGUCAGUUUCAUAAAUAGUCAGUCAGUUUAAUAAAUAGUGUAGUACCCGUGUCAGUUUCAUAAAUAGUGAGUUUAAUAAAUAGUGUAGUACAUGUAUUAGUUUCAUAAAUAGUUAGUUAGUUUAAUAAAGGGGUAUGAUAUCCACACACCCCAUUUUACUUCUCACACACCCUUCUAAUUUUCGGCCGUCGGAUCGGAUGAAUUGAAGAAGAUCAACGGAUAGAAAUUAACAAGGGUGUGUGAGAAGUAUUUUGGGGUGUGUGGAUAGCACACCCCUUAAUAAAUAGUGUAAUACCUGUAUCAGUUUCAUAAAAUAGUCAGUGAGUUUAAUAAAUAGCAUAGUACCCCUGUUAGUUUCAUAAAUAGUCAGUUUAAGAAAUAGUUAGUAUUAAGUUUCAUAAAUAGUCAGUCAAUUUAAUAAAUAGUGUAGUACCUGUGCCAGUUUUAUAAAUAGUCAGUCAGUUUAAUAAAUAGUGUAGUACCCGUGUCAGUUUUAUAAAUAGUGAGUUUAAUAAAUAGUGUAGUACAUGUGUCAAUGUCAAUUUUAUAAAUAGUCAGUCAAUUUAAUAAAUAGUGUAGUACCCGUGUCAGUUUCAUAAAUAGUGUAGUAUCCGUGUUAGUUUCAUAAAUAGUCAAUUUAAGAAAUAGUCAGUGUUCAGUUUAACAAAUAAUGAUAUUACCCGUGUUUAGUUUUCAAAAAUAGUCAGUAUUCAGUUUAAGAAAUAGUUUAGUAUACGCGUUCAAUUUCAGAAAUAGUCUGUUUAAGAAAUAGUGUAGUAUCCAUGUUUAGUUUCAGAAAUAGUACCCGUGUCCAGUUUCAUACAUAACAAUUUAAAAAAAUAGUAAGUGAAGAAAUAAAAUUUCAAUUUUUUAACUUUUUAUGGUGAAUGAAAUUAAAAAUAUAGGUGAAAAAAUAAGACAAUCGGUAUAAAUAGCCUUGGUCAAGAUUGUAGCACAAGUAGUACCUGCAUGAACAAUUAAAAUUUGUAAUUACCAAGCCAGACAAAACUUUGAGCAAGAUCAAUCCAUUACGUAAUAUUUAAUUCAACUAAAAGAAAGAAAGAAAAAUAAAUAAACUUGUUAGUAAACUGCAGAGCUAUAAAAUAAUAGUAUUAUACCUCACAUGUUCGAUCUGAUCCUCUACUCUAAAUUAAAAUUAAGGAAACAAAACACAGAUUUAUACAUGCAUAGAAAACUAGAUAGCACUUGAUGAAAUAGGAUUUGUCACCUUGCCACUGUCUCUCACUCCCUCUCUCAUCUAACAAAAGAACAACGAAAUUUAUUUUUUAUUUUUUUUGCAUUAAUUUGUGGUUUUUAUUUUCAACAGUGACGUUUUGGAAGACAAUUUCAAAGGGUUGCGAGGGAUUUUAAAAGGUUUGUAAUUGGCAGUGUCAAAAGGCUUGGGAGUUGAAGAAUGCUACAUGGAGAAAGCUUUUAUUUCCCAUCUUAAUUAAUCUCAAGUUUCUCAUCAAUCAAACAAAAGAUAGAAAAUCAAGUCGCAUAUCUAUCUACCCAAAAGUAUCCUGGAAAUUGAUAGGGUUGGGAGGGAUGUCCUUGCAGUCGGAAGACGCAGGUAAGCGUUCGAACGCUCAGAAGCCGCCCUUUGCAAUUCUUGCACCUUAGGAACGGCAGCCAUGAUCCAACUCUGACAGGUUUUUUCGGCGGAAGGUAGAUUCGGUAAGGGCGUGUCAUCUAGGUCAUACAACGACAUCUCCGCUUCUUUCUGAAGUGCGAUCUGCAUCUGUUCAUCACAUGCAUGAGGUUUCCACUGCCAUUUUUCAGAGUUGGUGGUUAUUGAUGUGUGUGUUGGAAUUGGAGAGGGAAGACAGAGAGGAGUUGAAUCUUAAUUUAGUUGGAAGAGAAAAUUACCUGGUCAGCUGGAUAACCAAAGAAUCAAGUAAAAUGGGAGCUCGUUGAUUUGACGAAGCAGAAGAUCUAUAGACAUCACAGAGAAAAUUACCGACAUCAUGGAGAAAUAAAUUUGAGAUCUAUAUACCUUUCCUCUCUCGCGAAACGGACCAAAUAAACGGGAAAGCCAUGACGUUAAGGGCAAAAUUGGAAGUUCGAUAAAUUACAUUUUUUGAGCUAAUUUUAUUGGGCUGAUAUAAAAAUGGGUUUUGUACUAACCAUUAAAUAAACUUUCAAUGUGGUUUUUGGUUAAAAGUUAAACUUUUCAAGCCCUUUUAGUUAGUUUUCUUUAUUUUUUAUGAUUGGUUUUAUAUGAAGAUUACGGUGAUUAGUCGACGAUUAAUGCUCAAAUGAUAAGCGUACUACGUACGUAAGUACUCUCCUUCUCUCUCAAACACACGCAUACACAGAAUUGGUAUACUAUUGUACACAAACGUAGCUCCUGAUAUAUUCUGAUUCAAGAGCUUUCAUCAGUCAAAGAUGCUGCUAUGCAUGGACAAUCGAUUAUCUAUAGUAGUACUUCGUUUUAAUUCCAUAAAAAUACUAUUGAAGUUUGAUUUGUACUUCGUUUUAUAAUUUAUCUUGUUGCGGUUAUAAACUAAUUUAAUAGUAAACUCUGUUUUCAUGUGCUUAUAUUGAAAGCUGAAUAAAUUUUCUCUUUGUUCUCCUAUGAAACACAUAAUAAUGAUAUCUUACCAACUAGUUCUGAACUAAUAAUUCCAAGACUAUCAAUUUCCCAAGUCAAGUAACUACAUUAUUCCCACUUUCAUCCUGGAAGGCUUGAUUCUUUGGCCACGUCUAUCUUUAAUUUAAUUAUGUUUAUGCUUCCUGUUUUAUCUUUCUGUAAAUAUAUGGUUCUGUUCCGGUCACCUUUUGCCUAAGCGUAUACAAUUUGUUGUAGUUUGUUUGAGACAAAAUGGCAGAAGGGCUGGACAAGUAGGAGGCUUCCUGUUUUAUCUUUCUAUAAAUAUAUGGUUCUGUUCUGGUCACCUUUUGCCCAAGUGUAUACAAUUUGUUGUAGUUUGUUUGAGACAAAAUGGCAGACGGGCUGGACAGGUAGGAGAGAAACUUCGUAGUGCGGCGCUACUAGUGAAGCUCUCACACCUGGUGGGACCGAAUACAGGAGGUCCCAUGCAUAUGUGAGACCUACAGAUUGUUAUGCGGAAGCGGCAUUCGACUGUAAGUGAAUAGUAAAACAGAACAGAAACAAAACCAACAUCAACAAGAACACCAAGAUUUAUACUGGUUCGGCAAUGCCUACAUCCAGUUUGGAGACGACGGAGUAUUCCACUAUAAUCAAUGAGAACAUACAAUAGUGUUUAUCACUCAAUUUCCCAAAGACCCAAAUAACCCCAAGCUCUCACACUUACAAUAGGAAGAGAAAACCAAAAAAAUACAAAGCAAGACAAUUUGAGAAAAUUCUUCUCUAUGUCAAAUGGCUUCUUGCUAUUUUUCUCUCUUCCUUGUUAUUCUCUACUUCUCCAUGCUUAUGGGUUGCACCUUGCUCUCCUUUUAUAGCCAAAGAAUGGUCAAAGGCCUACCAUCAAGUCAAAAGAGUUAGGCACAAAUUAGGCACAAAUUAGGCACAAAUGUUGUUUGCCUCCCAUUACCACAAAGUAGCCCAAAGAUUUGAACUUUGACUACAUGUUUGAGUCAAUAAUCAACACAGAUGACGCGGUUGGAGUGUCACUGCCCAAAAUUUUCCCAGAGAAGUAAAACGCUGAUUUUUUCUACUGAUACUUGGAUUAGUACCCACAAAUAAAAUUCUUUAGUGGAAAAUUUGUUGUGCUAUAUGUAAGAAGUUGAAACUUCUCCAUUGAGAUAUUCUAGUCUCAUCGUCGACAUUGUGCGUAGUAUAUUUUAAAAUUUAGAGGACGCUACUUUCUGCCUGGAUUCUACAGUGUAAUUAUAUGGAAUGCAUAUCUCAUGGUAAUUUAGACUUCAAUUUUAGUCCAGAGUCCAGACUUAUCAAUUAGUAGGUCUUGAGUUUCUAGAAAUGCUCUGGUCCAUUUAGCAAGUCCAGUCACACAUAUUGUGCUUCCUUUUAACUGUUUUUUUUUUCCACAGGUCACUGGUGUUGAUUAAUAUGGACUGAGAAAGUAGCUAUUUUGAAUUGAAUUUACAGCUUGAAUUUCAUUGUAUUGCAUAAUAGACAAUAUGUACAAGAUACAAUCCUUAUUCUAUAAGGAAACAAUAAAGGACACACACAUAUCCUUCCUAAUAAAGGAUUUUUUAAUAUUUACAAUAUAUUUAUAUGCCUUUUUUAAUACCACUCACGGCAACACUCCCCCUCAAGUUGGAGCAUAGAUAUCACACAUACCCAACUUGACAAGUGAGUCACCAAAAGAUCUACUAGACACGGCAUGAGUGAGGAUAUCCGCAAGCUGCUCUUCCGAGUUCACAAACGGUAUUGAAACAAUUUUCUUCUCCAGCUUCUCCUUAAUAAAAUGAUGAUCAACCUCCACAUGUUUUGUUAUGUCAUGUUGUACCGGGUUCUCUGCAAUCUCCUGUGCAGAUUUAUUAUCACAAUACAAACUUGUCGCCUCUUUUGCUUUGAAACCUAGACCACCAAGUAACUUACGUAACCAAAGAACUUCAUAUAUUCCAUGUGCCAUACCUCUGAAUUCGGCAUCAGCUGACGAUCUUGAUACCAUGUUUUGCUUCUUGCUCCUCCAAGUAACUAGAUUUCAACCAACAAACGUAAAGUACCCAGAAGUAGAGCGUCUAUCAGUUACAUCACAUGCCCAAUCAGCAUCAGUAAAUCCUCCAAUCCUCAGAUGACCGGAAGUUUUAUACAAAAUUCAUUUUCCUGGAGCCAACUUCAAAUAAGCUAAAAUCCGCAUAACAGUUGCCAUAUGAUCCACACUUGGCGAGUGCAUAAACUGACUCACCACACUUACUGCAUAGGCUAUAUCCAAACGAGUAUGAGCUAAGUAAAUUUGUCUUCCUACCAGUCUCUGAUAUGUGCCUUUAUCCACUAGCUCUUGAUCCGAAUAAAUUCCCAAGUAAUGUUUCUCCACAAUGGGAGUAUCCACGGGUUUACACCUAAGCAUCCCUGUUUCCUUCAAUAAAUCCAAAACAUAUUUCCGUUGAGACAAAAAAAUACCUCUGGACGAACGAGCAACUUCCACACCAAUGAAAUACUUCAAAUCACCUAAACUCUUCAUCUCAAACUCGGCAUAAAGGUUCUUUUCCAGUUUGACAAUUUCAUCUGAAUCAUCACCUGUUAUUAUCAUAUCAUCUACAUAAAUAAUCAAAGUUGUUACUUUACCGUUUCUCCGCUUCACAAAUAAAGUAUGAUCAGAAUGACUCUGAUAAUACCCAUUCUUUCUCAUAGCCUGAGUGAACCUCCCAAACCAUGCACGUGGUGACUGCUUAAGCCCAUAAACAAACUUCCGCAAUCGGCACACUCCCAAUUUUCCGCCGUUGCUAUACCCUGGAGGGAAGUCCAUAUACAUUUCUUCCUCCAGAUGUCCAUGAAGAAAUGCAUUUUUUACAUCAAACUGUUUCAAUGGCCAAUUCAAAUUUGCAGCUAGUGAAAUAAGAACUCGUACCGUAUUCAUCUUAGCCACGAGAGAGAAAGUUUCCUGGUAAUCAACUCCGUACAUUUGAGUAUACCCUUUCGCCACCAACCUUGCUUUAUACCUGUCAAGUGAUCCAUCAGCCUUGUAUUUCACAGUAAAGACCCAUCGGCACCCAACUAGUUUCUUUCCCUUUGGCAGCUCAACUAUUUCCCAAGUAUUAUUUUUCUACAAUGCCCUCAUCUCUUCAUCCAUUGCUUCAAUCCAUUCUAGACUCUUCACAGCGUCUUCUACUCGAGUUGGUACCUGAAUUGAAUCCACAUAUUCACCCAUGCCUGACGUUUGGAUGACAGACUUUCACAGAACACAUAAUUGGCUAUAGGAUACUUCACUUUUCCUUCUGGAGAGAACUUGUCAGGUGGUACACCACGAUUUUGCCUUGCUGGCAAUUUAUAUGUACUUAUAAUAUCAUUAGUUACAUGAGUAUCACUAGUACUUACCUCAGGGAUAUCCAAAGAAGAUGCAUUGGACGACAACACUGUUGAGUUAGAGAGAGGGGGGAAGCUUCAGCAAUAAUUGGCUGGUCACCAGUGCACUCCCCUUCGGCAGCACCAAUACAUGGACUAGUAGUCUUUUCUUCAGUGGGAAGCUGAGGGAUACUUGGACCAGGUUUCGUGGGACCCUGUUGUCUACUCAUAACUGCAGGCUCGGUAGAAUGAGACUGAGCAUUAUCACUUACAUCACUCGUCACACCCUGCACUCCCCCUGAAGAUGUUUCCUCUGGUACAUCCAACCAUUCGAGAACACCACCAAGAUCACAACUAGAACUCUCCCCCUUGUGAUCAAAAGGCGGUGAUAUAGGAGUAUAAAAAUAUUCAGACUCAGAAAAGGUCACAUCCAUGGUGAUAUACAUGUGACGAGUGGCAAGGUGGUAAAACUUGCAACCUUUCUGGUGGGAUGCAAAACCCACAAAGACACACCGAAGAGCACAAGGAUCCAAUUUACUACGAUGAAUCUUGUGAAUAUGAAUAUAAGCCACAUACCCAAACACUCGAGGAGUCAGUGUAUUGGUAGAAACAACCGGAACAUGUUUUGUUAACACUUGGAGUGGAGUACGAAAUUCGACAACCCGGGAUGACAUGCGAUUGAUAACAUACACGGCGUAGGUGAUGUGUCCGUCCAAAAACUCUUGGGAACUGACCCACCAAUAAGCAGUGCACGAGCAGUUUCCAAAAUAUGAUGGUUUUUCCUCUCAGUAACCCCAUUUUGUUGUGGGGUGUAUGAGCAAGUUGUCUCAUGGAAAAUUCCUUGAUCAUGGAAAAAAUUGGAAAGCUCAAAGUUAGCAUAUUCUCCCCCAUUAUUAGGACGAAGAACUUUAAUAAUGGAGGAAUAUUGAACAGCCACCAUCUGAGAGAAAGACUGAAUAAUUGCACUUACAUCACUUUUAUGUUUCAACAAAUACACCCAUGUCAUACGAGUGCAAUCAUCAACAAACAUAACAAACCACUUAACUCCUGAAACUGUAUUAACGGGUGAAGGCCCCCAAACAUCUCAAUUCACAAGCUCAAACGAAAGCAAUCUUUUAUUCAUAUUAGAAGGAAACGAAGCAUGAUGGCUCUUAGCAAGAAUACAUACUUCACAAUAUAAGUCUGAUUCCUUUAUUUCAUGAAACAUACUAGGCAACAUACGCCUUAAAUAACCAAAAGAAACAUGUCCUAACUAACGAUGUAGCAACCAAACUUCUUGCAGAUUACUAGUACAGGAUGCUUGAACUGCAUUAACUUUGCCAGGAACGACGUCAUCCACAUAGUACACUAUCUUAGUGCCACGCCAAAUUAUCUCCUUGGUCUGAAUAUCCUGAAUAAAACAAAAAAAUGGAUACAUAAGUACAACACAAUCCAGUUGCUCAGUAACUUGGGGAAUAGAUAAUAAAUGGUGAGGCAACGACGGAACAAGCAAACAGUGGUGGAGAGAAAGAGAUGGCGUGAAGUCCACUAUGCCAGCUCCAGUCACCAUGGCAGUGGUGCCAUUUGUCGUGGCAACACACUUUUGAUGUGUCAUUGUCAUAUACUUAAAUAACCUUUUAUCAAACGUCAUAUGAUCAGUUGUUCCAAAGUCCAUAAUCCAACUUGUAUGUUGUUCAGUACCAGAGGCUAAAAGAACACGCCCACAAUACCUGUAUUGGAUGAAGACUCACUGGGAUUGAGUCGGGUCAACAAGGCUUGACUUGGAUCCCCUGAGUAGGCACGGCAUCUUUGUUUCCAGUUGUUGUGGCAGCCAUAGGUGGAUGCCUUCCACUAGCUCCGCUAGAAGCACGCUCUUUAGCACGCAACUUUUUCUUCAAUUCCGGAAACCAUUCAGGUACUCCAUGUUUCUGAAAACACGUAUCUUCCGUAUGACAAGUUUGCCCAUAAAAAGUACACUUCAAAUCAUCCUUAUUAUCUCGAGUGAAAGGGUAAGAAUCAGGUGAUGAAGAUGGACUAGGGCCGACCAGAAGAAUGAGGUCGUGACAUCAUAGGCACGAGAAGGGUUCCUCCUUGGUUCCUAGCGGCACUAACUCCCAUCAUAAUAGCAUGGCGUUGAGCUUCCCGCCUAACUACUGAAAACACUUCCUCCACGGAUGGUAGAGGGUGAGUUCUCAAAAUAUCACUACGGACCUUGUCAAACACAUCAUCGAGGCCCGCUAAAAAAGCAUACACACGGUCUAGUUAAACUUCUUCCCGAAGUGUCUUCAAGUCAAGAGCACACUCCAUCUUGAUUGGUCUUAUCUGAUCGAGUUUUUGCCAAACAACUUUAAGAUCAGCAUAGUAUACACCAAUAGGCCGCCCUUCUUGGCAAAGUCAAGAGCACACUCCAUCUUGAUUGCUCCUUAAUACUCCUUGUCACGAACCCUUUUUUUCCACGCUCAGCAAUAUGCAUCUCUAAUACUUUUGACCAAAGAGGGUAAUUUGAUCCAUUGAGUUUUACGGUAUUUGGUACGUUUGAAGCAUCAUUUUGAAUAACCACAUGAUUGACAACUGACCCGUGGGUAGAGCCAAAUGCCCUACCUUCCAAUUUCAGCACAGCCUCUCCUUUGUCACUUGCCAUUAAUCACAAUACACACCACACACACGGUUUUGCUGCAGGGAUGCAGUGACAAACCCUGAAAUCUGAUGUGGUCCUUGUCUCCUACAACAGCAACACGGCAGCCUGGACUUGCUGCAGAAACGUAGCAGAGAUCAUAGAUGUGUGAGGGGCUUUCUCGAGGUUUUCUUGCUUUUACUGUAGCAGCGGCACGGUGGGAAUUUUUUAGGGUUACGCUUGUCUCUGAUGCCAAAUUGAAAUUACGGCUUGAAUUUCAUUGUAUUGCAUAAUAGACAUAUAUACAAGAUACAAUCCUUGUUCUAUAAGGAAACAAUAAAGGACACACACAUAUCCUUCCUAAUAAAGAAUUUUUAAUAUUUACAAUAUAUUUAUAUGCCUUUUUUAAUACCACUCAUGGCAACAUUUUGCUCCUUGAUUUACCUUGUCCCGUACGUCUCAGUAUGAACGUGUGACUGUUUUAGCUACAACUGGCUUCAUCAUCUUUUUUUUCUUUUUUUUGAAUCUCCGCAGUACGAAGAAAAUUUAUUGACAUGAAAAAUAAAAGUUACACCUAGUUAAAAGGACAAACAUUACAUGUCAUACUACAACAAAUGAGAAGGGAAUAAAAACUUGACCCCUCCUGAAACUUGAAGAAAAUGAAUACAAGAAAAGACGGGGGUGCAAAUGAUAAAAAACCCUCUGAUAUAGAACUUAGAAGUCAUUGCAACCAAGUGACAAUCUACAAACCAUAUCCGAAAAAGAUUACCUCGGACGAAAAAAAUGAAGUCCAACACGGUCUCUUCUAUAUGAUGCAUCUGCAAAAUCAAGUAUCAAGUCCCACUAUGUAAAACUACUAUUUAUUGUACCAAAAUUAGCAAAAGAAUCUGCCAAACAAUUUCCUUCCCUAAAAGAUAUGAAAAACGGAAGCACAAGCGAGCAAUAUACCAUAGACAACUUGCUUCAUCUAAUGGAGGUAGAUUCUCUGCCCUCCCGUACCCUCCUGUUUUGUGUGGUUAUGGUUAAGCCAUGUCAACAUUUUAUAUUUUUUUUUAUAGAGAUAAUAAGAUAAAAAUGAAUAGUAAUAUAAAGUGCUGACGUGGCUUAACCGUGACCACACAAAACAGAAGGACACGAGAGGGCACAGGAAGUGGGAGGGCAGAGAAUUUGCCUUCUCAUCUAAUUGGCUUUGUGUUUUCUGUUUGUAUAUGGGAAACAAAGGUCAAUGGAUUCAUUGACGUUUAGCAUAACUGACAAUUGCCUCCUUAUGAAUGGUUGCUUGGCGAUUUGAAAUUACAGGUCUCCUUAUCACAUAUGUGGCUUUGAACUUGAUGGACGGCCAUGGCCAACCGGCUUUCUUUGUUCCGUUCACACUUGGUAAGACACAAGCUUGGCUAAUCUACACCAACAUCUAUAUUGCUUGUGCUCUAUAGAACGGAAUUAGGUUUCGCGCUGAUCGUUCAUUGCAAAACAAAAUCCACGAGCAUCCAUUGACAUAAGCUAGUUGCAUUUGGGGAUGGGCAAUGGUUAUGGUGAGCGGGUAACCGCGGUUAUUUACCCAUAACCGUUUAUGCUCAUACCCGCAUAACCGUUUACCCAUUGGGUAAUUGCCUAAACGGUUAUACUCAUACCCAUAACCGUUUAUAAACGUUUAACCAUACUCAUAACCGCAUAUCUAUUUAACCGUAACUGUUUAAUACCCGUUUACCCAUUUAUCCUUUUUAACCUGUUUAUCUUUUUUUUUUUUACCAUUACUCAUUUUUCACCAGUCUACAUGUUUUUUAACAACUUGAAAAUUUAAAAAAAAAAUUGUCAUAAUUUUUUUUUUUUUGACAAUUAAACACCGUUAUAGGUACAUUCAUCAUACAUUUCCGUAUUUUAAUUUUUUAAGUUCUUAUACCAUUCCAAUAAUUGAAAUAAUAGUUUACAGACGAUAUUUUUAACUGUUACCAAUGAAGGUAAUAUAAUAUUUGCUAAGUAUUAUUGGGUUACAAAAAUUGUUUAGAAGACAUUUUUGUCAAAGCAUUUCUGUCAAUUUCACGGUUAUCUGCAAGAAAUUUAAAUUACUUGAUGAUGAGAAUCAUCAUUCCUAUAACAUUGUUAUUGAGAGAAUGACCGAUGAAUUCCUUGCUAAUUUAUUGGGUGCUAAGUAUUAUUGGAUCGAGAACAUGAUUUGUAUUAGUUUUACAUAUAUAAAAUAGAUGGGUAAACGGUUAUCCGUUUAUAACGGCGGUUAAUACCCAUAGCCGCUCAUUUAAAUUUCACGGCUAAACGGUUAUACCCAUAACCAUUUAUUUAUCUAAACGGUUACCCAUAACUGUAAUCGUUUAAUUUAAAUGGACGGGUUACCGCGAUUACCCAUAACCAAUGGGUAUUUGCCCAUCUUGCAUUUCUGCAAGUACCUUUUUUACUUUGGGAGACAUGAGAAGUGAUCUCAAAGUUCUGUGGAUAAGGGGGGAAUCGGGAAUCGGGGAAUCGGAUAGCAAAUAUUUACCAAGUUGUAACUAUUAGAUGAUUUUUUAAAGAAUCAACUAAUACAAGUUAGAAUUCAGUUCCAAAAACAGAGUCCGUUUUCUUAGACCCUAUAUGGUCCAACGUUACUGGAUUAUAUCACUAGUACAAAAAUGGUCAUAAACGACAGUUUUUAACUGUCUGUCUGGUACCAAUUAAUCGAACUUUGAUGAUAAAAGUCAAGAACAAUUGUGACUGGGAUUAAUUACCAUGAGACCCUACAAUAUGUAGAAAAUUUUCAUUGUGACUAGAACACGGAUGGUACACCAUGUAUUUUUAUAUAAAUAGUUGAAAAUUUUAUUUUUUAAGUUAUUAACUUUUUAGCACACAUAUCUCACUUAUUUAUAUGAUGACAUGUGAUGUACCACCUUAUGUUCUAUUUACACUAAAAAAUCUCUCUACAAUAUUUGCAUUUAGUGAAAAGGGUGUGCUAUCCACACACCCCUUUUUACUUCUCACACAUCCCUUGUUAAUUUCUGUCCGUUGAUCUUCUUCAAUUCAUCUGAUCCGAUAGCUGAAAAUAAAAAAUGUGUGAGAGAAGUAAAAAGGGGUGUGUGGAUAUCACACCCCUUAGUGAAAGUAUAAACACUACUGUAUAUACUGGGCCUGAUUUUCACGGCACGGAGCUCAUUUAAGCAUCUUUUUCUAUUAAUAUAUAUAUAUAUAUAUAUGUAUGUAUGUAUGUAUGUAUGUAUAUAGUGUGUUAUGAAUUAACAAAAGCAAUUGAAUGCCUUCAAAUUUGCAUUUUAUAUUUUUGGUUGACCGCAAAGCUUUCAAAAAAGAAUAUAAAAUAUUCAAUUUUGUCGAAAGAUGUAAAUAAUAAUGUAAAUUUACAUAUAUUAGAAGUGGUCCGCGCUAAUAAAAAGGGGCACAAUAAAUGGAAUAUACAUUUACAUGUCUCCGAUUCAAGUAGAAGUAACAUUUAUCCCUACAAAUGUGAAAUGUGAUUUAAAUGUAAUAUUGAUAUCCUAAAUUUGCAUCUCUCCGAUGAAAAUGAUUCAAAUUUAAAUUUUGACUGACGAGUUUGGUAUAUUAUUUAUUCCACUUAAUGUGAAAAAAAAAAAAUAUAUAUAUAUAUAUAUCCCCCAAAAAAACGAAACAAAUAACAAUAAACGCGAUUUUGAAUUUUGACUUUUGACUUUGAAAGCUGCACAUGAAACAAAACAAAUAACACGUUGACAUCAAGGACCAGCACAAGAAAGAAAGAAAAAAUCUAGGGUAAAAGAUUGUUUACUACCCUAAUGUUUCGUGGUUUUCAACAUUUAGUACAUCAAGUUUUUUUCGUCUCAGAGUCAUACCUAAAGUGUAAAUUUUGGGACAAUCUCAUACAUCCGUUAGUCAAACUGUUAAGUUUUUCGUUAACUGUGACGUGGCGCAUUGAGUGGGCGCCACGUGUCAUCCACGUUUUUUUUUUUCUUUUUUCUUAUUCUUCUUCCUUCUUCUUCUUCUUCCUCCGACUGCAACUUUCUACUUUUUUUUUUUUUUUUUUUUGCUUCUUCCUUCCUUCCUCCUUCAUUUCCCUUUCUUCCCCUUCUUCCUUCUUCUUCUUCUUCUUCCUCGAAAUUUGGGGAAUGUUUUUUUUUUUCUUUCUUUCUUCUUCUUCUCCAUCUUCUUCCUCAAAAAAAAAAAAAACACUUUCAUCUUCCCCCAAAUUCGGAGGAAGAAGAAGAAGAACGAAGAAGAAGAACGAAGAAGGAGAACGAAGAAGGAGAAGAAGGGGAAGGAAGAAGGAGAAGAAGGAGGAGGAAGAAAAAAAAAUUGAAUCUGGGCAGAUUCGGAGGAAGAGGAAGAAGAAGAAGAAGAAGAAGAAGAAGAAGAAGAAGAAGAAGAAGAAGAAGAAGAAGAAGAAGAAGAAGAAGAAGAAGAAGAAGAAGAAGAAGAAGAAGAAGAAGAAGAAGAAGAAGAAGAAGAAGAAGAAGAAGAAGAAGAAGAAGAAGAAGAAGAAGAAGAAGAAGAAGAAGAAGAAGAAGAAGAAGAAGAAGAAGAAGAAGAAGAAGAAGAAGAAGGAAGAAGGGGGAGGAAGAAGGAGGAAGAAGAAGAAAGAAAAAAACAAAAAAACAUUCCCCCAAAAAAAAAAAAAGCAGAAAGUUGCAGUCGGAGGAAGAAGAAGAAGAAGAAAAAAGAAAAAAAAAAGAAAAAAAACGUGGAUGACACGUGACGCCCACUCAGUGCACCACGUCACAGUUAACGAAAAACUUAACAGUUUAACUAACGGAUGUAUGAGACUGUCCCAAAAUUUACACUUUAGGUAUGACUCUGAGACGAAAAAAACAUGAUGUACUAAAUGUUGAAAACCACGAAACAUGAGGGUAGUAAACAGUCUUUUACCCAAAAAUCUAUCUCCUCAUCGUCCCUUCAGUUGAAUUGAGAGAUAUCGGAUCAGAUUAUCUUGAAAAAUACGCCGUCAAUUGUGAAGAAUAUGAAUUUGAUAAUUAAACCAACUUUGAUUGGAAAUGACUCAGAUUCAUGCAGCCACUAUGGUAACAUCUGGCGUUUUCAUGAUAGCAAGGUGCUCCCCUUUAUUUGAAUACCCACCUACGGCUUUGAUUUUAUUCUCAAAAUUUCGUUCUCAUGCUCCAUUUUCAAACAUGGAAAAAAACCUGAAACAAAAAAGACAAGAAGAGUGAGAGAAUCCACUUUGGCUCGUUUCUAAUCACGCUAGUGCUCCUUUUCUUCCCUACCCUUUAUUUUGUCUCCUUGGACUUCUCUCUACCUCUCUGUCACUUCUUUCUUCCUCUAUCUAUAACACCACCAUUUCAUUUCUGUUUGUUUAAACAUUUAAUUUCAGUUUUUUUGCAAGUACAAGCAGAGGAGGAAGAGAUAUGUUAUAGCAUAUAUAUUAAAGGUUAUUUUAUAAAUAAUAGUGGGUUUGAAAAUAACAUUUUAAUUUUUUCAUCUUUUUGAGGUCGGUGAGAUUAUAAUGUGGGUGGAAAGAUAAAACAUUAGGGCGAGUCUAGUAACACUCCAUGAAAUAUUGAUGCCAAAGGUCAAGUCAAUAUAUUUCAAUUGGCAUCGUGAAAAUUUUAAUUUUGCUCGUCACUUAUUUUCUUAGCUUGUAAUUUAUUUGUAUAUGUAUAUUUAUUUUGUAGUACGAUUGAGACAAAUGAUAAACGACUUGGGAAAAGCAGAAUUCACGUUUAACCAUAAUAAAGAUGGUGAAAACGCGUCAAAUCCUGAAUCCAUAGUUUUCAUUCUUCAUUCAUUCUUGAAUUGUCUCUUCUUUGCAAGCUGUGACGAUUCCAAAGCUAAAAGAAAAGAAGACUUGGAACAAAUUUAUCCCUUUUAAUAGUGUAUCAUUUUAUUCUUUUCAAUAAUUUUCCUUGAGAAACUUUGGAACAAAUUAUUAAUCAAGAUACAAAGAAAAGAAGACAAAUAAUUCAACCAAGAUCAAAGACAUUAACAUUGAGAGCGUGUGGUGGAAUUGGAGCCGGUCUUCCCACGCUUUUGUUGACAAGAACCUUAAUGUUAAACAACAAUGCUUCAGGCAAUGUAAAACAUGAGGUUACCGAGUGCACAAAAAACGAGUUUCAAAGGCUUGCUGGACACGUUAAUCUCACCUCAACAACAACAAUGAUAAAUGAGCAGAAACGGAUUAAAAAGAAGGGGGUUUUGAACUUUAAUCUUUGGAGAAGAUUACACUUCAAUAAAUAUUUAGUGUUAGAUUGGAUAUUGAUUUUAGUCCUUUAAUGUGUACUUAAUUCAAAUUUAUAUUAUAUUUUUGUUUUAAUAUUUAAUAGAUAUCUUAUUUAAUGUCAUUACAUUAAAAUUUAAAUUGAUUGUUAUACACAUUUUAAUUCAUUAAUUUUAUUUCCUCUAAUUAGGGUACCUAAACGUCUGUAUUAUAAUAUAUUUUACUAAAUUAGGGUACCGAAAUGUCUGUACCUAAAUAUAUUGUAGUGAAUUAGUGGCACAUAAGAAAAUAUGCAAAAACAUAAGUGUACCAAAAAAUUCCAUACCUAAAUAUAUGAUAUUAAACUAGUGUACUGAAAUGUCGGUACCUAAAUAUAUUAUACUAAACUAGUGUACCAAAAUGUCCGUACCUAAACUAGUGUUUGAAGUGAAUGACAUUAUUGGAUAUUCUAUUUUUAAAAUUUAGGAAAACUAAUGAAAAGGGCUUGAAAACUUUGAGUUUUAAUGAUAAGGACAAAAUAAAGGGUAAAGUGAAUAGUAUCAGGAUUGACUUUUUAGUGUAAAAAUAUGGUUUUUCGUUAAAGUGAACAGUACCGGGUGCUUUUCGUUAAAGUUCCCUUUUAAAAUCUUAUUCAUUUAUUCCGUAUCAUUCAAUUCAACGUACUAUUAAAUAAUUUUCUUAUUUUGUGGUGUUCUCUUUUAUAAUUUGGCUUUUCAAUCUCAUGACUUGAAAAUCCCACACCCAAACAUAGCGUGUCAUAGAUUGUCCGUGACAUUUGUCGGUUUUUCAUUAACAAUUUUUCACAUUUAGUACUACGAACUAAUAAUAUUCAUUUUCAUUUAUAAGUAGAAGGUGUUAAAUUUAAAUCUCGUAAAAUUGUGAGUUUGAUACAAUAUUUACUCUUAUAGUGUAAAUAUAUAUCGUUGUAUAAAAAUAAAAAACAAUUUCUAACCAAAAAGAUAAGUCAGUCUAGUGAAAAAUAGAGCAAGAAUAUCAAAAAUAUUACUCUUAUCAUCUAUUAUUUGGUGUGGAACACACUUUUUCCCUUCAAUUGGUUUGAAAUUCCCAGCAAGAUUUUUAAUGAAGCCAUAUGCAUCCUAUGGUUGUACGUAUUAUCUUCAUUAAUGCAUAUCCUACAUUUUCAUCCACAGCCACCCACGCCCUCAGCCAACACGGACCACACAACCCAACCCAACCAACCCACCCACCCAACAAAAACAAAAAAUAAAAAAUAAAAAUAAAAAUAAUUCCUGACCAUUUUGAACCCCAUUUGCAGCUUCUUCUAAAUCAAAAUCCUGAAUCCACAGUUUUUCUUUUUCAUUCUUCAAUUGUAUUUAGGUUGAUUUAGUUCAAUUAAAAUGGAGGGUGAUGGAAUCAGAUGCUUCAACAAACUCUUUCAUGCUUUAAUUGUGGUGGUAAUUUUACUACCAUGUGUUGUCAACCAUUCCCCUUCUCUUGGAUUCAACAAUAUUUCUUCAGGAGGAGUGAUGAGGUGCAUUGAGAGGGAAAGAGAAGCACUCCUUGCUUUCAAACAGGCCUCGUGGAUGACAACAACUUCCUCUCUUCGUGGGGAAUAGAAGAACACAAACAAGAUUGUUGCAAAUGGGUAGGCGUCCACUGCAGCAACCGUACCAACCAUGUUAUUCAACUUGAUCUUGGAUUGGAACGUUACCAUCGAAGUCGCUCAUUUGAUCAGAAAGGACACCCACACGAUAUCCGAUAUCAUUUGCAAGGUAAGAUGAUGAAUCCUAAACUCAUUGAGUUGCAGCAUUUGAAAUAUUUGGACCUUUCGUGGAUAAACUUCAAUGGGAUCCGACUUCCAGAUUUCAUUGGUUCCCUUUCCAGUUUAAGAUACCUCGAUCUCUUUAGUGCUUCUUUUGGUGGUCAAUUUCCAAGUCAAGUUGGAAACCUUACCCACUUGCAACAUCUUGAUCUCAGCUUCAAUCACUUUGCUAAUGUAGUAAAUCUCAAUUCAUGGCUACCUCAUCUUUCUUCUUUAACAUAUUUGGAUCUGAGUUACAACAAUCUUAGUAAUGUUCCUGACUGGUUGGAAAUAGUUAGUAAGCUCCCCAAACUUACAAACUUGACACUGUUAAAUUGCAGUCUUCCUUCUCCUGCAAUUCAUUCCAGUACUCUUUUUAACAUAAAUUCGUCUAGAUCUCUUGCUCAUGUUGACCUUAGUUCCAACGAACUCACUUCUUCCAUAUUUCGUUGGUUGUCCAAAUACAAUGCCAGUCUUGGUCAUCUUGACAUGUCUUUCAACCAAUUAACUGGCUUAUUUCCCGAUGUCAUUGGAAACAUGAGCUCUCUUACAUAUCUAGAUCUCUCUUUUAACCAAUUUGAAGGGGUGAUUUCAGAAAGUCAUUUCUCGGGUCUCUCCAGAUUAAGAUGUUUUGGUUUGUCCUCGGCCUCACUAACUUUAAACUUCCAUUCUAAAUGGGUUCCCCCUUUCCAAUUGGAUUUCAUAUUCUUGGGGUCUUGCAAGAUGGGCCCACAUUUUCCAAAUUGGCUUCAAACUCAAAGAAGUUAUUCAGUCCUUGAUAUUUCUAAUGCAGGAAUAUCUGAUACCCUUCCAAGUUGGUUUUGGGAAAGGCUGUCUCAUCAUAAUGAAAUUGAUUUUGUAGAUCUCUCCAACAAUCAAAUUAGGGGAACAAUUCCAAACUCGCAAAUCGAUUUUUUAUAUUACCCUCGUCUACUAAAUUUGAGUUGGAACCAAUUGGAAGGUCAAGUCCCUCCAUUCCUAUUAAAAGCGUCAUCUCUUGAUCUGUCCCACAAUAAUUUUUCAGGGUCUUUUUCUUUCUUGUUUCCAAUGAAGGCAAGUAACUUAACGUUGCUUGAUCUCUCGAGCAACCAUUUAGACGGACAACUUCCCGAUUGCUGGACUCAUUUCAAAAAUCUUUUAAUUCUUGAUUUGAGUGACAACCAUUUUUCGGGGAGAAUUCCUACCACAAUGGGCUCUUUAUUUUCUAUUCAAACAUUGAACCUAAACAAUAAUGGAUUUGUGGGGGAAUUGCCUUCAUCCUUGAACAAUUGUUCAAGCCUAGUAGUUUUUGAUGUUGCAAAUAAUAACUUAUCAGGGCCGAUACCUGAAUGGUUAAGGUAUGGACUUCCAAAUUUGACUAUCCUUAUACUUCGUUUGAAUCACUUCUAUGGAAGCAUUCCGUUACAAAUGUGUAAUAUGAGAAGCAUUCAAAUUUUGGAUUUCUCGAUGAACAAUAUCUCCGGAAGUAUACCCAAAUGCCUCAACAAUUUGACUAAUUUGGCUAUAAGAGGAAGUUCAAGUCUAACUAUCACUCGUACCAUUUAUGUAAACUCCCAUACUAUCACUGGUUAUAGUUAUGAUGACGAAGCAUCCUUGAUAUGGAAAGGCAUGAUGUCCAAAUACAAGCAUUCUAGGGCUUGUAAAGAGUAUUCAUCUGUCCAGUAACCGAUUAACAGGAGAGAUUCCUUGUGAAAUCACUGAUCUUGUGGGGUUGGUUUCUUUAAACCUAUCAAGAAACAACUUAACAGGUCAAAUAACUCCAAAUAUCGGGAAGUUGCAGUCUUUAGAUUUGCUUGAUUUGUCAAACAACCAAAUACAUGGUACAAUUCCAACAAGUCUCUUUGGAAUAUCUGGCCUUGGUAUGUUGGACUUGUCCAACAACAACCUGUCUGGAAAAAUUCCCAUAGGAUCUCAGCUUCAAAUUUAUGAGCCCUCUGUUUUUGCCGGAAAUCCUCUCCUUUGUGGAAUUCCACUUCAGACAUGCUCUUCUGAGGAAACAACUCCAGAGGAGCAGCCGGUGGUUGGGAAUCAGGAUGAAGAUAAUGAUGGGUUUAUAACUCCGGGAUUUUACGUGAGUUUGGGGCUUGGAUUUGUUGUUGGAUUCUGGGGAGUUUGUGGGAGUUCGAUAUUCAAUAGGUUAUGGAGAUACACAUACUUCAAGCUCUUGAAUGGUUUAAAUGAUUGGCUUUAUGUCGGGGUGACAUUGUUCGGGCAACAAAGAAUGCUCGAUGAAUAAACUGUAAGUUUUCUGUGACAUAAUGAAUAAUAUUGCAAUUAACAUACAUGUCUUCUUCUCUUUUAAACUCCCGGCUAACAGCUAACGCCUGUGGUUUACCUGAAUUUUUGUAGCUCGUUCAUCGUCUUGUUUGCUACUUCAUGCUAACCCUUUCGGCUUUCGGUUUGAGGAGGAGCCUGAAGGAGAAGAAGAAUGCAAUAACUUUUAGGGUAAAAGACUGUUUACUACCCUCAUGUUUCGUGGUUUUCAACAUUUAGUACAUCAUGUUUUUUUCGUCUCAGAGUCAUACCUAAAGUGUAAAUUUUGGGACAGUCUCAUACAUCCGUUAGUCAAACUGUUAAGUUUUUCGUUAACUGUGACGUGGCGCACUGAGUGGACGCCACGUAUCAUCCACGUUUUUUUUUUUUUUUUUUUUUUUUUUUUUUUGCUUCUUCCUUCCUUCCUUCCUUCCUUCCUUUUCUUCCCCUUCUUCCUUCUUCUUCCUUCUUCUUCCUCCGAAAUUUGGGGAAUGUUUUUUUUUUUCUUCUUCUUCUUCUCCUUCUUCCUUCCCUUCCUUCUUCCUUCUUCUUCUUCUUCUCUUCUUCUUCUUCCUCCGAAAUCUGGGGAAGUUUGUUUUUUUUUUUUUUUCUUUCUUCUUCUUCCUCCUUCUUUUCUUCUUUCUCUUUCCUCCUUCCUUCCUUCUUCUUCUUCUUCUUCUUCUUCUUCUUCUUCCUCCGAAUCUGCCCAGAUUCAAUUUUUUUUUUCUUCCUCCUUCUUCUCCUUCUUCCUUCCCCUUCUUCUCCUUCUUCGUUCUUCUUCUUCUUCCUCCGAAUUUGGGGGAAGAUGAAAGUGUUUUUUUUUUUUUUUUUUUGAGAAAGAAGAUGGAGAAGAAGAAGAUAGAAAGAAAAAAAAAACAUUCCCCAAAUUUCGGAGGAAGAAGAAGGAAGAAGGGGAAGAAAGGGAAAUGAAGGAGGAAGGAAGGAAGAAGCAAAAGGAAGAAGCAAAAAAAAAAAAAAAAAAAAAAAAAAGUAGAAAGUUGCAGUCGGAGGAAGAAGAAGAAGAAGGAAGAAGAAGAAAAAAAAAACGUGGAUGACACGUGGCGCCCACUCAGUGCGCCACGUCACAGUUAACGAAAAACUUAACAGUUUGACUAACGGAUGUAUGAGACUGUCCCAAAAUUUACACUUUAGGUAUGACUCUGAGACGAAAAAAACUUGAUGUACUAAAUGUUGAAAACCACGAAACAUUAGGGUUGUAAACAGUCUUUUACCCUAACUUUUAAGUUAUGGGGGAAGAGAUUUUACAGAUUGAAGAGCUCUACUGUUACUUGUAACAAUAAGUUGGAAUUUCUCCAAAUACAUUAGAGGUAGAUGUAUUUGACUCAUUGUCGAGUUGUAAUUUCACACAAGUAUUUAUGGUUUUAGUUUCAAUUUUUCUCAAUUUGUAAUGGAUGAAUAAACUGCAUUCCAAAUUGAAAGCCAGGUUCAAAGAGCUGUGUGUAAGAGACUAAAAAGAAUGGCACUAAACGAAGGACAUGAAUUAAAAUUUCAAAACUACAUUGAACUUGUUAAACAAAUGCCAAAAUAAGUGAGACGACCAGUUCGUGUAACCUCAUACAAGCUCGUGAUAAACGGACGAGUUUGGCUCAUAAAAAUAGAGGCAGAAGUAUUAUUUUUUGAUUUAUUUGUUGCCCUAACAUACGAACAGUUGCCCCCAAAAUCCAACUCCAGCUAAUUACCCCAACAAAAGAAGAAGAUUAAAUUAUGAAGAAGGGAAAAAAUAAUUAUGUUUGGGUCCAAAUAAAUGAGAAUAGGAACUCUUGGUAGCCUGUUAGCAUCUGGUCAAAAUUGUUCCAGCCUUUGGCCAAUAAGAGUUUUGUUCGAGCCGUUUCCACUCUGGAUAUACUCCUGUAUGCUCGAGUGGUAAGAUGAGUAAUAGGGAAUGUAAUGCUGAAUAAGUGCUCUUGAGUUUAAUGUUUGUCUCUUGUUCUGAUCCUUCGGUGAAUAACAUACGAUUCAAAAGCGGAUAAAACAGAUACACACUCGGGAGUUUCAUAAAGAAAGAUAUGUUAUACAAUGUAUUCAAACGUUGAUCGAACAUUCAGGAUUGGUACAAUACUAGUGGAAUUAAGCUUGUCUGAGUGAGGGAAUAUCACUAAUCAAAUAGCUAAUGCACAGCCAACUAAGUGAACAGGGAAGGGGGGCAAUAUCGAUAUCAAUAUCAAUUCCUCUCACUUGGUAAAAUUAUAACGUGACAGAAACAGAAUGGCCAACUAUGAAUAACCAGGAAUACGAAAAGAAAUACUAAUGAAUAAUAUUCAUCAGCCCGUGAAAAAUAAAAAAUAAAAAAUAAAGGAGAUUCUGGAAAACCACACGUAGGAGACAAGUAAACAGAUUAUACUUUCCAGCUUUCACUCCACAACUAUAUACUUUAUGGAUAUCAUAUAGUAAAGAGGAAUGGUGAAAACAUUUUCUUUUCGGGUUGCAGAGUUAAGUUUCACAGACCCACCGGGAUUAGCACUCGCCCUCCACCCUUGGUCUUAAGGAACAUGGCAUGUCAUUAGGUUCAAAAGCUAUUUGAAGGGAGAAACAUGUAAAGCAUUUGUAACCUUACUUACCAAAAGAAAGUAACGAAAAUAUCUUAGCGCUGAUUUACUUAUGUGACAAGAGUAUUAUGUGUCAGGAAAAAAAAAAUGGUAGAAGGCUAGAAGCUUUCGAAGAGGAACAAAAAAGUAAGAAGAAAGAGAACAUACAAGCAUAUCUUCUGACAGAACUGUUUCCAUUAAUGGAAAAUGGUACAGGCCUCCUUUCCUGACCCAAAGAUAGGAUUUCUUGCAUCCUUUCAGGCCAGUCUGAAUUUAACCUCCGAGCAAAAUCUUCAACCUCCGUGAACAAAGAUUUAAGAAAAUACGUAACAGCAGCAAGAACAAGGUUUCUCUCUACAAAUUGCGUAUUUACAUGCAGAACCAUUGUGGAUUACGCAACUUAAAAUUUCCAGUUACAUCCUAAUCAGAAAAUAAAAUAAUACUGACUGUAGAGAAAAAGAUUUGCAGUGCCAGAAGAGUGGGCGGCCGGAACCAUGUUUCGCAACAGAUGCUUAAUGGUGAUGACCAGAACGAGAGCUCUUUUUCUUUAUAAGCAUAAACAAAUAUAUAUUUAAAAUAUCCAAACACACACACAAAAUAGGAAUUAACCCAAAACACACACAAAACCGGCCUAAGAGGGAAUGGAGUGAUGGCUCACUUACUACAAGUUUUUUACUCACUUAGAAUGAGGUAUAAGGUCAGCUUUAAGCUCCAUCCUUCAUUAGGGUUUCUUUGAGGAAAGAUGAGCGAACAUAAGCUCUCUCUUUCUCUCUAGAGAGGCCAGCCAACAUCAAAUCUUUAGCUAGCAAUCUUUGCUUCCAUGGUCACUUAUCUUCGUCCUUCACCAUUCUUGGUGUCAGAAUUUAAAGGUCUCCAACUUUUGGGGACUUUUGGAGAAUCAUUCAAGCAUCCAAAUUCAAGAAUCCAAAGAGGCUACAAGAUGAAGAUGACGACCAUGGAGUCCUAACUCAAGGAGAAGAAUGAAGGUCUUCUCAUUAGUCUUUGCUCAUGCAAAGAGAAACUCCAAAGUAUCAAAUUUUUAACUCUUUUGUUAUUAGAGUUAAGUCUUAGUUCACUACCACUACUACGCUUUAAAUUUCAUGGUUUAAGUUUUGUUUUAAAUUGCAUACAAGCACGCUUCCUCCAUUUAAUUUUUGAAAGCAUGCAAUUUGUUGCUUAAUGAACUUAGAUUUUCACAAAUUUUCCUUCAGUUAUAUGGAUCCCCAAGCCUUCCGGCAGAAAUUCAGCAAUAAUAGACCUGGGUUUUGGUCACAUUCGCCAUUGAAGAUGAACUAACUUCGACAACCCGCUGCAGCGCAACCCACGAGGUCACCCACCUUCAGCCCUCGCGGUUUGAAGUUUGGAUCGCCACGACGCCAGCCUUAUUCCACAAUAGCAGCAGCACUCCACAGACCCGUCGCUGCAACCCAUGAAGCUUCAACCCGCGGUUCGUACCACCAGACCCCAGCCGCAACCACAUUCGAAUCCCUCGACAGCCGUCCCCCGAGCACAGCUUUCCCCGCGACGCAACUGCAGCUCAACCCACGACCAGUUUCAGUCACGAGCUUCGAGUUCAACCUUUGGAGGUCUCGCGUUUCCCAGAUCUUCAGUCAUGAACAGACGAUGGUCUUUGUGCAGCCCGAAAAGGAGAGAUCGACGAGGAUAAGGAAGGAAAUGGAUGAAGGGAUAAGGAAGGAAAGAGAGAGUUGUGUGGCUGUGCGACCGUUUGGAGGAGAGAGACGGAAACAACAAUAGAAAGGGCGCUGGCUACUGCAACAAGAAGGCUGGGUCCAAACUUGGGCCUAGUGGGCGUCCAGCACAAAAGGGAUAAGGUUAGCCUGCUGCAAUGGUUAAGCGGCGUGGGCCUCCUUCCCUCUUUUGCCUUGAGCUAUUAAAAAUAAAAAUCAGGGAGGCAACAAAGAAAUUGAAUAAAACAAAGAUAUGUGGCCUUAUAAAAGAAGGCUCAAAUGUACACCAGAAGAAGGAAGGGAGAGAAUUUUUGAAAUUUGUGCUCCUUCGGUGACUCGGGAAAUUAAGACACCUUCUUCAGCAACUCUCCUUAUUCGAAGAUUUCAACAGACUCCACUAUAUGCUACUACACUUCGAUAGUUAUAAGUUUCGUAAUUACUCAGUGACUUGGGUUUUGUAAGUCCCAACUAGUAAACUUUCCUCACUCGAGAACUUGGGGAGAUAACUAUUUGUAUUGUACUUGACCAAUCAUGAAACUAUCGGUCAACUUCAUAUCUUCAAGGACCCACUGAAGGGUUCGUGAUGAGGCACUCCUGCCGAAGCACAAGAGUUCUCUCCAAUUAGAAGGCCAAUUUAGUUCCUGAAUUAUCACCUGAGUGAAAAUUAGGUCCUAACUUCUUCUCUCUUUUUUUCAGAAAAACUAGUCCUUGAAUUAUAAAACUCGGCCAAUUACAUCCCUAAUAUUAUAUUUGAAGCUACGAUAUUCAAUUUUCCAUCAACUUAAGUCACGGUACAUGCAUGUGAUACACAUUUGAGGGUAGAUUGGUAAUUUUACAUAAAGAAUAGUGUUUGGAGUUAACUUUGAAGGGUUAAUUAGAUAUUGGAUUCGCAACCUAUAUAAAAUGUUAAGGGCUUAUUGGCUAAAAAUGAUGGUCUUACACUCUAAAGUGUUUCAAGUGACUUAAGUUGAUGAAAAAUUGAAUAAAAAAAAGCUUUGAAUAUAAUACUAGAGAUGAAAUUAGUAAUUAACUGAAAAAUAAGACCUAAUUUUUACUAAGAUAACAGUUCAGAGACUAAAUUGACAUUUUAUCCUAAAUCAAUUGCAUCUUUUGGGUUUCUCACCACUCCUUGAAACACCAAUUCAUUUAUGCACUUCCAAAUUCUCCAAAGAACAAAAACCACCUCCUACAUAAUCUCCUCUCUCCGCUGCUCAUCCUUACAUCGCAUACCAAUAUACUCCAACACGCACGAAAAUCAAUCCCCACAAACGCCGUUGCAUCCAGUUGUAAUGAGCAGCAAUACCAAAUGACACGACUAAAUUCACACCCAAAAAAUAGGUGUUCUUCCAUUUCCUCAGCACACCCACAAAGGACACAUGAAUUGUCCACUCUCAUCCUCCUACGAAUUAGAUUUCACCGAACCGCCAUAGAGUUGUUACAACACCUCCAAAUAAAAAAACUUCAUUUCUUUGGCACAUGUAAUCUCCAUAUAUUCGGAUUAUUGUUUAAGUGUCGAUUAACGUGUUUAUUUCUUAUUGGUGACACAUAAUUUGGUUUGAAAUUGGCUUAUAAAUUUGAUUAACCUAGCAUUACUCAACACAGUCAGACUCAUUCACAAUCUAACAAAUGUCCCUAACUUAAGCUAUUUGUCGCCCCAACAUACCUGGGUGUAGAAAAUUGACUAUAGCAGUAUGCUUCUAUUGAACUUGAACUCAAUGUUCUAAACCUCCUUCCCAUAGUUUAAAUUAGAUUAGAAUAUUGCUCAAAUUAGAAAAGCUAGAUGUAGCCCCAAACUUAAUCCGGAUGAUGAACAUGCAAAGUAUGAUUAUGUUGUAAGCACUUAUUUAAAUAAUAUUGAUCAUUCUUGCUAUAAUAUCUCACCUACUGAAGCGUGCACUGAUUGCCUCGCUUUUAAAAAGAUUAACUUUCAUCCAGAUUUAGUGGUUGACUUGAAAAGAUAAUACUUUUGAAAGUUGUUGCUUUAAUAAAAUUAUUUUACACUAAGAUUUCCAUACCUUGGUGAAUCAAAACAGUAGUUUGGCGGAAAGCAAAUUUGUUAAUCAAAAAAGUAGUUAAUUUGUUAAUCAAAAAAGUAGUUUGGCGGAAAGCAAAUUUGUUAAUCAAAAAAGUAGUUUGGCGGAAAGCAAAUUUGUUAAACAACUCGUCUUUGUUUUGGUUGCUUGUAUUUUAUCAAAACUUAGUGGGUGGGCAAUGCAUAUAGAUUAUUGGGCGAACUAGAAAAAGCAGUAAAUUAGGUGGAAAGAAAAUUUGUUAAAGACUCACCUAUAUCUGGUGCAUAAAAAAAUCUCAUUUUAUCAAUCAUUGUCUAGUGAAAUUAUUGUAUAGCUUAGUGCUUGAUGUAGUUUAUCAAGUGGAAUUAUUCUGCUUUCGUAGCUGAUUGUGCUUCUUGGUCUUAAUUUGACUCUAAUGAACAUGGUUGAACUUGAAGGAAUGUACAGCUUCAAAGUGCUUUACCCUUGGAUUUCAGUACCUUGAUGAAUAAAAAAAUAGUUUGUUGGAAAGCAAAUUAGGUAAAGACUCACCUAUAUAUGUGGUGCAUUAUAAAGGUUCAAUUUAUCAAUUAUAAUGUCUACUGAAUUAUUAUAUAGCGGGCAUUUCUAAUGGGGACUCUAAAGCCAUCUCCAACCGAUGGUUAGCCAGAUGACUCGUUUUAGUCAUCUGGCCCUCUAAGAUCCUCCAAGAUAUUAAUAUUUUAAUGAACAAUACAUAUCCAUAUUUGCCUCCGUCUCCAACCGAGGGCCAGAUGGCUCGUUUUAGCCCUAUCACACAAAAACCGUCUCCAAUCGAGGGCCAGAGGGUCAUAAGGCCAAACAUAAUUUAUUAUUUAAAAACUACAACUUAAAAUAAAAUGAAACAAAUUUUGUGAAAUAGAAGUUAUAGGAAAAAAUGGAAUUUAAAAAAAAUAUGAAACAAAUUUUGUAAAAUAAAAGUUAUAGGAAAAAAUAGAAGUUAUAUGAAAAAUUUUGUAAAUAAAAAAUAAUAAUAAAACUGUAAAAAAAAAAAUCAAAUCAAAUGCAACAACUAGUCAGCUAGCCGUUGCAUUUGAAUUCUUUCUUAAGAAAACCGACAGUAAUACAUUUAUACUAAAUAAUAUAAAUGUAUUCAUGUCGGCUAUAACCGACAGAAAUAACAAAACAUUAAAAAAAAUGGCCAGCCCCAGGCUGGCUGGCUGCAUGCAGCUAGCCCUCCAGCCCUCUUCGAUUCCGUGGGACCCUCCCAGGUUCCAGAGCCCUCUGACCUAGCCCUCGGUUGGAGACGGUUUUCAAGCUAUUUUCGGCCCUCUGACCCUCUGGACCCUUAGGUUGGAAAUGGCCUAAAUGGUGUCUCCACAACCUUAUAGCCUCUAAAUAUAGGGACAAAGGGCUUUCAAUAGGCUUCUAAUGAGCUGGACUAAAGGUUUUUACAGUAUCCCAAUGUAUAGAGACUCAUCGGAUACCUCAAAAAAAUUCUCAAAUGUAAAGACAACAUAGGGACUCAAAGAGUGCGCCCAAAUGUUGAUUUUAAGUGGGAAACAAACCUCACCCACGUGAUAAUGUUGGACAAAAGCUUCUCUCACCACCAAACUGACGCAACGUCAGUCAUGGGCCCAUACUGCACUUGUGUCAUUUUUCUUUCUUUUCUUUUUUUUUUUUGAACCAUUGAGAAACCAACGGUUGAGUUUUUUUUUUUUUUUUGGUUUUUGUUUCUUGUUUUUAUCGGCAACCACAAUACUAUAACGAAAUAAACAAUGCUUUUUUUUUUAAAUAUUUUAGUCCCUACAUUUAAAGAUUCUAUUAUAAGGACCUCCUAUUGCAGACAAUAUUCAUUUGAAGACCUGAAUAUUCUCUUAAAGCCCCUAAAAGUGUCCUCAAGUGUGGUGGUGGAUACCCAAAAAUAGGUAUUCCAUUGAAGAUGCUCUUGGUACUCGAUGAACUUAUCAAGUGGAAUAACUUUGCUUUCCUUAGUAAUUGUACUUGGUCUUAAUUUGACUCUAAUGAACAUGGUUGAACGUACUGCUUUUAUUACUACACAUGAAUCCCUGCAUUGGAUGCAUUGAGAAGAUUUUACAUCAGUGUGGGGAUCGGGUUUGUUGUUGAAUUUUGGGAUGUUUGUGGCACAUUGAUAUUCAACAGGUCAUGGAGAUAUUCAUACUUCAAGUACUGAAAUGUUGUAAACGAUUGGAUUUAGGAAAGGGUGGAGUUGACAGAUAAUGCUUUGAUGUUGUUUUUGUGGAUGCAAAUUUCUUCCUUCUUGAUCUUAGACAAAAUUGCACCUACAAAACAAUGAACAUCUCAGCUCAAGGCCAAGAGCCUCACGUGCCCAUGAUGAAUGGAGGGCUUUGGCUGAAGAACCUCUGAUGCCAAAGUUAAAAUUUAGAAAGAAAAAAUGUUUGAGAAUUCUAGAGAAUUUUAGCAAGAGUUGGAACUAGUUUUUGGGAGAGAAUGGUGAGCUAUAUAUAGGGAUAUGGCCGGUCCUAUUAGGAAAAUAGGGACCGGCCAUUUAGGUAUUUUUUGGGUGUAAAUUGUGGUUAAUUAGCCAUUAAUAGUUUAACUAGGCAAUAAAUCUAUUAAUGGACUAAUUAACAUAUUUUGAAAGAAAUUAUAUAGGGAGUUAUGGAAUGAUUAAAAUAAUUAGCUAAUUGAUUAGCUAAAAAUGGAAAAAUGAGGUAGAAAUAUAUGGAAUGAAAUAGGUUUUAGGAGUUACCUUGUAGAAGGGAUUUGAUGAGAUAGGUUUUGAAUUGUUACCUAUUUUGGGCACUUUUGAUUUAGUUGAAGGAUGAUUGCCCGCUGCUCAUGCGUAAGAAUCUCGUUGUACCUUAAGGGUAUUUUUGUCCUCUUUUAUCCUGUCGCAUUGUGAUUAUUUUUGGCUCCACAGUUUUAGCAGCAUCUUUUUGGCUCAUGCAUAUCUUGGUGACACUCAUGCAUGUGCCAUUCAGUUGGAGACGGAGAUUGGUGACUGCACUUUUAAAAUUAUGACGGACAACUACUAGUGUACUUAACUUGUGUUUGAUUUUGUGGCCUUGUCUCAAUGUCGACAAUUUGCGCACUAUAUUUUUGCUUUUGAGGAAGCAGCACAUGAAAGAUUCAUGCCAAAGGGUAAGGCAAAUACAUGUAAUAAUUUGAAGACAAAAAAUCACUAAUUCAGGUCAAUACAUUUUCUAUUUGCAUUGUAGAAAUUUUGAUUUUGUUCAUCACUUAUUGUCUCCUCUUGUAUGAAAAAAGUUGUUCUUUCUAAUACCAUGGAAUUUUUUAUUUUGCAUUGUGAAAAUUUUGAUUUUGUUCCGCUUUUUUACCGUGAUUUCGGCAACUAUUUUCGUCGAUUGAAGUAUUGUCACGUCCCGGACUCAAAAUGAGUGAAAGAAAUGAUCUCGGGCCCAUAUGCGAAUAAAAAUAAAAUAAAUAAAAAGAAACUUAAACAGGUUUGAAAACUAGCUCAUUUAAAAAUGAUGCGGAAGAAUAAAUAGGCUAGUACGCCAGAAUGAAUGGGAAAUUGAUUUAUUUAAUAUACGAGUCAAAUACACAAUAAAUAAGAAUUUACUAAAAUACAAUAAUCACCAUUCGACUUCACGUACAUUUCACGAGUCCCUUAAUUCUCUAAAUUGAUCUGCAGCCUUAGAUGCUUGGAUUCGACUCCCUGAUCACUGAUGUGAAAAUUGUACUGUAAUUCGACUUAACUCAAGUUAUGAAAAUACAGUAAACAAGUUGGAAGGCUACAAAGUUCCCUCUGUCUCACUUUCCUUCUUUUUCUUCGGGUCUGAAAACUUGGAAAACAAAUGGUGUUUUCCUCGGACUAGGAUUGUCUGCCCUCCACUUCCGAUGUCAUUUCCGUUUCCUCCUAUUUGUGUGGUCACGGUUAAGCCACGUCAACAUUCUAUAUUACUAUUUAUUUUUGUCUUAUUAUAUCUAUAAAAAAUAUAUAUAUAAAAUGUUGACGUAACUUAACCGUGACCACACAAAACAGGAGGGCACUGGAAGUGGAGGGCAGACAAUCCUUGUCCGUUUUCCUCUUCAUUCUUUUCUCUUUCUUUGUGGUCCAAUCAAAGAACAAGAGGGCACGAAAGGGCACUGGAAGUGGAAGGACAGACGACCUUUGUCCCCAAUCAAAAUCCUUCAUAUGUGACCCCAUGUCAUCAUUCAUAUGUGGCUAGCUAUCAAUUUGUCACGUGGCGAAGUCAACCAUCUGUCGCUGCCACAUGUCAAUCAUUUAGUCGUCCUCUAAACUGACAAAUAUUCCGAAAGAUACUAUCAAAAUCACCUCUAGUUUCAUCCUACUACUUCCGGAUCAUCAAUUGUUCUCAAUCAAAAUAAUAUUUUUCCCAAUAUCUUAGUCAUCCGAAAUAACGACUACUUGUGAAACAUUAAUAAUUUCAGGGUUUCAAAGCUAUGAACCUUCAUCUAUUCUUCACAAUCUUCAAGUUAGUAUGCUUUGUUUCUACAUUAAUAGCCGUUUUGGAGUCGGGUGUUUAGAAACUUAUAAAUCUGGUUUUGGCCGAUGGUUUUGGUCGGUUGCCGGCUAGAAUUGAUUGUCGGGAUAGUUAUAAAAGUUGAUCCUUAUGUUGAGUUCUAUAUGCCUGUAAAAUUUGGUGUGUCAGAAAAUUGGGUUUCUAGUUUCAUAAUCAUAUCAACACUAAAUCAAGCCCAGAAAGGUGGCGUUAGAAAGAUUUGUAUAUCCCUCACAAACUUGUAGAAGGAACCUUCCUUAAAAAUCACCAUCUUGACCGGCUUAUAGAACAACUAAGCCCAAAAAUUCAAACUGAUAGCACUACGCAGUCAACCUUCUUUUCUUUGCCACAAUCAAAUGGCAUGGAAUAAAAAUCUUGAAUUUUUACACUAUUAACUUGAAAGAUCACAAACACACAGAAUUACUUCAAAUUCCUUUUUUUUGAUAACUUUUUUCCCUACCAACGAAAUAUAGAAUAAAGUAUUAAAAUUAUACCAAAAUAGUUAAUAAAUUAUAUCUAAGACUAUGGUAAAAAUAUAGAAUAAUGUUGAUUCAUCAGCAAGUAUUGAAAUAAUAGUUUAACACAUUUUUAUUUGGCCUAUCGAUUCACCAAACAUAUACAUACACAUAACUAGAGACAGCAAGAGAGAGAAUAGUGGGAAUCAUUCAUCCCACAGUCCGACGCAUGGAUUCUCCCCAAUUCAACGAAAGUCCUCUUCAUUAUGUACACAAAAUAACAACAAACACGUUUUUGAGUAAUUAUAUCUCUGCCUGCCCUUUUACUUUUGACUUUAGAGAAAGCGGCUCAUGUGAUGUACGAUUCAUGCCUAACUUUAAAGGCAAAUACAUUAUUCUAACAAACUAUUAAAACUUAAAGGGGUAAUUUGGAUUUCAGAGAAUUUUAAUGGAUUUUUUUUAAGUAACAAAUUUGAAAAGAUUUUAAUAGAUUUAUAAUUUUACUUGGAUUUUGACAAAUGUAUAUGGAUUCCUAUUAUAGAUUUUUAUGGAUUUGAAUGGAUUUCUUUAAUGGAUUUCUUAGGAUGUUAGUUGACUCCUACAACAUAAAAUGAAUUUGUUCGUGGCAGGAAUUUCCUUGGAGGAUGUUCCCUGGCCGACGAGCACACAGCUCCCCGGGAUGGUUGGCGCCGGUUGAGGCUUCCUGUCAGGCUUCUGCUUUACUGGCGGGCUUGUCGGGCAAAGCUUAGUCGGGCAAGGCUUGUCGGGCAAAGCUUAGUCGGGCAAGGCUUGUCGGGCAAAGUUCUUCGGGCAAGGCUGAAAGAGAAGGACAGAGUUAACUUUGAAAUAAUGCCUUUAUGGGGCCUUAGGUGUAGGCCUUCCCUUUCUCUUGGAUUCAAUAAUAUUUCUUCAGGAGGAGUGACGAGGUGCUUUGAGAGGGAAAGAGAAGCACUUCUUGCUUUCAAACAGGGCCUCGUGGAUCACUACAAUCUCCUCUCUUCGUGGGGAAGAGAAGAUCACAAACAAGAUUGUUGCAAAUGGGUAGACGUCCAUUGCAGCAACCGAACCAACCAUGUUACUCAACUUCAUCUUGGACGGGAAAGUCUCGUGCGUGUCGUACAGCGUGUCCCGCCUCCCCCAGUUCUUAGGGAUGAAACCAGAAAUUUAACUAAGAGGGGGCAUCUUAAAAAAUUUGAGCUCCUUUUUUGGACAAAUAAAGUUAGUUCUUUUACAAAUGCUGAAAAAUUAAUUACAAAAUGCCUAAUUUUAUUACUCUAUUGUCUAAUUUUGUCUUUAAUUGUUGACAAUCUAAUGUUCAUUUGUACUAAUUAACCAAAUACAUGUAACUCAAUAAGGUUUAGACAUUAGUGUGUGAGAAAAAUAUAUAAGACGGAGGAGCAUUUGAAAACUAAAAAAAGAUUUUCACUAUUUUAAUAUGAUUAAUUGAAUAAUCUGCCAAGCAAAAAAAAAUAGAAAUGAUUAAUUGAAUAAUUUGUCCUGAGGGACCACGUGUCGUGAGCCGUUCCUGCUGCGACUCAGUGCUUUGUUCGCAGAGAUGAGCGAUAGGAUCGUCUCCGUGGCGGUCGACUGUAAGCAGAGCAUGUUCUACGGGACCACCGUCCGUGGGGUCAAGUUCUGGGACCCUACUUCUUCUUCAUAAACCCGAGGCCGACGUACGAGGCCACGUUUCUGGACCGGCAGCCGGACAACAUGUCGGACGACAAGUUUCUAAUUCCACAAAAUACAAAAAGACUUAUAAAAUGUAAACAGAACGAAACAAUCAACGCGGAAUUGUGUUGAUUGUUGCAGGCUUUGUCAUUAUUUUGGAGAGAAGAGUCAGCGUCUAAUUACUACACCUACGUACAGAAAAGUAGGUGGUCCACUCACACAUGUUUCAUACUUGACCAUUUGAGUCAAGACAACUCAGUGUGUGGAUCGUAUUGUGAACUAUUACGUAGUGACCCAGCCUUAUAAGAUACUCGCAUCUUUCCUUGUGCUCCUAAAUCAAUUAUGAUCGUACACUUCUUCUUCUUCAUUCUUCAAUCAUCUUUGCCUUGAUUUUGUUGAAUUAAGAUGGAGAACGACGGAAUCAGGUGCUUGAAGAAAUUCUUUCACACUUCCAUUGUGGUGCUACUUUUUCUACAAUGUUUCAACCCUUCCCUAUCCUCUGGAUUCUAUAAUGUUUCUUUGGGUUUCGGAGCAAUUGGCCACCGGGUGGUGACGAGGUGCAUAAAGAGUGAAGGGGAAGCACUCCUUUCUUUCAAACAAGGUCUGAUUGAUGACUACAAUCUCCUCUCCUCCUGGGGAAGAGAAGAACACAAGCAAGAUUGUUGCAAAUGGCUUGGCAUCCACUGCAGCAACCGAACCAACCAUGUUACUCAACUUGAUCUUGGAUGGAAUCAUAUGAAUGAAGUUUACUCACUUCAACAGAAAGGACAGCAGGAGUAUCCCGUAUAUUACUUUCAAGGUAAAAUGAUGAGUCCUAAACUAAUUGAGUUGCAGCAUUUGAAAUAUUUGGACCUUUCUUCCAUUAACUUCACUGGGACCCAGCUUCCAGAUUUCAUUGGUUCUCUUUCCAAUUUAAGACACCUCGAUCUCUGGUAUGCUUCUUUUGGUGGUCGAAUUCCAACUCAGAUUGGAAACCUUACUCACUUGCAAUAUCUUGAUCUCAGAUCCAAUCACUUUGCUAAUGUAGAAAAUAUCAAUUCAUGGCUACCUCAUCUUUCUUCUUUAACAUAUUUGGACCUGAGUUACAACAAUCUUAGUAAUGUUCCUGACUGGUUGGAAAUAGUUAGUAAGCUCCCUAAACUUACUAACUUGUCUCUGUCUUAUUGUAGUCUUCCUUCUCUUCUAAUUCAUUCCAGUACUCUUUUUAACAUAAAUUCUUCUAAAUCUCUUGCUCAUGUUGAUCUCAGUGAUAACCAACUCACUUCUUCCAUAUUUCUUUGGUUGUCCAAAUACAAUGCCAGCCUUGUUCAUCUUGAUCUCAAAUACAAUAACUUUGCUAAUGUAGAAAAUCUGAAUUCAUGGCUGCCUCAUCUUUCUGCUUUAACAUAUUUGGACCUAAGUUACAGCAAUCUCAGUAAUGUUCCUGACUGGAUCGAAGCAGUUAAUAAUCUCCCUAAACUUACAAACUUGUCUCUGUCUUAUUGCAGUCUUCCUUCUCCUCUAAUUCAUUCCAGUACUCUUUUUAACAUAAAUUCUUCUAAAUCUCUUGCUCAUGUUGAUCUCAGUGACAACCAACUCACAUCUUCUUCCACAUUUCUUUGGUUGUCCAAAUACAAUGCCAGCCUUGUUCAUCUUGAUCUCAAAUACAAUAACUUUGCUAAUGUAGAAAAUCUGAAUUCAUGGCUGCCUCAUCUUUCUGCUUUAACAUAUUUGGACCUGAGUUACAGCAAUCUCAGUAAUGUUCCUGACUGGAUGGAAGCAGUUAAUAAGCAUCCUAAACUUACAAAUUUGUCUCUGUCUAAUUGUGGUCUUCCUUCUCCUCUAAUUCAUUCCAGUACUCUUUUUAACAUAAAUUCUUCUAAAUCUCUUGCUCAUGUUGAUCUCAGUUACAACCAACUCACUUCUUCCAUAUUUCUUUGGUUGUCCAAAUAUAAUUCCAGCCUUGUUCAUCUUGACCUCUCUUACAACCAGUUAACUGGCUUAUUUCCCGAUGUCAUUGGAAACAUGAGCUCUCUUGCAUAUCUAGAUCUCUCUUCUAACCAAUUUAAAGGGGUGAUUUCAGAAAGUCAUUUCUCGGGUCUCUCCAGAUUAAGAUCUUUGUCUCUGUCCUCUACCUCACUAACUUUAAACUUCCAUUCUAAAUGGGUUCCUCCCUUCCAAUUGGAUGUCAUAUUCUUGAGGUCUUGCAAGAUGGGUCCACAUUUUCCAAAUUGGCUUCAAACUCAGAAAAGUUAUCGGACGCUUGAUAUUUCUAAUGCUGGAAUUUCUGAUAUCCUUCCAAGUUGGUUUUGGGAAAGGCUGUCUCAUGCUCCUGAAAUUGGUUAUGUAGAUCUCUCCAACAACCAAAUUAGAGGAACAAUUCCAAACUCGCAAAUCAAUUUUGUAUGUUUCUCUCGUCAACUAAAUUUGAGUUGGAACCAAUUGGAAGGUCAAGUCCCUCCAUUCCUAUUGAAAGCUUCGUCAUCUCUCUUUCUCUCCCACAAUAAAUUUUCAGGGUUGUUUUCUUUCUUGCUUCCAGUUAACGCAAGUCAUUUAAGAUUGCUUGAUCUCUCGAGCAACCAUUUACAUGGAGAACUUCCCGAUUGCUGGACUCAUUUCAAAAAUCUUUUAAUUCUUGAUUUGAGUGACAACCUUUUUUCUGGGAGAAUUCCUGCCACAAUGGGCUCUUUAUCUUCAAUUCAAACAUUGAACCUAAACACUAAUGGACUUGUGGGAGAAUUGCCUUCAUCUUUGAAGAACUGUACAAGUCUCAUAGUUUUUGAUGUUGGAGAAAAUAAAUUAUCAGGUUUGAUACCUGAAUGGUUAGGGGUUGGACUUCCAAAUUUGACUAUCCUUAUCCUCCGUUCUAAUCACUUCUAUGGAAGCAUUCCAUCACAAUUGUGUAAUAUGGGAAGCAUUCAAAUUCUGGAUUUCUCGAUGAAUAACAUCUCCGGAAGUAUACCCAAAUGUCUCAACAAUUUGACUAAUUUGGCUCUAAGAGGAAGUUCAAGUCUAACUAUCACUCACCUAUUUAAGGCAACCUCCACUGAUAUUGCUGUCAGUAUUUUUGAUUAUGAAGACGAAGCAUCCUUGAUAUGGAAUGGAAUAAUGUCCAAAUACAAAAGUACCCUGGGGCUUGUAAAGAGUAUCCAUCUGUCAAGUAAUCGAUUAACGGGGGAGAUUCCUAGUGAAGUCACUGAUCUUGUGGGGCUGGUUUCUUUAAACCUAUCAAGAAAUAACUUAACAGGUCAAAUAACUCCAAAAAUAGGAAAGUUGCAGUCUUUAGAUUUGCUUGAUUUGUCAAACAACCAAAUACAUGGUACAAUUCCAACAAGUCUCAUUGGAAUAUCUGGCCUUGGUAAGUUGGACCUGUCCAACAACAACCUAUCUGGAAAAAUUCCCAUCGGGUCUCAACUUCAACCCUAUGACGCCACUGUUUUUGCUGGAAAUCCUCUCCUUUGUGGAAUUCCACUUGAACAUAUGUGCUCUCCUAAGGAAACAACACUGGAGGAGCAACCAGUGGUAGACAAUCAAGAUGAAGAUGAUGACGGGUUUAUAACACCUGGAUUUUACAUGAGUUUGGGGCUUGGAUUUAUCAUUGGAUUCUGGGGAGUUUGUGGGAGUUUGAUAUUCAACAGGUCAUGGAGAUACAUGUACUUCAAACUCUUGAAUGGUUUAAAUGAUUGGCUUUAUAUCAAGGUGGCAUUGUUCAUGCAACGAAGAAUGCUCGAUGAAUAAGCUGUAAGUAUACUGUCACAUAAUGAAUAAUACUGCAAUUAACAUACAUGUCCUCCUCUCUUUUAAACUCCCGGCUAACGGCUAACGCCUGUAAUUUACUUGAAUUUUUGUAGCUCGUCCAUCGGCUUGUGUGGUACGACAUGCUAACCCCUUCGGCUUUUGGGUUGAGAAGGAGCCUGAAGGACAAUAGCUUUUAAGUUAUGGUGGAAUUUCUCCAAAUUCAUGAGUGGGAAAUGUAUUUGGUUCAUUGUCGAGUUGUAAUUUUACACAAAUAUUUAUGGUUUUAGUUUCAAUUUUUCCCAAUUUGUUAUGAAUUAAUGGAUGAAUAGACUGCGUUCCAAAUUGAAAGCCAGGAUUGAAGAGCUGUGUACAAGAGACUAAAAAGAGUGGCACUAAACGAAGACCAAAAAGAGUGCCACUAAACAAUGGACAUGAAUUAAAAUUUCAAAACUACAUUGAACUUGUUAAACAAAUUCAAAAAUAAGUGAGACGACCAGUUUGUGUAAUCUCAUACAAGCUUGUGAUAAACGAACAAGUUUGGCUCAUGAAAACAAAGGCAAAAUUAUUAUUAUUUUUAUUUAUUUGUUGCCUUAACAUACCAAACAGAAGCCCCCAAAAUCCAACUCCGGCUAAUUACCCCAACAAAAGAAGAUUAAAUUAUGAAGAAGGGAAAAAAUAAUUAUGUUUGGGUCCAAAUAAAUGAGAAUUGGAACUCUUGGUAGCCUGUUAGCAUCUGGUCAAAAUUGUUCCAGCCUGUGGCUGAUGAGAGUUUUGUUCGAGCCGUUUCCACUCUGGAUGUACUCCUGUAUGCACGAGAGGUAAGAGGAGUAAAAGGGAAUGUAAUGCUGAGUAAGUGCUCUACAGUUUAUUGUUUGUGGCUUGUUUUGAUCCUUCAGUAGAACGAUGCAGAAGCAGAUAAAACAGUGUAUUCAAAUAUUGAUCAAACAUUCAGGAUUGGUACAAUACUAGUGGAAUUAAGCUUGUCUGGGUGCGGGAAUAUCACUAAUCAAAUAGCUAAUGCACAGCUAACUUGACUGAAAAGGGAAGGGAGGAAAUAACGAUGUCCAUAUCAAUUCCUCUCACUUAGUAAAAUAAGAACGUGAUAGAAACAGAACAGCCAAUUAUGAAUAACCAGGAAUACGAAAAAAAAUUCUAAUGCAUAAUAUCAAUCAGCCCAUGAAAAAAAAAGAGAUUUUGGAAAACCACAUGUAGGAGACAGGAAAACAGAUUAUACUUUCCAACUUUCGCUCCACAACUAUAUGCUUUUACGGAUAUCAUAUGGUAAAGAGGAAUGUUGAAAAAACAAUUUCUUUUCGGGUUGCAUAGGUAAGUUUCACAGACCCACCGGGAUUAGCACUCGCCCUCCACCCUUGGUCUUAAGGAACAUGGCAUGUCAUUAGGUUCAAAAGCUAGUUGAAAGGAGAAACAUGUAAAGCAUUUGUAACCUUACCAAAAGAAACGAAAAUACCUUAGCACAGAUUUACUUAUGUGACAAUAGAUUAUGUAUCAGGAAAAAAACAAUGGUAGAAGCUUUCGGAAGGGAACAAAAAAGUAAGAAGAAAGAGAACAUACAAGCAUAUCUUCUGAAAGAACUGUUUCCAUUAAUGGAAAAUGUUACAGGCCUCCUUUCCUGACCCAAAGAUAGGAUCUCUUGCAUCCUUUCAGGCCAGUCUGAAUUUAACCUCCGAGCAAAAUCUUCAACCUCCCUGAACAACGAUUUAAGAAAAUAUGUAACAUUAGCAAGAACCAAGUUUUGUCUCUAUAAAUUGCGUAUUUACAUGCAGAACCAUGGUGGAGGAUGCAACUUGAAAUUCCAGUUACAUCCUUAUCAGAAAAUAAAAUAAACACUGACGAGAGAAAAAGACUUGCAGAACCAGAAGAGUGGGCGACCGGAACCAUGUUUCACAACAGAUGCUUAAUGGUGAUGACCAGAAUGAGAGCUCUUUUUCUUUAUAAACAUAAACAAAUAUUUAUUUAAAAUGUCCAAACAACUAUUGCACACAGAAAAUCAAAAACCAACAUCUCUCAAAGCCACCAUAAAGAGCUAGCAAAGGCAAAACAUUAUCCCCAAUGUUUACUCAUUUUUAUCACAGACCAACUUUUUUAAGCAACCUUUUUCAUCUUCUUAGCUGGGUGAGGAGUGGAUUUGAACAUGGGACAGUUUAAAAAAGAAGUGGAGAAAUACCACUACAUUAAUAGCUAUUUAGUUUUUAAGCAAACUCUGCAACAUUGAAAAACAAAUGACAAUUUGAAAUUCUUUUGCAGUUAUCAAAUUUCAUCUUCUAAUUGCAUAUCUUCAAUUUCAGAACUGCGUUCACAAAAAUAAAAUAAAAAAAGCAACGAAGUUGCACCAUAAUGAGAUCCACCAUUCUGUUUCCUUAAGCUUUCCAUAACUAAAGUCAUCAUCGACAAAGUUAUUACCACUGAGUUCAAUUCAGUACUUUUUCUUCCACAUGUUGCUCAACGUGAUAUAUUUUUUUUUUUCAUCCACUAAAAUUAAAAAAGAUGAUAUUAUAUUGCAAAUCGUGUAAUAACCCAAAAUAGUUGCAGACAAACCUAUCAAUUUUUUCCUUCAAUGCCGGAUCAAUCUCAUCAUCAAUAUCACCUUCAUCAAACCCAAUCAUAUCCUCCACCCUAUCAUCCUUUAGAUCUUGUAGCUUUAAUGUCAAACUAGAACUAGGCGUAAAUUUGUUGAGUUCAUCACUGGGGCAAGCAAAGUUAAGAUUGCUCGACACCUAAAACAUUUGGGCGAAAAGAAAAAUGAAGAAAAACUAGCUACCCAACAACUCAAGCAGAAAAGUACAAGUUCAAGACCGAAUUAGUGAUUCAAACCUCAUGGAUCUCAUUGGCCUCAUAUAGACACGUGCUUUUCUGCUGAUCUUUUCUCCUGCGAUUCUUCUUUUUGUUCUUGGAAGUUUUAAUUCCUUUGGAAUCUGUGAAACAUAAUUUCCUUACCUCCAAUGAGGCCUUCAAAAGGAAAUAAAGUAAAAAUAGACGACUAAGACACUACACUUCAAAUCCCAUUUAAAGGAAUCUUAAGUACUUCCAAGUACAGUAUAAUGUGGGCUAAUGCAAUCCUGAAAAAGAUUAGUAUCAAGUGUGCAUUGUGCAAUUUGCUCGUUGGAACUACAACCUACUCAAUGAUAAAUCCAAUUUCUCAAUUAACAAUAACCAUGCAGUCAAGGAAUAAGAGAGCAAUUACUCAGGUAUACCUCCAAUUUCUCCAUUAAUGAAUGACAAGAGAUCAUCAACUGAACGUUCAUCGUUUUGCUCUUCUUCGAGAUGACAAGAGAUCAUCAACUGAACGUUCAUCGUUUUGCUCUUCUUCGAGCUCGUCAUUCUGAAAAGUAUGGAAGGUUCAAUAAUGACUACCAAUAAGAAGGAUAUAUUAUUUAGCAUAGUAUAAAAGCCAGAAAACAUAUUAUGUAGUACGUUUUGAAUUUAGAUUCAUCAAAUACCAAACUCACCUUCAAUUUCUCUCUUUCCUGAAGUUCCCUCCUCUUUCUUGCAUAUAAUCGAUUCAAAAGUCGAAUGCGUGGAUCGUCAGUUGAAUUUUUCAAAGGCUCCAACUUCUCUUCCUGGAUGAUUUCUUAGUGGUGUUAAAAACAACAAAGAAACACCAAGUUUUUGCUAAGCAUACACAGAAAUCUCAAGCAUCGGAGACCUCUGUAAGAUCAUCAGGGAGAUGAAAUAUUUCACGUAUCUCCUCAGGUGUUUUCCCUUCAAUUAUUCGUGCAAGAGCACGACUAGUAAGAUCCACCAAUGGUUUUAAUUGGAGGCUGUCAGCUGCUGAAGUCAACUCACAGAGCAACUUUGCGUCCAUUCGGAUGUAUUUUUCAUCAAAAGCCUUGCAUUCCUACAUAAACGAGUGGUGCCGAGUCAUAUGAGCGUGCCAAGUUUACACCAGCAUCAGAGUAAACAUUUAAUCCAGUGUGCAGGUGGAGAUUAAUGUCCUCAAUAGCUCAAAUUUAUGCAAAACAGACAGAGGGCAUAGACUCAGAAAGAAGUAAAACAGAAUGACAUUCCAAAAACAUGUAGAACCUUGUUCGAGCGACCUGGUACUUGAUGAAAUCGGCAGUAAUCAAGAAUUAAGCUCAACAUUGCAGUACCGACUCUUUCAGGAAGAGAUAUUGCAUGGUUCUUGGAAGCUCCCAUCCCUUUCUGUAUAUUUUCUUUGCAUAUCAUAGGGCAAUACACGUGUUCGCUCCCUAAAUCCGCCAUGGCGCCUUGCGGGCAAGCCGGGGAUUUACUUCACAUAUGAGAUUGGUGGGUGCGGGCGUGCCACUACUAGAUGCCGCUAGUAGACGGGAUUUGAGUGAUUGAGGUUGCGCCUGAAUUUGCCCGAAUCAAGAGAUUGUGUCAUUUGAGUGGGAGUUGCUCAAAUUAAGGUUCUUUGUUUGCCUUAAAAAUAAGGACUUUACUUAUAUGGAGAGAUAGAACAAUAUGUAAAUGAUAAGGUUGCUUGGAAAUAUAAAUGACAGAGGAAAGUGACUAAAAUUGCAGAUUGCUUGUAAUUUAUAUGGCUGGAAAUGAGUACAUAACAGCUACAAAUGAGAUCGAUACCGCAAGUGAGCAGCAGAGCUAAUAAACUAGAUAAAAGAAGGCUUUUUGGUGAAGGUUUAUCCCGAAUGGGAUGAAGGUUUGGGCUGACUACAGCUUCGUUGAAGGCAAAUCUGGCUUGAGCAGAGUUUUGGCUUUUGUUUGUUUGUUUGAGUGUCCAUAAUCCUUGUGCAUCUGCUCCUUUUUAUAGAGGUCUGGAGGAAACCCUCCUGCUGAGGUUUUGUAUCUGCCCGAAAAAAGCUUGGGCAGCUUGUAUUCCAUUGCUUUAGACAGCUUGCAUGCUUUUCACUUGCCAACUUGCAUGGAGAAAUAAUAUUAAAAGGGGAACUUGCAUUUCCACCACAAGCUUUUAGCACAUGUUUUCCCACUUGUAAUAAACUAACAUUUAAAAGAAGCAAGUUGGAUUCUUUCACAUGUUCCUUGCCCGAAAGCUUGCUGAUGCUUUUCCAUCCACUUGCAAUACAUGCAUGUACCUUGAUUAAACAAAUGCUAGACAAACCUCCACCACCCAAACAAAUAGGAGAAACAAUAUUAUAGUGUCCAACCCCUCCACUUGCAUCUAAAUAUCUUUCCAAGUUAGCUUUCUUGCAUAUUAAUCCUCCAAAUGCCAUAUUUUACCCAAAUUGCCCAAAUAAGUAAAAAUGUGUAUAUUUUGAGUGCAAACAGUGCCCCCCAAGUUUUACAAAUUUGAGCAAAGUUUGUGAAACUUACAACCCCAAUGCUGCCAGGAUUGAUGUCGAAGGAAGAGGCACGUCUACAUCUUCAGUCCUUUCGUCGUUGAGAAACUUGGCAAGAUAUGUUCGCUCCCUAAAUCCGCCAUGGCGCCUUGCGGGCAAGCCGGGGAUUUACUUCACAUAUGAGAUUGGUGGGUGCGGGCGUGCCACUACUAGAUGCCGCUAGUAGACGGGAUUUGAGUGAUUGAGGUUGCGCCUGAAUUUGCCCGAAUCAAGAGAUUGUGUCAUUUGAGUGGGAGUUGCUCAAAUUAAGAUUCUUUGUUUGCCUUAAAAAUAAGGACUUUACUUAUAUGGAGAGAUAGAACAAUAUGUAAAUGAUAAGGUUGCUUGGAAAUAUAAAUGACAGAGGAAAGUGACUAAAAUUGCAGAUUGCUUGUAAUUUAUAUGGCUGGAAAUGAGUACAUAACAGCUACAAAUGAGAUCGAUACCGCAAGUGAGCAGCAGAGCUAAUAAACUAGAUAAAAGAAGGCUUUUUGGUGAAGGUUUAUCCCGAAUGGGAUGAAGGCUUGGGCUGACUACAGCUUCGUUGAAGGCAAAUCUGGCUUGAGCAGAGUUUUGGCUUUUGUUUGUUUGUUUGAGUGUCCAUAAUCCUUGUGCAUCUGCUCCUUUUUAUAGAGGUCUGGAGGAAACCCUCCUGCUGAGGUUUUGUAUCUGCCCGAAAGAAGCUUGGGCAACUUGUAUUCCAUUGCUUUAGACAGCUUGCAUGCUUUUCACUUGCCAACUUGCAUGGAGAAAUAAUAUUAAAAGGGGAACUUGCAUUUCCACCACAAGCUUUUAGCACAUGUUUUCCCACUUGUAAUAAACUAACAUUUAAAAGAAGCAAGUUGGCUUCUUUCACAUGUUCCUUGCUCGAAAGCUUGCUGAUGCUUUUCCAUCCACUUGCAAUACAUGCAUGUAUCUUGAUUAUACAAAUGCUAGACAAACCUCCACCACCCAAACAAAUAGGAGAAACAAUAUUAUAGUGUCCAACCCCUCCACUUGCAUCUAAAUAUCUUUCCAAGUUAGCUUUCUUGCAUAUUAAUCCUCCAAAUGCCAUAUUUUACCCAAAUUGCCCAAAUAAGUAAAAAUGGGUAUAUUUUGAGUGCAAACAGUGCCCCCCAAGUUUUACAAAUUUGAGCAAAGUUUGUGAAACUUACAACCCCAAUGCUGCCAGGAUUGAUGUCGAAGGAAGAGGCACGUCUACAUCUUCAGUCCUUUCGUCGUUGAGAAACUUGGCAAGAUGAGCAAGGCAAUUGGUAGUGUAACUAGCAUUGGAAAGAAUGUUGUCUGACUUGUGCAUCCUUCUUGUUGAUACCAAAAAACAUGGGAGCAACCUCACUGAUUACAUAGAUAAUAAAUUGGACAAAUGCUCGAAGUCGGGCAAACUGGAGAACAAGGAUAAAACAUAAAUAAACUUGGGCAACUAUUUAUUUUUUGUCUUUUUCUUUUGGCCUCUUUUCAUAUGUAAUAUAAUAUAUAAUACAAAUACAUAUAUAUAUAUAUAUAAUAUAGCCCACUCGGCAAAGAGAACAGAAAGAGACAAGAAGAAAGAGAAAGGAAGGAAAAGAAAAUAAAUAAAUAAAGAAAAAGGAAGAAAGAGAAGAGGACCCUUUCGGGCAAGAAGGGAACGGAAGAGACAGAAGAGAAAGAAAGGGGAAAGGAAAAGGGAGAGAGGGAAAGAAAUAAUAAAAAAGUAAGGAAAGAACCUUUCUUUCUUAGGCCGAGCCAAGUGAAGGACAGACCUUGAGAAAGGGACAAGGAACAGAAAGCAAGAGAAAAGAAAAAAGAAAAGGAAAAAGAAAGAGAUAGAUAGAGAGAAAAAGAUACCCACGUUCUCUAGCCUUUCCUUUUCUCCAAAAGAGAAGCUGUUUCUCUGUUCGAGGCACCACUUAAAGAUCAAGGUGCGGCAACCAAAAUCCAAGUCUGAGAGAGAGAGAGAGAGAGAGAGAGCAAUCCUUGUUCGUUCCCAAAUUUUGCCUCUUUGGAAUUAAGAGAAGUGGAAAGAUGCCUCUUAAGCUAGCCGACGCCACCAUCUCCACCUUCGAUUGUGUGUUUGACAAAUUCAAAGUAGAAGCUCUAAACAACAAAAUCAAUUUCAUCCUUUUCUUGGCUGACAAUGACCCUUCUACCUCUUGGUGCCCUGAUUGUGUGAGAUCUGAGCUUGUAAUCUACAAAAGGCUAGAAGCUAUACCAGAUGAUGUUGCACUGUUGAGGAAAUCAAACUCCUCUGGUGUUAUUUUGUUCAGAGCCCUCAUAGUCUUUCACACGCGAUCCUCAUCAGAUAGAGCAACCUUCUAGCUGACCAUAGUACCUCAGCUUUGAUUGAAGUAGGAGCAGGCCCUCCUCCUUGGUUCUGUUCAUGCAAAUUAAGCCUGAUUUGCAUCUUGCUGUUUGUGACCAAACCGAUCACCAGACUUUUUGUUCUUCCGGAGAGCACCCGAUGACCGUACUCUUUAAGGCAGGAAUUGGUGUAGAAGUGCCACGCCAAACUCGGCUAUUGGGCUCCGAAUAAUCAAUUUUAGGCUGGAGAUGGAGCUGGAGAUUUGGUAGAAUGGUUUUUGCAUGACCUCAGUUCUGAUCUUCACCACUGGAAUUUCAUCAGGGAGCAAAACAGCUUCCCUAAGCUGUAGUUGAUUCUUUGGGACGGAGUGAGAUGCAUAGUGCGCUAGCACACUCCCCUCCCUAACCAGCAAAAAUCCAGACUUUUCUUCCCAUACUGAGAGAUAAUUAGGGAAACUAGAAAUCCCCGAGAUUGGGGAAUGGAAGAAUAUCACCUGCAAUUGUUGCUUAUUGAUCCAUUCCAUUGAGGUCGGGAGCUAUACUAGACUUUGAUCCGCUGUUUGAUGUUCUUUGCCCGAGCUGCGGUUCCAAGACACCACCCAUGGAUUCGUUUUUGGAGUAACAAUACCACAUCGGGCUCAUGGGAGUUUGCAAUAACCCUGCUGUCGAAAGCAUUGUUGGAAUUAAGAUCGUUAUCACUUCCAACAUGAUGUUGCAGCGCAGGUUUUGGCUGGAAUUUGUUGGGAGGUAACGACGAGCAGCUGUGAGCUACGAUGUUGUUGGUUGACUUGUUUUUCACAGAAGCUUGCUCUGUCCACCAUUUAAGCAAUUUUUGGGCUAGGAAGCCAUUGACAGGUUUGUUGGGGGAGUCGGUGUAAUUUCCAGCAUCUCCUUCAGGGGCAGCUAUGGCACGAGCACUUCAAAUACGUUUGCCCGAUCAAACAUGGGGCCCCAUGUCUAAUUGACAACAUCUAAAUAAAUUGUAGCAGAGAAAAAGUCUUGCUCAUCGGGCAAGAUUAUAGCUCCAUCGGGCAAUAGCAACAUACUUUCAUCAAGCAUUCGGGCAAACUGCAAAAACAAUUCUGCACCCACCAUCCAACCUCCACGGUUUAAUCGUAGCCUCAAUGGUAGUCGUCGAAGUAGCCCGACCCUUGGUUGUAGGAGCUGGUGAGAGUUAGGGAGACAUGCAGAGUCUGUUGGUGGUGAACAGGGAAGACGUCACUUCCGUCGGGCAUGGUUAUGGUGGUCUCAUCGGGCACCACCAAUCGGGCAAGAUAACCCCCCUGCUCUUUUGCAAUAGCCAUUGAGAAGCUGUCUGAUAGAUUUUUGCACAGGAAAGCCAUGAUUUGGCUUUUUAUAAAACCUCCAAUUCCAAGAUUCUGGGUGAGAUUUUGUGGAAAAUGUAGUUUUAUUGUAUGGUUUUGGGUUCGGGCUAAAUACACCCAUUGGAUAAGAGAAAAGGUGGAAAGAAGGGUAAAAAUGGCUACUCACAAACUGCCCAACUCUUUAUAUUUUCUGUAAAAUUCCCCAGCAAGAAAACAAAAAGGGAAAGAAAGCAAGAAAAAACAAAGCAAGAAAGCAAAAUGUUUUUGUAAUUUUUGGAAUUUUUAAUUUUUAUAUCUUUUUCUUUGUAACAACACAAGAAACACACCAAGAAAACAGAGCCCUUUCGGGCAAACAGAAAAAGGAAAUUAAAGGCCUGUCAAGCAAGUUGGAAAAAGACAAAUAAAAAGAAAGACUUGUCAGACUUUCUUUAAAAAGAGUAAAACAUAAAAUGGACAAAAGCCCUUUCGGGCAAACCAACACCAAAGGAAGAAAUAUAAUCUUUUUAUUUUUCUUUGUUGUCCUUUUUUUUUUAAAAGCUAUACAUAUAAUAUAAUAAAAUAUACACCUACGAAAAGCCUUCGGGCAAAACACUUUUAUCAUAUAAUAUAAUAUAAUAAAUAUAGAUAUAUAGAUAUAAAAGUGUUUUGGGCAGCAGAAAGACAGGUGAGAGAGAGACAAGAAGGAAAAGAAAGGAAGAAAGAAAGAAAGAAAAAGAAAAGGAAAGAAAAAGGAAAAGGAGGAGAAGGGUACUGGAGAAAAAUGCACAAAAGAAUAACAUAAAAGAAAGCCAUUCGGGCAAAUUGGAUGAAGCCCCUUGGCUACUCAAGUGUUAUUUUUCUCUCAACACUCAAAUCUUUUUCUCUUUUUAAAAUUGAGUGUAGAGAGAUCAAACCCACCAUUUAAAUUGGCCAUGCUAUGUAGCUUGGGAACCAUAGGAGGUGGCCAUUCAUGUUUGAUCCCAAGCUUUGUCCUCAUUGAGAUCUCGAUGCGGACAACAUGCUUGUGUUGGCGGGGAAGAUUAUAGGAGCUAUUUUCUUCUUCUUCGGGCUCCACAUGAGGUGUGGGCUCAUGCCCCCCGAGCGUUGGUGUUUGGCCUACAACGGCUUGGACUUCUACAACCAUAUCCAUUUUCAUGGAUUUUUCCUUGGGUGGGGCCAUUGUUUGGCCUUCAUCAACAUGUAUGAUCUGUUCUUCCUUGGUUGUAGUAGGGUGAGUGUGCUUUGUAGAGGGGAUUUGACACAUUUGAUCUAUCAACUUUCCCAAAGUUUCUCCAAAAGUUGUAUAGCUUUCCUCCACCUUUUUAAAACACUUAGUCAUCUCUUCACCAUAUUCGAUGCUUGCCACAUGGAGUUUUGACACCUUCUCUAAUUUGCCCACAUCCUCUUUGUAGAGCUCUUCAUCCGAAUGAUCAUGAGUUGGCAUCUUAUAUAUUGGCUUUAUGUACUUAUUGGAAGUCUUUUGAUACUCAAAGCCAUUUGUUGGCCUAUCAUAGUAUUCAUGAAUAUGAUUGUCUUCAAAAGAAUAAUAACCUUCAUCAUAACCAUAAGUUGGCCAAUCUGUAAGAUCAUUAUUUAUUUGAUGGCCAUUAGUUGGCCGACAAUCAUGUUCCAUGGGACUUGAGUACUUUUCAGCCAUGUACCCAUAAGUUGGCAACUCAUAGGUUGGCUCUAUGUGAUAGCCAUAGCUUGGGCGCUCUUCCACACCAUCAUCUUCCGAAAAAGCAGAAAAAUCAUGAACAUAAGGAUUGUUCAUGAUCUAACUCCAUAUAAGGAUCCCACCGGGCGUGCCAAAAUAUGUUCGCUCCCUAAAUCCGCCAUGGCGCCUUGCGGGCAAGCCGGGGAUUUACUUCACAUAUGAGAUUGGUGGGUGCGGGCGUGCCACUACUAGAUGCCGCUAGUAGACGGGAUUUGAGUGAUUGAGGUUGCGCCUGAAUUUGCCCGAAUCAAGAGAUUGUGUCAUUUGAGUGGGAGUUGCUCAAAUUAAGGUUCUUUGUUUGCCUUAAAAAUAAGGACUUUACUUAUAUGGAGAGAUAGAACAAUAUGUAAAUGACAAGGUUGCUUGGAAAUGUAACUGACAGAGGAAAGUGACUAAUAUUGCAGAUUGCUUGUAAUUUAUAUGACUGGAAAUGAGUACAUAAAAGCUACAAAUGAAAUCGAUACUACAAGUGAGUAGCAGAGCUAAUAAACUAGAGAAAAGAAGGCUUUUUGGUGAAGGUUGAUCCCGAAAGGGAUGAAGGCUUGGUGCUGACUACAGCUUCGUUUGAAGGCAAAUCUGGCUUGAGCAGAGUUUUGGCUUUUGUUUGUUUGUUUGAGUGUCCAUAAUCCUUGUGCAGCUGCUCCUUUUUAUAGAGGUCUGGAGGAAACCCUCCUGCUGAGGUUUUGUAUCUGCCCGAAAGAAGCUUGGGCAGCUUGUAUUUCAUUGCUUUAGACAGCUUGCAUGCUUUUCACUUGCCAACUUGCAUGGAGAAAUAAUAUUAAAAGGGGAACUUGCAUUUCCACCACAAGCUUUUAGCACAUGUUUUCCCACUUGUAAUAAACUAACAUUUAAAAGAAGCAAGUUGGCUUCUUUCACAUGUUCCUUGCCCGAAAGCUUGCUGAUGCUUUUCCAUCCACUUGCAAUACAUGCAUGUAUCUUGAUUAAACAAAUGCUAGACAAACCUCCACCACCCAAACAAAUAGGAGAAACAAUAUUAUAGUGUCCAACCCCUCCACUUGCAUCUAAAUAUCUUUCCAAGUUAGCUUUCUUGCAUAUUAAUCCUCCAAAUGUCAUAUUUUACCCAAAUUGCCCAAAUAAGUAAAAAUGGGUAUAUUUUGAGUGCAAACAACAUGUCAACCUCCUGUACCACUUGUUGGAUUGAACCGUCGGUAGUCUGAAGCCAGAUAUAAGACUUCAUCAUCUGAGAAUGAGUUGGCACCGAUGUGGCUUUAGAAUUCCAACAUUACAAAGUACACGAAAAAUAUAAAACAGUUAAACAACCCACCCACCUUCACCCCCUCCAAAUAAACAAAAACAAAAAGAGAGAACAAAUUAACACUCAACAAGUAGAGGCGGCUACAAGCAUUCAAAAGAAACGAAAAACAGAAAACAAUCGAUUCGACUAUGGCUUGAAGAACAAAGAAAAGAAAACAUAAUGCAUUUAUCUAUUAAACACUAGACAAAGACGACAUAACAUAGUGGAAAAAAAGGAAGAAGGGGCAUAAAAAGAAUCACGAAGAACGCGUACGGAAAAGUGAUAAUACCUCAGGUUCAAUAACAGUCAUGUCACCUUCUGACAUUUGAACAAUCCCAAGUUCUGAGGCUUAAAAACUGGAGUGCAUCAGGCAAAAGAAAACAGCUUUAUGCUUCUUUUGCAGCAACUUGCUGAUACCCUGUUAAGUCAAACAAAAUUAUAAUUAGCAGCCCUUCUAUGCAAAUCCUUACCCAAAAUUAAAGUUUACACAAAUUUAACAUAAACCCAAGUUAGCUAGGGCAGUAAACCACCCUUUGCAAUCCCCAAGCCGUCGUUUAGAUUAGAUUAGAAUAUCGCUUUCAAAACAUAAACCCAGCUCUUACUUGCCAUGAAACAAUACAAGUUCCAAUUUUUCCUAACAAAUCUAUACUUCAUACAUAUAUAUUUCCACUAAACUUAAUUCCAUUUAUUCCCAAGUACAUGAAAAAGCAUUCUGGUGAUUAUAUUGCCCUAAAUCAAGUGAGAAAAAUUGCAAUUCAUAGGUAUUUUAGCUGAAUUUCUCGAUUAAACUAACUGUUAUUACCAGUAAAUGAUUGUUUUUCCUAAAGAUUUUAGUUCACCGAGCUCCGGAUUAAAGGGUACUUGGCAAUUUCAUUUUUCUAUUCAAUCAUUUCCAUUUUCCCGCACUUUCUGGGCAACCAAACAGGCAUACAGAAGAGAAAAAAAACAUGGUAAAGAAAAGCAAAAGGACAGACAAUUAAUUAACACGAAGGAGACAUACGAAAUGUACGGAUUCCAGGUAGGGGGAGCUUUGAAUUGCAGAGAUUUGGCGGUUGUCGGCGAAUCCCCAAAAAUGGAUAAAAUUGCGAAUAAAAUUUAGGAAAAAAAAAGAAAAAGAAACUCUCGUGUGACUGAAGUUGCGUCAAAAAUCAAAAGGUCUGCAAAUCACACGUCAGCGUUUCGUUAGGGUUUCCUGACCUCUUGUAUUUAUUUUGAUUUGAUUGAUUAGUGUUGUUUGUUUGUACAAUUCCUGGUGCGGGCCCACCUUAACCAACGGAUCAUAUUGAUCAUCAAUGUGACCUGGUAAUUAGCAGGCUUUGAUUGAAAAUGGUUCUUAUCAAUGAGGCCCGUACUCCCCUUGUAUAGUUGGACACUGAAUAUUGAGUUAAACCUCGUUGCAGUGAGAGGUUUUUGUGUGAGGCCAUCGCUGUUGGUGAGUCAUUUGUGUUGUGCGCAAGGUCUAAAAUUAUUCGACAGCCUGCUGCUAUUAUCACCAACUAGGUGAUCAAAAGUACGUCCAGUACUCUAAAAUUAUACAUGAGCAUCACUCAUGUCAAUCAUGCAUAAACACUCAUGAGCAUCACUCAUGUCAAUCAUACAUAAACAUUCAUGAACAUCAUUCAUGUCAACAUUCAUGAGCAUCACUUAUGUCAACAUCCAUGAGCAUCACUCAUGUCAAUCAACAUAAACAUUCAUGAACAUCACUCAUGACAAUCAGCUUUGAAAGUUUCAUUUACAGAGCUCCAACUUCAAGAGCUCCAGCUUCAAAAACUUCAUUUACAAAGCUCCAGCUUCAAAAACUUCAUUUACAAAAGCUCCAGCUUCAAAGCUUCACCUACAAAGCUUCAGUGCAUGGUUUACAAAGAUCGCCUCCGAACAACUGCCACUUCGGUCCAUACAUGGAUUGAAUUUGAAGUCUCCAGCCAAUAGCCUCUAUUGACUGAAGACUUGGGGGACUGCACUCUGUACCAUAUAUUGGGCUUCCACAACUAGGUCUCAUGAAAAAUACUUUGGGACUCUAGUCCAUUAUUUAUGUACUGAGGAGCGAACCCUUAUUCUAUAAAAAGGACUCCCUUACUUUCAUUAGAGAGCACACAUUAUUCAUGUACUGAGGAGCGAACCCUUAUUCUAUAAAAGGGACUCCCUCACUUUCAUUAGAGAGCACUCAUUAUUCAUGUACUGAGGAGAGAGCCCUUAUUUUAUAAAAGGAACUCCCUCACCUUCAUUAGAGAGCAUCUCCACCUGUUGAGCAACCGCCUCGCCCCGAGCAUCAACUCUUAGCCCAUCACUUAUGUAUUAAAGAGCAAGCCCUUAUUCUAUAAAAGGGACUCCCUCACCAUCAUUAGAGAGCAUCGCCGCCUAUUGAGCAACCGCCUCGCCGCGAGCAUCAACUAUAGCCCAUCAUUUAUGUAUUGAUGAGCGAGCCCUUAUUCUAUAAAAGGGACUCCCACACCUUCAACGCCACAAGCGGAGCCAACCAAGGCAACAUAAGCCACAAGCAGGGCAACCUCGCAACAUGAGCUACUUUUAGUUGAGCAUCAUUUCAGAUUGGGCACCGCCUCAUAUCGAGUAUUAGUUCUAGGCGACAUCUAGUUACUUCGGCCCACACGUGGACUAAAUUUCAAGUCUCCAGCCAAAAGACUCUCUUGACUGAAGACUUGGGGAACUACUGUUUGUACCAUACUUAGGGUAUCCAUAUUUAGAUCUCGUAUAAAUACUCGGGAGACUCAAAUGUAAUUAUGUAAUAAAUGGAGGGGCAAAUAUGUAAUAAGUGAGGAGCCCUUAUUCUAUAAAAUGGCUUCUUCACCCUCACAAACCGAAAGCUCUCAUCCUCACAAACAGAGAGCUCUCUCAAACUCUCUCUUUCUUUGGGGGACUCCCCCUCACCCUUGUAAUCCAUACGUACAGUUAGAGAGAAAUACAAUCAACAUCAGUGUGGACGUAGCCCAAACAUUUGGGUGAACCACAAUACAUCUUGUGUUCUUUACUUUCUUGCAGAUUCACGGUUGGAUUUACGUUGUUCCAAGACCCCUCCGGUUUUGUGCAUCAAAAUAAAUCAUAAUUCCCAUUUACGAAAUUUCAUAAUCACCCUGGAAUUUUCACCACAAACACAAUACAAUUUAUGUAUGUAUUUCACAUAUAAAACAUGAAUGCCACUUCAUUCACAAAAUAUGAAUUAAUACAACCACAAUGCAUUCCACAAUCCAUAUAACAAGAACUCAAGAAUAUUGCAUAUUGUAGAACAUGAUCAUUUGCUCUGAUACCAUUAAAGUUGUCACGCCCGAUCCCGACAUAUGUCCAAGAUCGAUACGUGACGUUACAAAAUACCCAUAUCACUCACACACCCCGCUUCUAGGAUAUGGACAAUGCACAACUCAAGAUUCAAAUUUCAUGAUAAUUUUUCUUAUACUUUAUGGUUGCAUCUAACCUCCUCGUUAGACUGUUUACGUACCCUCAAUAGGGAUCAAGCCAUUCGUAGUUCAACUUCGCUAUAACUCGACAUAUAACACAGUAUGUUCAAGCCAAAAUGCAUAACAUUCCUCAAUCAAACAUUUGGACUUGACAAGCAUGAAUUAUUCGAUUCAAACUACAUAACAACCCGCAUGACAAUCAAGGUUUCUAUUUCAUCCAUCAUAUAAAUCAUUAUGUUUCAACAUAAAAUUGCUAUUCAUAUCAUGUAAUAUAUCAAAGAAUCAACACAGCACAAUAGUAUCCUCUAGUCGCAUUAAUCAUUGAUCUAAUCAUAUUAAUAACAAUCAUAUUCAACAUCCUUCCACAAUCAUCUCAAGUAACCCAUUCCAUGAUAUCAAGGAGGCACGAUAUUAACAUUUAAUUAUGUUAAUCAAUCAAUCAAUCAAAUCACACCUCAAUGCACAAAAUUAAUAAAGGACUUCUACAUAGUUCUCUGCCUGGAUUUCAAGUAAUAACUUGAUAAUUCUAAUUUAUAUUCACAAGAUAUAUUAUGGGUACAUCCCAUUCAAUCGAAUCCAGGGAACAAGUCUAACUUAAGGAAAAGAGCAAAAGUAGGGAUAACGGACCACUCAACGUAAUCCAAAUCAGGAUACGAUUCCGAACCAUCACUCAAUGGAAUUGCGGAGUAGAAAGGAUUUUGGACCAUCUCUCAACGGAAUCUGAGUGGAUACGAUUCUGGACCAUCACUCAGCGGAAUCGCGGAGUACAAUGCAUAACAACCACUAAAUGAAACCCAAGUUGGAUACGAUUCCGGACCAUCACUCGACGGAAUCGCAAAAUAGAAGGGAUUCCGGACCAUCACUCAACGGAAUCCAAACAAGCAUAUGAUUCUCCCAUCAAAUGUACCAAGUACAACUAAUCCUCCUCACUUUUAGAAUGCAUAUGGUCCCCCAACGCGGAUUAACCAAGUAGGUAGUGACUCCCCAAAGUGUAUUAACCAAGCAGAGUCAUACCUACAAAACUGUUAGGCAAUGAUCACCUUAUGCGGAUUAACCAAGCAUGAUCACCCCUAAGUAUAAAUGGCCAUAAGGAUCACCCAACGCGGAUUAACCAAGCACGAUCCAUAAAUAGUAUGGUCCGCCAACGCGGAUAAACCAAGCAAGACCAGCCAUGCACCACGUCUACAUAGUGCAGUCUCAUCAUCACACCUUAUACAUAAUUAUACGCAUACAUACUAUCGAUUCCGCAUAUCAACCAGCAUUCAGUCAUAUGGAGCACAACACAAGGAAUUCCCUCAAUUACUAAUUCUACUAAAAAUCUAAUAAAGUACCUAACUCAUCUCCUGACUUUCAUCUCCAUCUCAUGCUAGGUAAUAGUGCAAAGUUCAAAUAAGUAUUCAGUUGGCAAUCAUAUCCAAAUAAUUAUCAAACAAUAUUUAGAUCCCAUAAUUGUCAUAACAUUCUUCAUAAUUAUCAUUCACAUUAUUAAAAGUUAAUUAAACACAUAUCUAUCACAAACAUCAUCAAUACACAAGCCAAAUCAUAUUUAAUUAGCAUAGGUCUAUGGCCAAAUAUAUAAAAUUCACAUUUCAAUAGAAAUCAUAUUUAUAAGACCAAUUCAUAUUCACAAAUGAUACUAAUAGUAGAAAUUAAGAUAAUAAUCAUAUUUCAUAUAUUCAAGUCGCUAUCUAACCAAUGUAGGCCCACUAGACUUCACUUAGUCCCUCAUGAUACUAAUUUUAGUAAUUAGGACGUUUCGAGACAUGUUGAUCAAAAGUCAACUUUUGGUCAAAGGUAGGGUCCACAAUUCUACACAAUUCAAUCCGGAAGAUCCACACCUUGGAUUUCGGAUAUGUAACUUUCCAAAGUCCACAUUAUGCUCAAAUAACAACAUGCUAAAAUCUUAACACGAUCCGACGAUUGGAUCUCCGCCAAUUAAAUUCAAGUGGCGAUCGACAUUUAAUUUUACAAACUUAGAAAUCCAAUUAGGGAAGAUCUGUAUGUCGGAUUCUCGAUCCGUAAGUUUCUAUGAUCCAAAAAUAUUAUGUUCUAUCACACAUUAAGAUUUGGUGACAAUCCAACGGUCGGAUCGUCGAAUCAUAUUUUUGACCUAACCACGUAUCGUAAUGAAAUUAGGUUCAAACAAUCAAAUCAUAUAAUAAGGAUAUCAAUUAUGAAAUCAGGGCAUCUAAUUGAACUUAAAAGGACAUCAUCGGCCCACUGGCCAGGCCGCCGCAGCACACGCCGUCGCGGGUGGCGGUCGGCCACCCCGACUUGUCGGAAAAUUCAACUAUUUUUAAAAAUUACUAAAAAUUAUAGAAAUGAAGAUCUCAAAGAGUAAAAAACUUUAUACCUAUGGCCAAGUUCAAUUUGGCCGGGAAACACUUCAAUUUCACUCAAACCCGCCGAAACCCUAGAAAAGGGUGUGCUUUGAUUCGGCUUCCAAUCGAACUCCGACGCCUCCAACACUACUUGAGCUUUGUUCCUGGGGUUGAGAGAAGUCUUUUGGUGGUGGUCAUGGAUGGUGAAACUUGUCGGAGCCACCGGGAAAAGGGAUAAAGCUGCCGGAACACCCGUGGGUUUGUGGCUUCGAACUGGAAAAAUGGGAAGGAAAUUGUGAAAUCUAACACUACCAGGAUGUAGGGCUCAUCAAAGGCUUUCCAUGGACACCAAGAUCACCCAAAACGGAGUUCGUAUGAAUAAGAUAUGGCCGGGUCAAAAAUGGUGGUUCGUAGGUCAAAAAAUGACCCAUUUCAGGUCCCUACUUUCCCCUCCUUCUCCUUCUCCUGAUUGGGCAGCUCCUAACCUUUUAAAAAUCUGAUUGGUUCCCUCCCUCUUCUAAUUGAUUGGUCCCUUAAUCCAAAUAUCUGAUUAGGCCUCUUUCCCAUAAAGUGGGAGUCUAAAUAAUUCCUAAAUUCUAUAGUAUCCCAACUUCAAACGCCCGUAACUAUAUCGUUAUAACCCGAACUCGUAAACGGCUUUUGCCUAUGCGUUCGUGAUCUCUAAAUCUAAUCAACAAUAUAAAUUGUGACCUUGAAUGGUCUACGGAUUUUAAAUAAUUAAUUUCCCAAAAAAUAAUAUAAAAACUCAAUAAUACCAAUACUUAGAUUAUAAUAAUGAAAUCCAGGAAUGGGAUUUCACAAUUUAUAUGUCUGUUCCUCCUGGUCUUCGGCGACAGUGGGAGAAUCUUGUGUGUCGCCUUCACAAGUCUCUUUAUGGUCUCAAGCAGGCUUCUCGCCAAUGGUUUGCCAAAUUCACUACUGCCAUUCUUUCCGCUGGCUUUCAACAAUCCAAAGUUGACUAUUCAUUGUUCACUAAAAAGUCUGGUACUUCUUUUACAGCCUUGCUCAUUUAUGUGUAUGAUAUUGUGAUUACAGGCAACGAUGUUUGUGCAAUUGAUUCUCUGAAGUCUUUUCUCCGUGAUCAUUUUCGGAUUAAAGACCUUGGUGAUUUAAAAUAUUUUUUGGGCAUUGAGGUUUCUCGUUCCAAACAAGGGAUUUAUAUUUCACAGCGCAAGUAUGCAUUAGAGAUUCUCAAGGAUUAUGAUUUUUUUUUAGCACAACCCAUUACUUUCCCUAUGGACGACACAAAAUUCUCUGAUAAGGGAGAACUUCUCAAGGAUCCUGAAAAGUAUCGCUGAUUAGUAGGACGGUUGAUCUAUCUCACAUAACUCGGUCGGACAUCACCUAUUAUGUGCAUGUUCUGAGUCGUUUUAUGCAUGAGCCAAGGAUACCUCAUAUGGAUGUUGCGCUUCGUGUUGUUCGUUAUUUGAAGGCUACUCCAGGUCAAGGCUUAUUAUUCCGUUCUGACAACCAAACCAAGUUAACUGCAUUUUGUGACUCUGAUUGAACAGGUUGUCCUAUCACUUGCCAUUCGACUACUGGGUAUUGUGUAUUCUUGGGCAAUUCUUUGGUUUCGUGGCGGGCAAAACGACAGGAAACUGUUUCACUUUCUUCAUCAGAAGCAGAAUAUAAGGCUAUGGCAAGUGCUUGUUGUGAGUUAAUUUGGCUUCGGUUUCUAUUGAAAGACUUGAACAUUCCUUUCGAUGGUCCUUCCGUUUUAUUUUGUGAUAAUCAAGCAGCAUUACAUAUAGCAGCUAAUCCUGUUUUUCAUGAGCGGACUCAUCACAUUGAGAUGGAUUGUCACUUUAUACGAGAUAAGAUUGCAGAUGGCACUAUAGAAACCAAGUAUGUUGGUACGGCACACCAGUUGGCGGAUUUGUUUACCAAGCCUCUCGGGAAAGACAAGUUUUCGAGUAUGUUACGCAAGUUGGGAGUUCUUGACAUCCACUCUCCAACUUGAGGGGGGGUGCUAGACAAGUAGAAACGUAGUUGGAAUCUAUGUAUAAUUGUAAUCCUAGUUAUAGUUGUAUUCCUAACUUGUGGGAUAAUUUCUUGCUGACCAAGUUAUGUAAUUGUAUAUAUUUGUGUUUCACGUAUCAAUGAAAUGCGCUUCAAACCCAUAUAUCUUUUUCUACAUAUUUUAAAUUGCAUACAAGCAAGCUUCCGCCAUUUAAUUGUUGAAAGUAUGCCAUUUCUUGCUUAAUGAACUUAGAUUUUCAUAAAUUUUCCUUCAGUUAUAUGGAUCCCCAAGCCUUCCGGCAGAAAUUCAGCAAUAAUAAACCUGGGUUUUGGUCACAUUCGCUAUUGAAGAUAAACCAACUUCGACAACCCGCUGCAGCGCAACCCACGAGGUCACCCACCUUCAGCCCUCGCGGUUUGAAGUUUCGAUCGCCACGAUGCCAGCCUUAUUCCACAAUAGCAGCAGCACUCCAGAGACCCGUCGCUGCAACCCAUGAAGCUUCAACCCGCGGUUCGUACCACCAGACCCCAGCCGCAACCACAUUUGAAUCCCUCGGCAGCCGUCCCCCGAGCACAGCUUUCCCCGCGACGCAACUGCAGCUCAACCCACGACCAGUUUCGGUCACGAGCUUCGAGUUCAACCUUUGGUGGUCUCGCGUUUCCCAGAUCUUCAGUCAUGAACAAACGAUGGUCUUUGUGCAGCCCGAAAAGGCGGAGAUCGACGAGGAUAAGGAAAGAAAUGGAUGAAGGGAUAAGGAAGGAAAGAGAGAGUUGUGUGGCUGUGCGACCGUUUGGAUGAGAGAGACGGAAACAACAAUAGAAAAGGCGCUGGCUGCUGCAACAAGAAGGCUGGGUCCAAACUUGAGCCUAGUGGCCGUCCAGCACAAAAGGGAGAAGGUGCUGCAAUGGUUAAGCGGCGUGGGCCUCCUCUCCUCUUGGCCUUGAGCUAUUAAAAAUAAAAAAUAAAAAUCAGGGAGGCAACAAAGAAAUUGAAUAAAACAAAGAUAUGUGGCCUUAUAAAAGAAGGCUCAAAUGUACACCAGAAGAAGGAAGGCAGAGAAUUUUUGAAAUUUGUGUUCCUUCGGUGACUCGGGAAAUUAAGACACCUUCUUUAGCAACUCUCCUUAUUCGGAGAUUUCGACAGACUCCACUAUAUGCUACUACAUUUCGAUAGUCAUAAGUUUCGUAAUUACUCAAUGACUUGGAUUUUGUAAGUCCCAACUAAUAAACUUUCCUCACUCGAGAACUUGGGAGAGAACUAUUUGUAUUAUACUUGACCAAUCCUGAAACUAUCGUGCAUUGGUCAACUUCCUACCUUCAAGGACCCACUGAAGGGUUCGUGCUGAGGCACUCCUGCCGAAGCACAAGAGUUUCUCUCCAAUUAGAAUGCCAAUUUAGUUCCUGAAUUAUCACAUGAGUGAAAAUUAGGUCCCUAACUUCUUCUUUUUUCAGAAAAAUUAGUCUUUGAAUUAUAAAACUCGGUCAAUUACAUCCCUAAUAUUAGAUUUGAAGCUACGAUAUUCAAUUUUCCAUCAACUUAAGUCAUGGUACAUGCAUGUGAUACACAUUUGAGGGUAGAUUGGUAAUUUUACAUAAAGAAUAGUGUUUGGUAAUUUUACUUAAGUUGAUGAAAAUUGAAUAAAAAAAGCUUUGAAUAUAAUAGUAGAGAUGAAAUUAGUAAUUAACCGAAAAAUAAUUCAAGCACCUAAUUUUUACUAAGAUAACAAUUCAGGGACAUUUUAUCCUAAAUCAAUUGCAUCUUUUGGGUUUCUCACCACUCCUUGAAACAUCAAUUCAUUUAUGCACUUCCAAAUUCUCCAAAGAACAAAAACCACCUCCUACAUAAUCUCCUCUCUCCGCUGCUCAUCCUUACAUCGCAUACCAAUAUACUCCAACACGCACGAAAAUCAAUCCCCACAAACGCCGUUGCAUCCAGUUGUAAUGAGCAGCAAUACCAAAUGACACGACUAAAUUUACACCCAAAAAAUAGGUGUUCUUCCAUUUCCUCAGCACACCCACAAAGGACACAUGAAUUGUCCACUCUCAUCCUCCUACGAAUUAGAUUGCACCGAACAGCCAUAGAGUUGUUACAACACCUCCAAAUAAAAAAAACUUCAUUUAUUUGGCACAUGUAAUCUCCAUAUAUUCGGAUUAUUGUUUAAGUGUCGAUUAACGUGUUUAUUUCUUAUUGGUGACACAUAAUUUGGUUUGAAAUUGACUUAUAAAUUUGGUUAAUCUAGCAUUACUCACUAGACACAGUCAGACUCAUUCACAAUCUAACAAAUGUCCCUAACUUAAGCCAUUUGUCUCCCCAAUAUACUUGGGUGUAGAAAACUGAUUAUAGCAGUAUGCUUCUAUUGAACUUGAACUCAAUGUUCUAAACCUUCUUCCCAUAAUUUAGAUUAGAUUAGAAUAUUGCUCAAAUUAGAAAAUUUAGAUUAGAUUAGAAUAUUGCUCAAAUUAACAUUCUUCCCAUAAUUUAGAUUAGAUUAGAAUAUUGCUCAAAUUAGAAAAUUUAGAUUAGAUUAGAAUAUUGCUCAAAUUAGAAAAGCUAGAUGUAGCCCCAAACUUAAUCCGCAUGAUGAACAUGCAAAGUAUGAUUACGUUGUAAACACUUAUUUAAAUAAUAUUGAUCAUUCUUGCUAUAAUAUCUCACCUACUGAAGCGUGCACAUUGCCUCGCUUUUAAAAAUAUUAACUUUCAUCCAGAUUUAGUGGUUGACUAGAAAGGAUAAUACUUUCGAAAGUUGUUGCUUUAAUAAAAUUAUUUUACACUAAGAUUUCCACACCUUGGUGAAUCAAAAAAGUAGUUUGGCGGAAAGCAAAUUUUUUAAUCAAAAAAGUAGUUUGGCGGAAAGCAAAUUUGUUAAACACUCGCCUUUGUUUUGGUUGCUUGUAUUUUAUCAAAACUUAGUGGGUGGGCAAUGCAUAAUUCAAUAUUAUAAUGCAUAUAGAUUAUUGGGCGAACUAGAAAAAGCAGUAAAUUAGGUGGAAAGAAAAUUUGUUAAGGACUCACCUAUAUCUGGUGCAUAAAAAAACCUCAUUUUAUCAAUCAUGUUGUCUAGUGAAAUUAUUGUAUAGCUUAGUGCUUGAUGUAGUUUAUCAAGUGGAAUUAUUCUGCUUUCGUAGCUGAUUGUGCUUCUUCUUGGUCUUAAUUUGACUCUAAUGAACAUGGUUGAACUUGAAGGAAUGUACAGCUUCAAAGUGCUUUACCCUAGGAUUUCAGUACCUUGAUGAAUAAAAAAAAUAGUUUGUUGGAAAGCAAAUUAGGUAAAGACUCACCUAUAUGUGGUGCAUCAAAAAGUUUCAAUUUAUCAAUUAUAAUGUCUACUGAAUUAUUGUAUAGCGGGCAUUUCUAAUGGGGACGCUAAAUGGUGUCUCCACAACCUUAUAGCCUCUAAAUAUAUGGACAAAGGGUUUUCAAUAGGCUUCUAAUGAGCUGGACUAAAGGUUGUUACAGUAUCCUAGUGUAUAGAGACUCGCCGGAUACCUCAAAAAAAAUCUCAAAUGUAAAGACCGCAUAGGGACUCAAAUAGUACGCCCAAAUGUUGAUUUUGAGUGGGAAACAAACCUCACCCACGUGAUAAUGUUGCACAGAAGCUUCUCUCACCACCAAACUGACGCAACAUCACUCAUGGACCCUUACCGCACUUGUGUCAUUUUCUUUUCUUUUCUUUUUUUUUUGUUGAACCAUUGAGAAACCAACGGUUGAGUUUUUUUUUUUUUUUUUUUUUCUUGUUUUUAUUAGCAACCACAAUACUCUAACGAAAUUAACAAUGAUUUUUUUUUAAUAUUUUAGUCCCUACAUUUAAAGAUUCUAUUAUAAGGUCUCCCAUUGAAGAUGCUCUUGGUACUCGAUGAACUUUAUCAAGUGGAAUUACUUUGCUUUCCUUAGUAAUUGUACUUGGUCUUAAUUUGACUCUAAUGAACAUGGUUGAACGUACUGCUUUUAUUACUACACAUGAAUCCCUGCAUUGGAUGCAUUGAGAAGAUUUUACAUCAGUGUGGGGAUCAGGUUUGUUGUUGAAUUUUGGGAUGUUUGUGGCACAUUGAUAUUCAACAGGUCAUGGAGAUAUUCAUACUUCAAGUACUGCAAUGUUGUAAACGAUGGGGUUUAGGAAAGGGUGGAGUUGACAGAUAAUACUUUGAUGUUGUUUUUGUGGAUGCAAAUUUCUUCCUCCUUGAUUUUGGACAAAAUUGCACCUACAAAACAAUUAACAUCUUAGGUCAAGGCCAAGAGCCUCAAGGGCCCAUGAUGAAUGGGGGGCUUUGGCCGAAGAACCUCCGAUGCCAAAGUUAGAAUUUAGAGAGAAAAAGUGUUUGAGAAUUCUAGAGAAUUUUAGCAAGAGUUGGAACUAGUUUUUGGGAGAGAAUGGUGAGCUAUAUAUAGGGAUACGGGCGGCCCUAUUAGGAGAAUAGAGACCGGUCAUUUAGGUAUUUUUGGUUGUAAAUUGUGGUUGAUUAGCCAUUAAUAGUUUAAUUAGGCAAUAAAUCUAUUAAUGGACUAAUUGACAUAUUUUGAAAGAAAUUAUUUGGGGAGUUAUGGAAUGAUUAAAAUAAUUAGCUAAUUGAUUAGCUAAAAAUGGAAAAAUGAGGUAGAAAAUAUAUGGAAUGAAAUAGGUUUUGGGAGUUACCUUGUAGAAGGGAUUUGAUGAGAUAGGUUUUGAAUUGUUACCUAUUUUGGGCACUUUUGAUUUAGUUGAAGGAUGAUUGCUCGCUGCUCGUGCAUAGGAAUCUCGUUGUACCUCAAGGGUAUUUUUAUCCUCUUUUAUCCAAAAAUCCACGUGUCGCAUUAUGAUUACUUUUGGCUCCACAGUUUUAGCAGCAUCUUUUUGGCUCAUGCAUAUCUUGGUGACACUCCUGCAUCUACCAUUCAGUUGGAGACGGAGAUUGGUGACUGCACUUUUAAAAUUAUGACGGACAACUACUAGUGUACUUAACUUGUAUUUGAUUUUGUGGCCUUGUCUCAAUGUCGACAAUUUGCGCACUAUAUUUUUACUUUUGAGGAAGCAGCAUAUGAAAGAUUCAUGCCAAAGGGUAAGGCAAAUACAUGUAAAAAUAUGAAGACAAAAAAUCACUAAUUCAAGUCAAUACAUUUUCUAUUUGCAUUGUAGAAAUUUUGAUUUUGUUCAUCACUUAUUGUCUCCUCUUGUAUGAAAAAGUUGUUCUUUCUAAUACCAUGGAAUUUUUUAUUUUGCAUUGUGAAAAUUUUGAUUUUGUUCCGCUUUUUACCGUGAAUUCGGCAACUAUUUUCGUCGAGUGAAGUAUUGUCACGUCCUGGACUCGAAAUGAGUGAAAGAAAUGAUCUCGGGCCCGUGUGUGAAUAAAAAUAAAAUAAAUAAAAAGAAACUAAAACAGGUUUGAAAACUAGCUCAUUUAAAAAUGAUGCAGAAGAAUAAAUAGGCUGGUAAGCUGAAAUGAAUGGAAAAUUGAUUUAUUUAAUAUACGAGUCAACUACACAAUAAAUCAGAAUUUACUAAAAUACAAUAAUCACCAUUCAACUUCACGUAAAUUUCACGAAUCCCUUAAUUCUCUAAAUUGAUUUGCAGCCUUAGAUGCUUGGAUUCGACUCCCUGAUCACUGAUGUGAAAAUUGUACUGUAAUCCGACUUAACUCAAGUUAUGAAAAUACAGUAAAGAAGUUGGAAGGCUACAAAGUUCCCUCUGUCUCACUUUCCUUCUUUUUCUUCGGAUCUGAAAACUAGGAAAACAAAUGUUGUUUUCCUCUUCAUUCUUUUCUCUUUCUUUGUGGUCCAAUCAAAAUCCUUCAUAUGUGACCCCAUGUCAUCCUUCAUAUGUGGCUAGCUAUCAAUUUGUCACGUGGCCAAGUCAACCAUUUGUCGUUGCCAAAUGUCAAUCAUUUGGUCAUCCUCUAAACUAACAAAUAUUCCGAAAGAUACUAUCAUAUCACCACUAGUUUCAUCCUACUAUUUCCGGAUCAUCAAUUGUUCUCAAUCAAAAUAAUAUUUUUUUCCGAUAUCUUAGUCGUCCGAAAUAACGACUACUUGUGAAACAUUAAUAAUUUCAGGGUUUCACAACCUUCAUCUACUCUUCACGAUCUUCAAGUUGGUAUACUUUGUUCCUGCAUUAAUAGUCGUUUUGGAGUCGGAUGUUUAGAAACCUAUAAAGCUGGUUUUGGCCGGUGAUUUUGGUCAGUUGCCGUCUAGAAUUGAUUGUCGUGAUAGUUAUAAAAGUUAAUCCUUAUGUUGAGUUCUAUAUGCCUGUACAAUUUGGUGUGUCAGAAAAUUGGGUUUCUAGUUUCAUAAUCAUAUCAACACUAAAUCAGGCCCAGAAAGGUGGCGUUAGAAAAAUCUGUAUGUCCCUCAAAACUUGUAGAAGGAACCUUCCUUAAAAAUCACCAUCUUGACCGGCUUAUAGAACAACUAAGCCCAAAAUUUCAAACUGACAGCACUGCGCAGUCAACCUUCUUUUCUUUGCUACAGUCAAAUGGCAUGGAAUAAAAAUCUUGAAUUUUUACACUAUUAACUUGAAAGAUCACAAACACACAUAAUUACUUCAAAUUCCUUUUUUUGAUAACUUUUUUCCCUACAAACGAAAUAUAGAAUAAAGUAUUAAAAUUAUACCAAAAUAGUUAAUAAAUUAUAUCUAAGACUAUGGUAAAAAUAUAGAAUAAUGUUGACUCAUCAGCAAGUAUUGAAAUAAUAGUUUAACACAUUUUUAUUUGGCCUAUCGAUUCACCAAACAUAUACAUACACAUAACUAGAGACAGCAAGAGAGAGAAUAGUGGGAAUCAUUCAUCCCACAGUCCCACGCAUGGAUUCUCCCCAAUUCAACGAAAGUCCUCUUCCUUAUGUACACAAAAUAACAACAAACACGUUUUUGAGUAAUUAUAUAUCUGCCUGCCCCUUUUACUUUUGACUUUAAAGAAAGCGGCCCAUGCGAUGUACGAUUCAUGCCUAACUCUAAAGGCAAAUACAUUAUUCUAACAAACUAUUAAAACUUAAUAGAGGUAAUUUGGAUUUCAGAGAAUUUUAAUGGAUUUUUUUUAAGUGAUAAAUUUGAAAAAAAUUUAAUAGAUUCAUAAUUUUACGUGGAUUUUGACAAAUGUAUAUGGAUUCCUAUUAUAGAUUUUUAUGGAUUUGAAUGGAUUUCUUUCAUGGAUUUCUUAGGAUGCUAGUUGACUCCUACAACAUAAAAUGAAUUUCUUUCGAGUACACAAUAUGAAAAGAACAUAAACUGAAAGGAACAUAAACAUAUAUCUAUUGAUAUAGAAUACAAACCAAUCAAAUAUGUAAAUAGAAUGGGUCAUUGAGAAUAUUGAUCCAAGAGUUUGAAUAAUUGUAAAUGAUAGCUUCUGCUUUAGAACAUCAUAUCCAUUCAAGAAUGAUGAUUUCAAGUUUAAGAACAGGAUAUCCAAUCAUGAAUAAUAAUAUAUGUGAAAGAAUAUCAAAUGACAAUCGAAAUUGAGUAGGGACAUAUUUGGGCUGCAAAAUCCUGGGAUAAAAACAUUUUAACCAUGACAAAAAAAAAAAAAAACAUUUGAACUCAAACAAAAACAUGGUCACUAAUUUGCGGGAAAAAAAGGCUUAAAUCAAAAGUGCAAAUGGGAAAAGCCCAACUUAGAAAAAUCAGAAGUGCAAAUGAGAGAAUCUCAAUUCGGAAAAAGCACGAGUAUGAAGCAAAACAACAUACAACUAUAAUCCAAAUUAAAAAAAAAAAAAAUCAUGGUCCAAUUGUUACUCAUCUUCCCAGAGGAACAAACCAAGAGCAUGAAUUCAGAAAAAUACAUAAACAAUGCGAAAAACGGGGAGUCUACCGGGAAAUGCUCUAAAGUCUAAACUCAUGGUAGGAUUGUCCACUUUCUACUGUUUGGUGUGAAAAGAAAUCUUAGGGGGAGGGUAGGAUUGUCGAUACCAUUUGGGUAUUUAGAUCACCCACUCUCAAAUCCAUUAAAAUCCUUCAUUCACAAAAAUUCUAACAAAUGUUUGACAUUUCCACUACAUCUAGAUUUGUAUGGACUUUUAAAACUUUUGAUUGACUACCCAUGAAUUUGGAUAUAUUUUUUAAAUCCUCCUAAAUCUUAAUUUGACUACACCAUGAUUUUAAAAUCUUUUAAAAUCCACAUUUAAACUCCUAAUUGACUACACGCUGAUUUUAAAGUUUAUUAAAAUACUACUAAAUCCUAGUUUGACUACAUCCGAUUAGUUUCCCAACCAACAUUUAUUCACACCCAACACAUUACACUGUCAGGUGUUUUUCCAUACCACGAGUCCUGACCAUUUGAACUACACUUGCAGCUUUCCUUUUGCUCCUAAAUCAAAAUCCUGAAUCCACAGUUUUUCUUCUUCCUUCUUCAAUUGUCUUUUGGUUGAUUUAGUUCAAUUAAGAUGGAGGGUGACGGAAUCAAGUGCUUGAACAAACUCUGUCGUGCUUUAAUUGGGGUGCUAAUUUUACUACAAUGUGUUGUCAACCCUUCCCAUUCCCUUGGAUUCAAUAAUAUUUCUUCAGGAGGAGUGACGAGGUGCUUUGAGAGGGAAAGAGAAGCACUCCUUGCUUUCAAACAAGGCCUCGUGGAUCACUACAAUCUCCUCUCUUCGUGGGGAAGAGAAGAUCACAAGCAAGAUUGUUGCAAAUGGGUAGACGUCCACUGCAGCAACCGAACCAACCAUGUUACUCAACUUCAUCUUGGACGGGAAAGUCUCGUGCAUGUCGUACAGCGUGUCCCGCCUCCCCCGGUUCUCAGGGAUGAAACCAGAAAUUUAACUAAGAGGGGGCACCUUAAAAAAUUUGAGCUCAUUUUUUUGACAAAUAAAGUUAGUUCUUUUACAAAUGUUGAAAAAAUUAAUUACAAAAUGCCUAAUUUUAUUACUCUAUUGUCUAAUUUUGUUUUUAAUUGUUGACAAUGUAAUGCUCAUUUGUACUAAUUAACCAAAUACAUGUAACUCAAUAAGGUUUAGACAUUAGUGUGUGAAAAAAAUAUACAAGACGGAUGAGCAUUUGAAAACUAAAAAAAGAUUUUCACUAUUUUAAUAUAAUUAAUUGAAUAAUCUGCCAAGCAAAAAAAAUAGGAAUGAUUAAUUGAAUAAUUUGUCCUGAGAGACCACGUGUCGUGAGCCGUUCCUGCUGCGACUCAGCGCUUUGUUCGCAGAGAUGAGCGAUAGGAUCGUCCCCGUGGCGGUCGACUGUAAGCAGAGCAUGUUCUACGGGACCACCGUCCGUGGGGUCAAGUUCUGGGACCCCUACUUCUUCAUGAACCCGAGGCCGACGUACGAGGCCACGUUUCUGGACCGGCAGCCGGACGACAAGUUUCUAAUUCCACAAAAUACAAAAAGACUUAAAAAAUGUAAACAGAAUGAAACAAUCAACGCGGAAUUGUGUUGAUUGUUGCAGGCUUUGUCAUUAUUUUGGAGAGAAGAGUCAACGUCUAAUUACUACACCUACCUACAGAAAAGUAGGUGGUCCACUCACACAUGUUCCAUACUUGACCAUCUGAAUCAAGACAACUCAGUGUGUGGAUCGUAUUGUGAACUAUUACGUAGUCACCCAGCCUUAUAAUACACUCGCAUCUUUCCUUGUGCUCCUAAAUCAAUACUGAUUGUACACUUCUUCUUCUUCAUUCUUCAAUCAUCUUUGCCUUGAUUUUGUUGAAUUAAGAUGGAGAAUGACGGAAUCAGGUGCUUGAAGAAACUCUUUCACACUUCCAUUGUGGUUCUACUUUUUCUACAAUGUUUCAACCCUUCCCUAUCCUCUGGAUUCUAUAAUGUUUCUUUCGGUUUCGGAGCAAUUGGCCACCGGGUGGUGACGAGGUGCAUAGAGAGUGAAGGGGAAGCACUCCUUUCUUUCAAACAAGGUCUGAUUGAUGACUACAAUCUCCUCUCCUCCUGGGGAAGAGAAGAACACAAGCAAGAUUGUUGCAAAUGGCUUGGCAUCCACUGCAGCAACCGAACCAACCAUGUUGCUCAACUUGAUCUUGGAUGGAAUCAUAUGAAUGAAGUUUACUCACUUCAACAGAAAGAACAGCAGGAGUAUCCCGAAUAUUACUUUCAAGGUAAAAUGAUGAGUCCUAAACUAAUUGAGUUGAAGCAUUUGAAAUAUUUGGACUUUUCUUCCGUUAACUUCACUGGGACCCAGCUUCCAGAUUUCAUUGGUUCUCUUUCCAAUUUAAGACACCUCGGUCUCUGGGAUGCUUCUUUUGGUGGUCGAAUUCCAACUCAGAUCGGAAACCUUACCCACUUGCAAUAUCUUGAUCUCAGAUCCAAUCACUUUGCUAAUAUAGAAAACCUGAAUUCAUGGUUGCCUCGUCUUUCUUCUUUAAUAUAUUUGGACCUGAGUUUCAACAAUCUUAGUAAUGUUCCUGACUGGUUGGAAAUAGUUAGUAAGCUCCCUAAACUUACAAACUUGUCUCUGUCUUCUUGCAGUCUUCCAUCUCCUCUAAUUCAUUCCAGUACUCUUUUUAACAUAAAUUCUUCUAAAUCUCUUGCUCAUGUUGAUCUCAGUUACAACCAACUCACAUCUUCUUCCAUAUUUCUUUGGUUGUCCAAAUACAAUGCCAGCCUUGUUCAUCUUGAUCUCAAAUACAAUAACUUUGCUAAUGUAGAAAAUCUGAAUUCAUGGCUGCCUCAUCUUUCUGCUUUAACAUAUUUGGACCUGAGUUACAGCAAUCUCAGUAAUGUUCCUGACUGGAUGGAAGCAGUUAAUAAGCAUCCUAAACUUACAAACUUGUCUCUGUCUAAUUGUGGUCUUCCUUCUCCUCUAAUUCAUUCCAGUACUCUUUUUAACAUAAAUUCUUCUAAAUCUCUUGCUCAUGUUGAUCUCAGUUACAACCAACUCACUUCUUCCAUAUUUCUUUGGUUGUCCAAAUAUAAUUCCAGCCUUGUUCAUCUUGACCUCUCUUACAACCAGUUAACUGGCUUAUUUCCCGAUGUCAUUGGAAACAUGAGCUCUCUUGCAUAUCUAGAUCUCUCUUCUAACCAAUUUGAAGGGGUGAUUUCAGAAAGUCAUUUCUCGGGUCUCUCCAGAUUAAGAUCUUUGUAUCUGUCCUCUACCUCACUAACUUUAAACUUCCAUUCUAAAUGGGUUCCUCCCUUCCAAUUGGAUUAUAUAAUCUUGGGGUCUUGCAAGAUGGGUCCACAUUUUCCAAAUUGGCUUCAAACUCAGAAAAGUUAUUGGAGCCUUGAUAUUUCUAAUGCAGGAAUUUCUGAUAUCCUUCCAAGUUGGUUUUGGGAAAGGCUGUCUCAUGCUCGUGAAAUUGGUUAUGUAGAUCUCUCCAACAACCAAAUCAGAGGAACAAUUCCAAACUCGCAAAUCAAUUUUGUAUGUUU
This 105624-nucleotide long non-coding RNA is filed under the name Malus domestica (apple). RNAcentral's name for it is "long non-coding RNA (MDOM_LNC000769)". Lineage: Eukaryota; Viridiplantae; Streptophyta; Magnoliopsida; Rosales; Rosaceae. The record is from RNAcentral.